UUUUUUUUUUUUUUGUUGUUGCUUGCAUGUAAGCCUAGGAAUAAGAACUUUGGAAAUGGUUCUUUGAUAUAUAAAUAUGACGGGGUAAAGUUUGUUGUUCAAGGUGUUGUUCAUAUUUCUGUUAUAUGAUUCUUGGCCCCUUAAAGCUGAAAACUUUGGUGGGUAUUGAAGAAUGUAAGUAAUUAGCAUCCAGAUUUUGAAGUUUGUUUAUAUUAGGAAGUGGGCAGAAUGUGGUCUUGUUGGUUAGGAGGUGAGUGAUGAUGGGUUACUGCUGCUUUGUCUAGGAUCAAACAAUUUUUUGAUUUCACACGUGUUUUUGAUUCCUCCGGACCAUAUUAACGUUAAUGGAUUUGUAUUGUCAUUUGGUUGUGAGAAUUCUAAGAUAUCAACAAAACAUAGGUUGUUGUUUUGUAUCAAUAUUUUGGUGCCUGGCAUAUCAGGAGAAUGGAAAUUUGCUUCUAUUUCUGUAUGGCUGACCACAAAAGAAACGUUUUUGAUGUUAAAAGUGCAUGGACUUGCGAAUGGAUUUUAAUUGCAUGAACCUGAAGCUUUCUAGAUUCAUUCAAGGUGAAAGCUGUGAUUUUUCUUUUUGGGAGCUUCCUGGUGCUUUUGUAUGAAAAAUUAUGAAUCCAUUAUGUAAGGUUGGUGAUUCCAUUUUGUUUGAACUUAGUAUGGCUUUCAUAUGUUUUUAAAUACUUUUGGAUGUGCUUUCAAACUUUUAGGAUAUGAACUUUAUAGCAGACUGUAAACAUGUUCAUUAGCAUAUGAUGAUAUGAGAGCAGUACUAAUCAUUCAUGGAAGUUGUCUAGAGAGAGUUGAAAAUUCUUCUCAUAAUCCCAUGCAAUUAUUAAUGCCAACUGCUUUACCAAAGAUUGAAAUGAUGUCUAAUUGAAUUCAAGAUACUGAAUCUCAGAUACUCGUCAAGAGAUGAAAGAGAUUAGAGUUGAAACAUGACACAGAAUGUAAAACUAUCAUCAAUUAUGCCUAAGCAUUUCACUUGGUGUGGAUGCUUUUUUAAUUCAAUUUUUUUUGGUUUCUGGAGUCUCAUGUUGUUCUUUAAAUCAGAGGGUUAGAAUUUAAUUUCCUUGCAUUGCUUUAUUUUUAAUCACUUUCCUUAACAUAUUUCUGGUUGAUCAAUACGACUUAUGGAAAGUUUCCAAACUUACCAAAUGUGGCCUAUUGUAGUUGUAGCCAUCAACUUGUUAAAUCCUUGGUUUUGGGGCCAAAAAAUUAUUUGCCUAAACUGUAAGGAUAUUUUGGUAGAUGGAAAUAAAUUUUUAUUAUUCUUGUUUGUAAUUCAUCAUGAUUUUUGCUUUGUGCUUGUUAUUGCAUCUUUUCCAUUGCGUCUUUUUCCAUUUUCCCACAAAUAAGUUACAGAACCAGUGACAACAGUUUGUACUUUUCUUCUUGUCAUUACUCUGCCUUUUCAGCUAUAGGUGUUGAUUACCUUGUUUGAAAUCUGUCAUUCAUCAUCAAGUUGGGCAGACCUGUUGAUAAUACAUAAGCUGGCUAUUUUAUAAGAAAAAAAAAAUUAUUCUCUUUCGAGAGAAAAUCACCUUUUAGUCAGAUAAAUCAGAUUACUGUCUUGUUAAUUUUUCUUUAAAUAUGCAAGAAUAACAGAAUGUUCAUACUUUGCACAAUUGGCAAAAAAGCCAUCGGCAAGUGGUUAAUGCUAGGAGAUUUGCAUUUAAAGAUCAUAUGAAUCUAAAAGCCUUUACAGUGUCAAUUUCAUUAAUCUGGGUGUCACUCUGCUGGCAUGUGGGGGAAAUUUGUGUUGUCAUGAUCAAAGUUAAUUCUGCUUUGAUCUGAUUAAACCUGCCUUUUUGAAACAUUUUUCCAAUUCACACAUUUGUAUACUUAUCCUCUAUUUGGGGCUUUAGAGAUUUCCUCAUUUUCUGAGUCUGCAUUGUUUAUCUCUAUAAAAGUUAUGGCACGCAAGAUAUGGUAAUGAGAGCCAAAAGGAUCAUAAAAUUAAUUAGACUACCUUUUUUAUGCACUGGGCAGAUGGGGUUGAGUUUGAGAUUGAAUUAUAUGGAAAAUUGCAUCAAUCUUUCGUAACAGUUCUACUCUUUUUUGUACACUUCAUGUGUGGAAGAGUAUUCUUACAGCCUCUGUUUAAUAUCUACAAGGGGAGGGAAGGGAGAGAGAGCAGAAGAGGAGGAGAAGAGGGGAAAGGAGAAGACGAGGCUCCUGUUGUUUUGAUUGCUUUAAAAAAGAAGAGGGAUACGAAGGUAAGAAGUGGGUACUUGAGUGACCUUCUUUGGCUAAGGAGUAGAAAAGUAAGAAAAUCUACCUUACAUGUCCUUCCUAAUUAUAUUUAUAACAAAGGGUAAUUUUGUUUGUAAAAAGAACUUUUGAUGAAGAAUCUUUUUCUUCCAUUAAAUCUUUCUCAAACUAGGAAGAGGGUACAAUUUCCUACCCUUUCUUUUCCUUCUCCAUAACCCAAAUCUACCUUAGUGUUUGUGUAUAGUGGAAAAAUCUUUUUUGUUCAUUUGUUGAGGGGGGGGGGGGUGUCGGGUGGAAGAUAAUAAAUAAGUGAUAGAAUCAUUGAUGGCUAACCUAAUUCAGUUUUGUUGAAAGUGUGCUUCACUGAACUUCUAAACGUAGGUGUGUAUCCUUGUAUUUUAUGGAGAAGAGAAUGCAAAAUUUUGAUGAUUUCGUGCAAUGAAGCAAGAUUUUUUUCCUUGUGUCUUUUUUUUUCUGUAAUUUCCAGUGAACACCCCCUUAGUAAUGAUGCAACUUAUUGAGACUUCCCCUGUCACUUUUUUCUGAACUUUUGUAGUCCCUGACAUAGCAUGUUAUGAUUUGAUAAAUUCAAAGAUGGCUACCAAGUUAUGGGUUAAUCAAUUAAUUUAUAAAUGAGAUAUUAGAGUCAAAUGAAUAUAAUAUCUCCUCAUCAGGUGGGACAAAUGUGUUGGGAUAAAAGUGUUGAGGCAAAUAGUAUUUUUCAUAUUGUUUUGGCUGUUUGAUACAAAAUGAAAAAUUUAUGUUUUGCCACCUACAAAUCUUUCAUUUUGUUUCUUCAUUACAGGUGUCUGUGUGGUCAGUGAAUAAUGGGAAGCACUGGUGCUGAUAAAGUUCCAAGAGAUAGUGAAACUGAAGGUUCUGAGACCACAAUAGAAAUAAAAAUAAAAACACUGGACUCUCAGACUUAUACUUUGAGAGUAGAUAAACAGGUAAAUAACUCUUAUGCUGUUUUGUCGUGAUCUAAUCUAAGUUCUGAUAGUGUGUAGUAUUGAUAUGUAGUUUAGUUGACCAAUUACAAUUUGUUAAUGCAUACAUGACUUAGAACUUUUUCUGCCCGGUUUGCUUUUGACAAAUCUCUGACUUUGCAUAAUAUAUUUUCUUCAUUUGUUGAAGAACUUGAAUUGUUAAUGUAAGCAUGUUCUCUGAUUUUGCUAGUAGUAGUUCACAUCAAAUUUGGUAUGGUAGCUUCCUACAAUUACUAUGCUAUUUACCUUAUGGAAUCUGAUAUGUUAUGUUGGUACUUAAGGUUUUCUAAUCUUCAAUCUUUUCAUUUCCUUCUGAUUGGCUUGGCCCUUAUACUAGUGUAUUUGUUCUAGAUUUUAUUUGUGAAAUUGUUUAACAUUUGUGCUCCACUAUGUUGUUUCUUGUCUCUUAUAUCUUACAGAUGCCAGUGCCUGCACUAAAAGAACAGAUUGCUUCUGUAACUGGUGUGUUAUCAGAGCAACAACGACUAAUAUGUCGUGGGAAAGUUCUAAAGGAUGACCAACUACUUUCUGCUUACCGUAUCCAUUUCAUUUUAAAUAUUCAUAUUGAUUUGUAAAGAAACUAUCACAUUUUAUUGAUUGUCUUAGGUAAGAAGUUGUUCCUUUCUAUUUAUUAUGGCUAUUUUUCAUUUUUCAGGUAGCCAUGUAUUACUGUUUACAAUGUAAUUAUCUGUUCGCAUCUAGAAUUUGAUCUGAGUUUCUUAACUUGAGAUAGAUGUCGAGGAUGGUCACACAUUGCACAUGGUGGUCAGGCAGCCGGUUCCACCAUCAUCUGAUGGCUCACCUCAUUCAGGUUUUGCUGCACUUUAGGAUCCAUUAUCAUCAUAUUUAUUUUGGUACAAACAUUGCAUGGGCUCAAGCCUUUCAGGAAAAAAAAAUUGCAUGGGCUCUUUAAUCUAGUUUUAUUUAAUGCAAAAGCCUUUAUGUCUUUGCUAGUGGCUUUAUAUUUGAUGGAUUACUAAUAUUGGCCCUAAUUAAUGCUUGACAUGUGUGAAGUAUUGAACUUAGCAUAUUGCUUUACAAAAGCUUGUUUCACUUUAUUGUUUGCCACGUACAUGUUUGAAACAAAGUAUUCAUUGUAAAGAGUUUUAUGUUCUGUGUUAUUAUCUGAAUGUUGGGCAUAAUAUGUGGUUUCACGAUAUAGGUAUGCCUCCUACCCCCUUCGCCCAGUUUCCCUUUUUCAUAGAAUAAUUUAAUGCUAGUGGCAACAAACUUCCGUUGGAUCAUUUUAACCUUCCAAUUACAUUAAUGAGAAAUUCAACUGAUUUUCUGAAAUGAAAUAGUUUAUACAAUUUUGUUAAAAUUUUUUAUGGUAAAUUAUAAGCCAUUAGUAAAAGCCUUGGUCUUACAAGUGCAUGACCUCAUAUGAAAGUCCUUUGAAUGGUGCUUCUGCAAAUGCUAAAAGAAACAUGUAUUUAGAGCACCUCCCCCACUAAUCUUGCUUCUGUAAGGGUACUGAUCCUUAUUUCCUUAUUGAAUGAUAAAUUUGAAUUUUAUAAAAGAAUGUCAAACAAAUAGCAUCCUAAUUAUUUCUUCAUUUUCUUUGCUGCUUUUAGAACUUUACAGGGUGCAAACACUAUAGUGUCCUUUGUGGUUUGCAUGUAUAAACAACAAGUAUUAUUCUAAUCUUCUUGUUUUUAUAUAUAUAGAGCUUCAGAUGAUGAAUAACUAGUAAUACCUAUAUUCAACAAGUAAUAACCUUUGAAUAUCAGAAUAAGAAUAUUUAGUAAAUAUAUUAAACAACAAAUACUAUUUUUCCAUUCAAAUUUAGUUUAAAUGGGCUUUUCGACUUUUAUUGUUAAAGUUCUAAGCCAAUAGGAUUCUACUUCUUUAAGCACUUGUUAUUGCUCAGAUUUUUUUUCUUGAGGAAAUAAUCAUUCAAUCCUCAGUUUUUUCAAGUGUAUUGUGACUUGGAGGUCAUGGGUACAAGUUGUGGCAACAGCCUGUGAGGCUUGGGGUAAGGCUGCCAAAAUUUACUCUCACAGGGACUGUGGUGUGGGAACCUGUUUUUUAUUAUGUUUAGUUAGACUUUUAGCUCGUAAAUUAAAUGGUUGCAUUGUUUGCUAUGGUAGUCUUGUAAUGUCAUAUAUCAAUAGGGACAGUUAUUAAGUUUUUGCAUUGAAAAUUUUACAGUUUGUAAUUCUCUUCCACUAUUAGUAAGAAAUUUAACAAAUUAAUACAUUCUCGUUCUUCCUAAUUGCUUAUUUACAUCUGCAUCAUGAAAUGUUGAGAGGAAGUAAUAUAGGUGAUUAACGUUUCAGUUUUUAUGUGCCUAAAAAGAUUAUAAAAGAUAGACUGCAUAUCCUUCGUUUCAAUUGCUGUCAUGAUGCUUACUUUACUCCCUUUACUCCCUGUGUAGUCCUCUAACAAUUAGCAAGAAGGUCACAGACCAGUGAUGUGCUGAUCAGUGAGAGCAUAAGCAUGUACAGGGACUAAUGAUUUUCACUAAGCCACCAUUCUUUCUGGACCAGAAAAAAGAAGAAUAAAAACUCAUUUAAGAGUUAAUGAUGUGCAAGCUACUAACUUUUUCCAGUUUAUAUUUUAAGGGCUUCGAUCAAAUUCUUUUUGCUUUUAGGUUCAUCUAUUGGGUUAAUCUAAAAAGAACUUCAGUGUUAAUACUUUUAUGAUAUUUUGAGACUCUAUCUUUUACUUCUGAUGCAUGCACAAACACAUGUGAUAUGAAUGUGAUCUUAGUAUCUUGAAGUGGUGUAAAAUAUACUGGGACAAAGUGUCAAUAUGUUCACUACAAGAAUGCUAUCAGCAUCAGAACUGAAUAACUCUAAAACUUGCUUUGUUAUGCUCUCAAUGUCUUGCACAUUUUCUAAUCAUGCAGCAUCUUUCGUAUAUGCAGUAAUACAUUCCGGUCAAGCCUGGGGUCAAGUCAUUGAAGUAGAUUAAUAUACAUAUGUAUUCUCAUGCAGCUCCUUGCAAAAAAAAUGACAAUUUUAUUCUUAGGAUAUACUGGUGGUUAGUAGAUGUACAUAUAUCUAUAUAUUAUAUUAUAUUAUAUUAUCAAAAUUAUUGAGUAACAUUUCCAUAAACAUAGUUAAAAAUGUUGCGUUUGCAGUAGAGGUAGUGGUAGUAACAUGAGUGGGAGCAAAUGUCAAUCCCAACUUCAAACAGUUUUUCCCAGAAGCAAAGAGGUUGAUGCUAGGAAUCCAUCUUGUGUCUUGAGAAAUCUAUAUAUAUAAAAAAAAUAAGAAAUUGUUGUCAUAGGAUGAAGCCAAUUUUAUGUCUUUUUUUUUCGAAGGCUUGAGAGUGUUUUUGUAGUUAAUAAAGAGCAGACUUCUAACCAUUAUGCAGAGAGUAAAUUUUUGUUGUAGCAGCUGAUGUUGAUACAACAUGAUUCUUAUCAUUUAAGUUACCCAGGAACGCUUCUUGGAUGAGCAUUCCUUCUUGUAUGCCUGUUACCCUUUCUCCAGUACAAGCUGCACUUUGUUUGUAAUGAUAAUUUUUUUGAUAAUAUGUGUUUGUAGUAUUAAUUUAUUGUGCAUUGCUUAUGAAAUAAGCUGGUUAAGACUCAGUUAUUAACAUUUAGCACCAUCAUUUGCAGCAAAUGAUUCUGCAUCAGGUACAAGCCGUGGUCACAGUAAUCAUGUAGCCCCUAGUGUUGUGAUAGAAACUUUUAAUGUGCCUGAUCAAGGGGAUGGAGUUCCUCCUGAGAUCAGUCGGGUAAGUUUGCAACUGGAUGUGAACUGGAGAAUAUUUCUACAGGGGAAAUAUAUCUCAUUACGAUGAUUUCUUAAUUUUUAAGACUCUUCUUUCCUUCUGAGCAGAUUGUCUCUGCCGUUCUUGGCUCUUUCGGAUUUGCAAAUAUAGGAAGUGGAAAUAUUGGGGGUGAUGUCAGGGUAAGUUUUAACUUUUUAAUUUUCAUAAAGUAAUGACAGUUAUUUAUCUGAUUCAACUUUUGUUAGUCUUUUGUUGCUUUGAUGUUUAAUGAAAAUGUCUGUACUUGCUAUCUGUGCACAGGCACACAAUAAAUAACUUAAAAAAGGGAUCCAUGAGAUUCAAACAUCCAAAAUUCUAGUUUUCAGAGGUUCAUUUUAGGCCAUGUUUUAACAGGAUGGAAUAUUGACAAUUCUAAGACAUCUUGGAAAAGUUUGGGUUUUGUUUCUCUAAAAUCUAACAGCAUGUUUAGUUGGGGAAUGGAAUAGCCAUCCCUCCUAUUCUUAAUCCUUUUUUUAACACUUUAUUUGGUUGGUAAGAAUGGCCAUUUCUUGGAGAUGAGCGAAUAGCCAAUACGAAGCUCCCCUUGGUAUUGGCGAUUCCAAGAGGCAAGGAAUAGUAAAAACAUUAAUGGACGAAAAUGUCUUUUAUUAAUUUGAAGAAUUACCUUACUAUAUAAAAUACAUUUUAUUCAUUUUUUACAAUUUCUUUCUCUCUCUACCCAACUACCUCUCUCCUUCUCUCAUUAAAUUAAAAUGAAUUUAAAAUUUAAAAAUUAAAAAAUUAAAAUGAAUUUAAAUAAAAAGGUUUAAGUUUUAAUUAUACAUUAUAAAAAGUUAAUAUUUUAAACUUAAAAAGUUUAAAUAAAAUUUUAAUUAUAAUUUUUUAUUAUUUUAAUAUUUUAAAAUUAAAAAUAAAAUAAUGNAUUUUAAUAUUUUUUAAAUUAAAAAUAAAUGAAUAAAAUUAAUAUUUUAAUUAUAAAUAUUUUAAUUUAAAAAUUAAAUAUUACAAUAAAUGGUAUUUUUGUCAUUUAUCACUUAUUCUUUAGUUGUUCCUAAAGCUAUUCUCGCCAACCAAACAUUAGAAUAAUUCAUAAUAGCAAUUCCUUCCCAAUUCCAUUCGUAUGAACUAAACUAUAUAAUAGUUAUUUAUCUCUUAUUCGAUACCAAUGGAAUAACUAUUCCAUUCCCACUUUAUUCCAUCCUGCAAACCAACACACCUUAAAGGUUUUUAUAGGCUUUAAUAUCUAUAGUUAACUUUAUGUGUGUCUAAAUUCAUAUGGUCUUACUUCAUUGGAGUUGUUGGAUACAAAAGGAACAUGGUUCACAAAGACUUGAAAGAACAUCUGGUGCUAGUGGCAUGCCAGAUUCAUCCCAAGCUCAAACGGAACAAGCUAGCAUGAGGGGUCAAUCUGAUAGAGUACAUAGUGCUUUUGGACUUCCAGCAGCAGUUUCCUUGGGGCCUCUGCAACCUCCUGUGAGUUUAUAAGUCCUAACUUUCUUACUCAUUUGUCUGUCACUUUGUAUUUGCCCAGUUGAUUUGUUCAAUUAUUCUCUAAAUCUUGUGUGUGCAUACCUCUUUUUGGGCUUAAAGUUAUUAUAUUUUUCAAUGUUCUUUAUUUUUGUAGGUUAUUCCUGAUUCUUUGGCAACUUUGUCCCAAUAUCUGAGUCAUUUACGACGUGAAUUUGAUGGCAUUGGUUAGUUUUCCUUUGUCAAAAAGUAUAAUUAUAUUAUCUCUGUCAGUUACUCCAAAAAGUACCGGUUCAUUGAUGAUUUGCAACUCAUCUCACUGCCAGGUAGAGCUGGGGGAGAGGAUCCUCAGGCAGCAUCCUUGAGUAGGACUGGAGAUAGAGAUUCUAACCCUGCAUCAAAUUCAGGGACUGUACAGGAAGGUCUUCCAACACCUGCAUCUUUGGCAGAAGUGUUACUCGCUACCAGACAACUGCUCAUUGAACAAGCUGGAGAAUGUCUACAAGUGUGUCCUGAACUACCUUUUAGUUUUCUUUCUAAAUUGGUGACAUUGUUUUCAGGAAGCUGCGUGGUGUUAGCCAUAUAUGUUAGUCUUCCUUGUUGAUUGAGGUGUGAAUAAUUGGCCUGCAAGGGAAAAUGGGGGAUUGGUGUUUAAGAAUGUUUGGCAUGGCCAUGCAGUUUCUUUUUCUUUUUGAGUUCUCAACAUUUUGUUUUAUUAUGUUAUAGAUAAAAACACGUUGUUAAUUUCUUUUGAUUUGAUGGGCAGCAACUUGCAAGGCAACUGGAGGAUCAAGGAAAUGUGACGGACUCCUCAGCACGGCUGAGUGCACAGUCCAUUGCUUGGAGAACUGGAGUUCUAUUACAGAACCUAGGCUCACUUUUCCUUGAGCUUGGUCGUACAACCAUGACAAUUCGCUUAGGUCAAACACCGGUAAGAUAAUCGCAUUCGACAUCGAUGACAUUUAAAUCUUUCUAAUAUCCUUUGUGAUCAAUGUUGCUAUAACUUAUUUCUUUUGCAGUCUGAAGCUGUUGUUAAUGCUGGACCUGCAGUUUUCAUAUCCCCUUCUGGUCCGAAUCCUCUCAUGGUUCAGGCAAUGUUCUAACAGCCUUUUUGAACCUUCUUGUUUGGCAUAAGCAAUAUUCAAUUUCUGCUGAUUUAUCUGUAUUUGUUCAGGCUCUUCCUUUUCAACCAGGAACUAGCUUUGGUGCCUUUCCCAUGGGAACUGUACAGCCUGGAUCUGGUUUGGUUAAUGGACUUGGGACAGGGCUUCUUCCUAGGCGUAUUGAUAUACAAAUAAGAAGAGGUAUGCUAUACCUGGCUAUUUUCUCUUGUUUGAUAGGUAUAAUGUGUUGGACCAAACACUGAUGUUGUAUUUACAAUAAGGUUCAUCGGUGGCAACACCCAAUGUUAAUCGAGAGGAACGUGGUGAUACUGCACAACAAUCGGGCCAAAGGAACCCAUCAAUGGGUUCUGGCAGUGAGAAUCGUAGCACUCAAACAAGUUCAAGGGUCUCAGAUACUCCAUCUUUUGCUGGGGAAUCAGGAGUGCGGGUAGUGCCAAUUAGGACCAUGGUUGCGGCUGUACCCACUCCCUUUGGUCGCUUACCGUCAGAUUCUUCUGGUAAUUCUGUGGGAUUAUACUACCCAUUCCUUGGAAGAUUCCAGCACAUUGCUUCCGGACAUGUUAGUGGGGAACGGGGAUCUCAGGGAUCUGGUGAGAAUCUCUCCCAUGGUGUUCAAUCUGAGCAGCACCUUAUUCCUGAAUCUACAGCGCAACAACAAAGUUUCGAAGAGUCAACUAGAGAUGGUAAUAUGAUAAAUCCAGCACUUCAACAUGCUAGUGAGGUUUGAUGUUCUCAUAUAAUUUUAGCUUGCUGUUAUGAACUUGAUGUUCUCGUAAUGCUGUUGUUUCCCAGUGGUGUCCAGAGGUUGUUUGUUAUUCCUUUUUUCUUUUUUCACAUUUCGUAGUUUUUAAAUUUCUUAUUUUAGAAAACUGUUAAUGUUCCUCCCAUUUUUCCCUGCUAAGGUAUGCAAAAAAGCUGUUUGGAAAAAUAUAUACCUUCAUAGUGGAUUUUAUCUCAUGACAAAUGUAUUUUCUUAUUUCACAUUUUAAGGAUAUUAGUAAAUAGCUUGAAUGCUACUUCAUGAAUAUUAGCUUGCACAUGUCUAUGCUGCUGCAUUGCCACAUCUUUUGUUAGUUUCUGCAGUUUGAAUGAUUCUCUGUAUCAAUUGACCAAAAGGGUUAAUUAAGCCCCUCCAAAAAAAAGGGAAAAAGAAAAGGUGAAGUUGACCAAGAGGGGUACUUCCAGGAACUGACUGUCAAAUUGCUUCUUGUUGGAGGUUCAUUGCCAAAUCCUAAUUCAAGACAACAGGAGCGAUCCAAUACUCGCAGUGUCAGUAUAAACAUUCUAGCAGCUGGCCGGACUCAAAACAACCAAGACUCAGAGAGACAAAUUCCUAGUAGUGUUCAGUUUCUGAGGGCAAUUUUCCCUGGUGGUGAAAUCAAUGUAGAGGAAGCAAGUGUACAAGGAGCAGCUACAGGUUCUGUCCAAGAGCAAGCAGGGACUUCCAGUGGUGCUCCAGCGGCUGAGCCAAGUAUUACUGAUCAAGGGGUGUUUUUAUCUAAUUUGCUUCAUCAGAUCAUGCCAUACGUAUCUCAGCAAGCAAGUUCACAACAAAGUACUGUGCCUACAGAGGAAGCAAAUACUUCCACCCAGGUAAGCAUGCUUGCCAUUCUUAGUUCUUUUCGUAGUGGCCAAAUAUGCAUUAGGUCUGAACCAUGGGUUGCUUGUUUCCUAUAGAGGAAGCAAAUUCUUCCACCUAGGUAGGCCUGCUUCCCAUUCUUAGUUAUUUUUGUAGUGGCAUAUAUCCACCAGGUUUGAACCAUGGGUUGCUUGUUUGAUUAAGGUCCUGAUAAUCCUUUCCAUGAUCAAAUAUAAAUGAAGAAUUGAAACUAUAGCAAUUGAGAUAAAAUAGAUGUUAAAGUCAGCAAUAAAGAUGCUAAAUGCUGCUGUAUUUUCAGGCUGAGCACACUAGUCCUGGGAGUUCACGUAGACCAAGUGACUCUGAACCAAAUUCACCAAACUCAAAACGUCAGAAGGUACUGGUUCUGAAUACUUUUGUUAUCUCAUAUCUUCUUUUGCCUUUUAUAUUACCCCAUUAACUUUUUCCUGUGUCUCAUGUAGAAAUAAUUAACAAACCUCGUAGAUUAGUCCAUCUAGUAAUUCAGUUACAAUCAAUAAAAACAUGUAGAACAAUGUUAUCUGAUUAUUUCUCUAGUGUGUUGCGUCCACAUGAACUCUGUCCAAUUUUUUUGUUGAUCACAUGUGUGCCGUGAAUGUAUGUAAAUGCAGUAUGGCAUAUAAGUACAUAAUAAGCUUAAUUAAGGUUGGUUUAGAUGUUUAAGAGUGAUCAGAUGUGGAAUAGAACAUGCAGACACUGCUAGUAUGGCACAAAUAACAUUUCAUAAGUUAUAUGUCAACAGCUAGGUUGUUAGUUUGACAUGUUUACUAUGAAUUUCUGAUUGUUAUGACUGUCUCUAUUUUUAAGCUCUUGAAUAGUUGAAAGAUUUUAAGCAUGUGGUUAUUAUUGUUUUGAGUAAAGAACAGUUAAGACAGGGAGAUUGGUGUAUGUCUAUAUAUCCUAACAACUGAAAUGCUGCACAACUUAUAUGAAAGUAUUGGAAUAGCAUGUAUAAGAGGAAUAUUUAAGGUUAGUGGAGGUGGCAAAAAUUAUUUGAGAGCAUGGUCAUAUAUAUACACUUGAUAUUUAAAGCUUAUUUGUUUGAUAGUACAAUUCGGUCCAAACUAGUUUAUUCUUUAGAUGAAUUCCACUGAGCUCAUGAACAUAGAAUAUGAGGUUAGUCUAAAUUUAAGGUAUAAGUGAUACAGUUUAAAAUUUAUUCAAUUCUGGAAUAUGAGGAUUGAGUUGGACUGCAUGUAGAUGUAGAUGUAGUGAUGCCAGAUGUUUAGUAUUGGACUAAGCUUUGACUGGUUACGAAAUGAAAUGGCUUUUUGUUGCAGACAGAGUAGCUUGUCAAGAGAAUGAGGAUUUGACUAGCUUCCCAUGGUUAUAAAAGGAAAUCGCUUUUUGUUGCAGAGAGAGUAGCUUAUGAAGAGAGGGAGGAUUUAACUAGGCUUCCCAUGGUUAUGAAAUGAAAUGGCGUCUUGUUGCAAGACAAAGUAACUUAUCAAAAGAUGGAGGAUUUAACUAAGCUUCCCAUGGUUGUGAAAUUUGUGAUUGCUGAUUUGAGCACUUGUUGGCACGAAAAGCGGCAUGACUUUUAUGUUAAAUGUGGUAUACCAUGUUUGUUGUAUUUCAAAUAUGGCAUUUGAUAAUUAGUAUAGGGAAAUAUGUUGUCACAGUUUUUGGUCUUUUGACUUGUACAAUAUAGUAAUAUGUUUUGCAUGGGGUUUUACUGGAUUUUUCCAUGUGUAGCCCCAUCCAUCAUCUAGCUUCUCUUGAGCGUCUGUGGCUUUUGAUUCCCGAUUUUAUUUUUGUACAUCCAAAUUGCAUCAUGGUUGCAUGGAAGAAUUCUGCAAGGGCAAGCUACUGCAUUGGCGGAUGUUAUGGGAACAUUUUGCUUUAACCAUUUACAUCUUCAGCAACUACAAUGCAAACCAUGAAGCGAACCUCUUACUCUCAUGCUUUAUUUAUGGUUUGAAAUAAUGUAAGAGCGUUCAAUUCUAAUGCUAAGCCAUCUUUUCUUGGCUCGAGUCACGAGUUGUGGCCAUGUGGUUGGUUAAGUGAUAGCUAUUGUUUUUUAGCAAACCUUACGUAAUUAUCCUUUGAACAUAUUGCUAGUAAUUUGUACAGAAAGUACACAUGUUCGAAUUAAACGACCUUCUAUAUAUUUAAAUUUAAAACCCGAGGGCAAGAGUUUGAUCCAUUUAUGAAGAAGAGAAGAUUAUUAUUAUGCACGUGAUCGUAACUGCACAAUUAACUUAAGGAUGCUUGUGUAUAUACUCAACAAGGUAGUCAGGCAUUUCUGUAAAUAGCUUGAUAAGGGUGAGGUUAGUUUUGUAAAUAAACAAGUUAUUUACUUACUUUUGCAGCCGUAAAUAAAUCUGCAUUUUUCUGUAAUAUUCUUUUGAUGAGAAUAUAUCUCUUAGUUUUUCGUUCUCAGUUUAUUUUUGUUCUUUCAAAUCAUAAAAGUUAACAUGGUAUCAUAGCAAUUAGUGAUUUUUAGGAUUUUUUUGUUUUUUAUUUGUUCAAGAAUUUCAUUUUGAUUUCUUGUUCUUGAGGUUUUAGCAUUUCGUCCAAACGAUUAUCGAUUCUUCAUUUCUUUUAUUCGAUUCUUGGAUUUAGCUUUUUAGAAAUUUGCUUUUUGAUUCAUUCUUGUUUCUUUGAUGAUGGCUUCGAAAUCAAAGUCCAUUAAUGUUUCUGCUAUUGAAAAUCUUCUUUCUUUUUAUUAUCUUUAUCAUAACGAUCACCACGAAUCUAUUGUGAUUAAUCAUAAAUUUACCUGUACAAAUUAUGCAUCUUCGAACAGGUCAUCUCUCUUAGCGCUCUUUAUUUGGAAAAAGAAGGGUUUUAUUGUAGGAUCUCUGUCAAAACCAAAAGCUGAUUAUGAAUUUGUAUGAUGCUUGGGAAAGGUGCAACAAUAUUAUAGUUUCCUGGCUGUUGGAGUCUAAAUCUCCGCCAAUUGCUUCUACUGCCUUUUAUUUGGACUCAGUUGUUGAGAUGGAAUAUUUUGAAGAGGUGGUUUUCUCAGCCUGAUGACACUCGGAUCUAUAAUCUCCAGUUCAAUUUGUCAAAUCUUGUUCAAGGCACAAAGUCUGUUGAUCUUUACUUCACAGAGCUUAAUUCACUCAUGGGAAAACUUAGAAUUUAUCGAAAUAGAUAGCAUUGUGUUAUUUUUUAUGAUUCAUAUUGUGUCAUUCAGGAACAAUAUCAUGGACUGUGAUUGGUCAUUCUAAGGUGAAUGCUGGCUUAUACUUCUUGCAAAAAAGGCUGGAAGACUGUGUUCUUUCUUUAAAUUGCUUUUGACACAACUUUCAAAAAUCACGUCAACUUCACUUCUGCACAAACAAAUUCUGUUGGUUUUCAUUUUCCUGUAAAUGUUUGUAACUUUAUAAUAAAGGAUUUUGAUGUUUGGCAUUCUAGGCUAGGCCAUCCUUCUUCACAUGUAACAAAUCAAAUUCAAAAAAUUUUUCCACAUGUUUCAUGUUUGAAAGAUCAUGUUUGUCAAACCUGUCCCUUGGUAAAGCAGAAAAGACUCCAAUUCCUUAUUCAUGUCCAAAGUUCAAUGAAACCUUUUGAGUUAAUACAUAUGGAUGUUUGGGGCCUUAUGUAGUGGCAACUAUUACUGGUCAACAUUAUUUUUUGACUAUUGUUGAUGAUUUGAUAAGAUUUACUUGGAUUUUCUUGUUAAGAACUGAGUUAGAUGUUAUUGGCAUUAUACCUUCUGUUUACAAUUUUAUAUGCAAUCAGUUUGGUCAAAGUAUUAAGCAAAUUAGGACAGAUAAUGCACAAAAGUUUAAUUUGGUUGAAUUCGAUUCCUCAAAAGGAAUUAUUCAUCAAAACUCUUGUGUUGGCAUACUUCAACAUAAUGGUAUAGUUGAAAGGAAACAUCAACACUUAUUAACAAUAGCUAGGUGUUUUAUGUUUCAGUCCUUAUUACCUAUCAAAUUUCGGGGUGAGUCCAUUCUUAUGGUUGCACAUAUUAUAAAUGGGCUUCUUUCUCCACUUCUCAAGAAUAAAACUCCUUAUUAAAUUCUUUUUCAAAAGAGUCCUACCUAUACACUGUUAAGGGUUUUUGGUUCUUUAUGCUUUGCUUCUACAUUGUCUAAUCAUAGGAAAAAAUUUGAUUCCAAGUCUAGAAAAUGUGUUUUCCUUGGUUAUCCUAUAAGAAUUAAAGGUUAUAAACUAUAUGAUCUAAAUGUACACAAAAUGUUUAUUUCUAGAGAUGUACUAUUCUUUGAACAUUUGUUUCCAUUUCAUAUAGAUUUUGAUUCUACCACACAAAAUUAUAUUCAAUUCUUUGCUCCUAAAAACACUUUUAAUGACUCUCAUCAUCAUUCACCACAUCCUUUAUUCUCUAAUUCUUAUACUACUUCAAAUUUUGAUUUUGAUAGGUUUAAUCUUUCUAGUUCACAUGGUAAUUCUCCUUUUGUUAUGCAUUUUAAUCAUAUUGAUCAUGAUUUGGCAUCUAUCAGUACAUUUACACAUAUUUCUGUUGAUCAGAAUGUUCAUAUUUCUCCACCUAAUUUUUAUGACCAACAUGCUCCUGACACCCAUCAUCACUGUUUUGUUCUUGUAACUAAUAUCUCUCACCCAAUAAACACCAGAAAAAGUGUUCAACCUGAAUAGCUUCUUAAAUUCCUUGUCCUGUAUCUCCACAACUUACCUACUCAUUCUAAUUCAGUUAUAGCACACUUUAUUUCUUGUUCUUUGUCAACAAAUCAAUUGUCUGAAACCUCUAAAGCUUAUAUAGCUUUUCUUGAUCAUAUUCCCGAACCCAAAUACUUUCAUCAAGCUAUCACAUAUGAUGAGAGGAAAGAUGCUAUGAAAAAUGAACUUGAUGCUUUGGAGGAUAAAAAAACAUGGACAGUAGUUCCUCUUUUUGAUGGUGCACAUAUUAUUAUAUGUAAAUGGGCAUAUAAAAUCAAGCUUACCACCGAUGGCAUAAUUGAAAGGUACAAGGCUUGUCUUUUAGCUGAAGGAUACAGUCAACUAGAAAGAUUCGACUACCAUGAAACUUUUAGUCCGAUUGCAAAACAUACAACUGUAAGAGUGUUUUUAGCCAUGGCAGCUAUUAAAGGGUGGCAUUUGUCUCAACUCGACAUAAAUAAUGCAUUCUGGAUGAGGUAGUAUACAUGGACUUUCCUCAAGGAUAUGCAUUUCAGGGGGAGUGUUCUAUGACUUCUCGGAUCGUACGCAGACUUAAUAAAUCAUUAUAUGGCCUGAAGCAAGCUUUUAGGCAUUGGAACUGUAAGUUUACAAAUUCUUUAUUGAAGUUUGGAUUUCAACAGUCUAGAGCAGAUUAUGCUUUGUUUACAAAAACUGAAAAGAAUGGAGAAUUUGUGGCAUUCUUGGUUUAUGUAGAUGAUAUAAUAAUUUCUAGUUCUCGUGUUGAGGCCUCUGAUAAGGUGAAAAACUAUUUGAAGACAUAGUUUAAGCAUAAGGAUUUGGUUGAAAUUAAGUAUUUUCUAGGCUUAGAGGUUGCUAGUUCCAAAAAAGGAAUUUUUGUAUGUCAAAGGAAAUAUGCUUUAGAUUUAAUUAAUGAGUAUGGUCUUCUUGGUGCUAAACCUUUGGCAACCCCUACUGAGUAUAACAACAAGCUUUCUAAAGAUAAUGGUGGCACAAUCUUGACAGAUUCUACUAUGUAUGGACAAUUAGUUGGAAAGCUGUUGUAUCUUACAUUCACCAGACCUGAUAUUGCAUAUUCAGUACAAGUUUUAUCUCAGUUCAUGGACAAACUAACUGUUGGUCAUUUACAAGCUACUUAUAGGGUAUUGAAAUACCUAAAGAAAGCAUCGGGACAAGGUAUAUUGCUUUUUUCUACUUCUAACAUACAUCUCACAGUGUACACAGAUACUGAUUGGACAGGUUGUAGAGAUACUAGAAGGUUUGUGACAGGUUUUGCAAUAUUUCUUGGUCAUUCUUUGAUUAGUUGGAAAUAAAAGAAACAAGGAGUUGUUGCUAGAAGCUUUGCUGAGGUAGAAUAUAGAACUAUGGUUAUUGCUUGUUGUGAGGUCGUUUGGCUAUUGUGUUUGUUAAAAGACUUUGAUUGUAAUUGUUUAGUUGCUGCAACCAUGUCCUGUGAUAAUCAGGCUGCCUCACACAUCUCCAGAAAUCCAACAUUCCAUGAAAGAACCAAGCACAUCUAGGUGGAUUGCCACUUUAUUAGAGAGAAAGUGCAAGCUGGUAUUGUACUUCCACAGUAUGUCUUUACCAAGGAUCGAAUUGCAGAUAUCUUCACCAAAGCUUUACGACUUGCACAAUUUUAUGGACUUCUCAGCAAGAUGAGCAUCCUCAACAUUCAUGCUCAUUUUAAAGGGGAGUGAAAAAGAUUAUUAUUAUGCACAUGAUUGUAAUGCACAAUUAACUUAAGAUACUUGUGUAUAUACUCAACAAGGUAGUUAGGCAUUUCUGUAAAUAGAUAGUAAUGGUGAGGUUAGUUUUGUAAAUAAACAACAAGUUAGUUACUUUACCCUUGUAGCAGGAUAUAAAUCUGCAUUCUUCUAUAAUAUUCUUUUGACGAGAAUAUAAAAUAAAUUCUCUUAUAGCAUGCUUGGUUUAUUAAAAAGAAUAAAAUGAUAAUAGAAUAGUCAUUCCAAAAAAAAUAAAAUAGAGAAAAAAUAACUAUUAUGUAGAUUGGUUUAUGAAAAUGUAAUAGAAUAGAAAUUAUUAUUAUUACUUAUUUCAUUAUUUGGUUAGCAGGAAUAAUUUUAAGAAUGGUUAAAAAAUAAUGUGUAAAUGAUAAAAUACUUUUUAUUAAAAUUUAAAGAUUUUUUAAUUAAAAAAAAAACUAUGAUGAGAAAUAAAUAUUGUUUAUUAAAAUUAAAGAAUUUAUUUGUUAAAAGAUAAAAAUAUUCUGAGCAAUAAAAUCAAAAUGACUUUUAUUAUAAUUAAAUAAUAUUUUCACCAAAAAAUAAACACAUUUUUAUUAUAAUAUAAUAAUAUUUUUUAUUAAAAGAUAAUUAAACUUUUUAUUAUAAUUAAAUAAUAUUUAAUAUUAAAAGAUAAAAUAUAUUCUUCAUUAAAUUUAAAUAAUACUAAAUAAUAUUUUUUAUUACAUUUAUUAUAUUCAAAUAAUAAUAUUAAGUAAUAUGCUUUAUAAUAUUUAUUAUAAUAAAAUAAUAUUAAUAUAUUAAAUAAUAUUUAAAUAUUUUCAUUUCCCUUUUUUUGAAAAUGAAGUAAAAAAUUUUGUAUCUUUUGUGCUUUAGAGAGAGAAAAGAAGUGAGGAAGAGAGAGAAAAAAAAUAGGUUUAGUAUUUUUUAUAAGAUAAUUUUUUAAAUUGUAAAAGAGUAUAUUUGUCUAAUUAACUUCUUUUCUUAUUCUCAACAAUUUGGAAUAGCUAUUACCAAGGAGGGUUUGGUAAUGGCUAUUCAAACUUCUCUUGGAAUGGUUUUUCUAAAGAAUAACCAUUCCAUUGAAUCAAAUACAGUUUUAUCUCAAGAAUGAGAAUAAGGAAAGAAUAGCUACUCUAUUCCCCCCAACCAAGCAUGCCCUUAAUUCUUCGUUCUCAACUUAUUUUUGUUCUUCCAAAUCACAAAAGUUAACAAUUUACUAUCAUCUUUUUACUUAUAACUGAGGGUAGAAACUAAUGUAAGUGUCAAUACCUUUUGUAAGUGAAAAACUAAUGUGCCAAAAGAAAACAAAAUUCUUUUUUUUUUUUAAAUAUCACUCUUAUUUUAUUUGGUUUAUAGAAAUGUAGCCUAAAAACUUCAAGCACACUCAAAUUAUCUUGGAUUUUUUAAAAUAUUUCUUGUAUGCUAUAAUUGAAUUCUACUUUGUACCUUGUUCAUCAAAAUAAAAUUUAGAAAAUUGAGCAUAUGAUUGUUCCUCAAUGAAGUUUUGAACUUUAUGACUUAUUCUUUUUAUAAUCUUAAGAAUGACAUUUGUUUUUCUAUAAAAAAUAAGAGUGAGUAAAAUUAGACCGAAUCAAUGGCUCAAUCAAAGCAAAUGUGAUUUGGAUAAAAUAAUUUUAUUCAAUUGAUUCAUUGGACCUAUUGGUCUAAAAAAUUUGAUUCAAUUAAUUUAUUUAUUUGAUUUUCAAUUUUAAAAUUUUUGAAUUGAAUUAAUAAAAAACCAAAUUAAUAUUAUAUAUAUUAUUUUUAAAUUUAUAUAAAAUAGUAUAUUUUCGUUACUAAGUUAUUACUAGGCAAGCUAGUACUCGCCGUUCCGCUCAUAACCUGUUCUUUCUUUCCCUUCUUCAUUUUUAACUACCCUCCCACCGUCCUUUACUCUUUUUUCUCUUUCUUUCUUUCUUCAAAUCUAAACCUAAACUCCCUAAACAAGCCCCACCUUAACAUAUUUUUUAUUUUGUUAAUGCAUUUUAAAGAUGUUAAAGAUUAGGAUAGUGGAUUUCAUUUUCAUAAUUGACGACUAAUUAGUGAAGAUGUUGAAAAUACAUUCUUCACACUUCAAUUGAGGUAAAUGUUACAUUUUAUAACUUUUUACGUACUUUUUCAUUUUUAAUCUUCUUUUUACUUUGUUAUUAAAAAAAAUUUACACUAAUUAUAUAUUUUUUUUAUAUUCUUCCAAUUUUUAGAUAGUUUUUGUGAGUGAAUGUGAAGAGCCAAGUCAUAGAGGAGAUUCAAGUUGAUGAUGUGUAAUGGUUAAUUCUCUUGUGUUAAAUGGUUUUAUUUUGUAGGUGUUAAUUUUAUUAUUUUUGUUAUAUUGAAUCUUGAAUGUUAAUUUAAUGGUUAUUGUAAAAUGAUAUAAUUAUAUGAAUAAAAAAACAAAUGUUACAUUUUUUUAUAUUUAGAUUAUUUAUAAAUUUUAUAAUUAUAAAUAAAAUUUAUAAAUUUUAAUAUUAUAAAUAAAAUUUAUAAAUUUUAAUAUUAUAAUUUAUAAAAAAUUAUAAAUUUAAUUUUUAUUCAAAAUUGAUCUGAUUGAAUCAAUUCAAUUUUUUAUAUAUAAUUAAUUAAUUCAUUUUUAAAUAUAACAACUCUAGCUAAUGAAAUCAAACCGAUUCGACCGAACCACAGAUUCCUAAUUCAAAGUUCUAUUAGAGGAGGUGUAAAAAAUUGUCCAAGAGUCACAACUCCCAAGUCUUUAGUCUUACGUGCUUCAUUCAUGGAAAAGUCAACCGAGAAUUCAAUUGCAAGGGCAUUAUUGGACAACGAAACCUCGGACUGGAGAUGUGAGAUUCAGGUGGACGGAAGAAGGCAGGUACUUGAAAAACUCCAUCCUCUUGUCCUAAAAUCCCAGUUUCCUUCUUCUCUAAUCAAACUCCUUUUUGUUGUAACAACAAUUUUUUUAUUUAGUAUAUCAUCUAAUGCUUCCCAAUAAUUCAUUCCCAAACCACGUUUUCUUCUUCCUUUUAAAUCACACCCGAGAAUUGCAGUGUUCAUUGUUAAAAGAGUUUCAGAUUUUGAAGAUCAAUUUUUUUUCCUUUUAUAAUGCAAUCGAAAACCGUAAGCCUAGCUCCAGGAUUCACCCUUUUCCCAACCCUAAAACCCCCACAUAAAACCUUAAUCUUCCACCAAAUCCUUAUCUUUAUCCUCACUUUCUUAGCCUACGCCUCUUUCCACGCUUCCCGGAAACCCCCCAGCAUUGUAAAAAGCAUCCUAGGACCCACAAUUCAAUCAAAUUCAAGCUCAACAGACGCCGGAUGGGCCCCGUUUAACGGGCCGGAAGGAACCCACAGGCUCGGUGAGCUUGAUCUUGCAUUUUUAUCGUCAUACGCAAUAGGGAUGUAUUUUGCUGGACAUGUAGGUGAUAGGAUUGAUUUAAGGCUUUUUCUUGUGUUUGGAAUGAUGGGUAGUGGCCUUUUUACGAUAAUUUUCGGGUUUGGUUACUGGUUUGAUGUUCAUUUGUUGGCUUAUUUUAUGGGAGUUCAAGUUGUUUGUGGGGUUUUUCAGUCUAUAGGUUGGCCUUGUGUGGUUGCCGUUGUGGGGAACUGGUUUGGGAAAGAUAAAAGAGGGUUGAUUAUGGGGGUUUGGAGUUCACAUACUUCUGUUGGCAAUAUUAUUGGGUCUGUUGUUGCUUCUGGGGUUUUGGAGUUUGGUUGGGGUUGGUCGUUUUUGGUGCCUGGGGUUUUGGUUAUUGUGGUUGGGGUUUUGGUUUUUUGUUUUUUAGUUGUGAGUCCUGACGCAUUGGGGUUUGAGAUGAUGGAAUCUGGAAAGGAGGUUGAGAUGAAUGUGGAGGGAGAAAGUGUGGGAAAUUUAGAGAAAAUAGAGUCAGAGGAAGCAGGGCUGCUUGAGAACGAGGAAUCUGAUUCUUUGGCUGCCAUUGGAUUCUUGGAGGCAUGGAGGUUGCCAGGUGUGGCACCGUUUGCUUUCUGCCUGUUCUUCUCGAAGUUAGUGGCUUAUACAUUUCUGUAUUGGUUGCCCUUCUACGUGAGGCACACAGGUACUUGUUAUCACUUGAUGUGGUUAUUUUACUUGAUUAAAUUUUUUGGAUUUCCAAUGGAAAAUUUCUAUAGAAAUGCAUUCUCAAUGACCAAGGCCAUACGAAAGGGGGCCAUAGUUUACAAUUUUUUUUUGAAAAGCAUCAAGAAAGUUUUCAUUGCUUGGAUUUAAUUACAAAAUACUACCCUUGUGUGGUAGUAGUGCAAGUUAGCUCAUUGCAGGACAGAUGACUGCCACGACUACCCUGCAUAUUAAGAAAAAGAUAUCAAAAAUACAUUUGGUUGCUAAUAAGAUCAAGCAUAAGCCCCAGGGAACAGGGGGCCUGCUCCCAUACAAACAAGAAACCAAGAGACAGACCGUGAUCAUCCCACUGCAACCAAAUUUCCUCUAUUUUUACGAACCACCCACAAUGUUGUGAACCAACUAACCCUCAUGAUAAAGACAGCACCUGCUUAUACUGACAAGGCAGCCAUCCAUGUACAUCAGAGCCUUUACUUUCAAAAGAUAGUCAUGUUCAUUGAUUUUAUGUGGUCCUCAAUAGCCCUUGAUGCAGCACCUCUAAACCCCUGUAACCCUAUACAAAAACAAGUACCCUUCCCCUCCAUGCCAACACAAAAAACAUCAACCUUAACAACAAACCAAACUUAGCCACACUGCAUGAAGUGACUCACAGUAACUGUACCUAAGCCCAUCCAGUGUUCACAACCAGCACACUAGAAACUCUAUGCUCAAGCGGCACACUGAAUCAUCAAACUCAGGUAGCAUCCGGAUGAGGACUCAGCUGUCCUCAUUAACCUUUAAACUAUGAACCGAUCACAGCCUCAAACAAAACAUCUCACAGCAGAAAAUAUGGCAUUGACUGACAAUAAAAUUCAUCCAAGAAACAGCACUAUUACUGUAUGUUUCCUGCACUGAAAAUCAGAAGAAAUAAAAUCCAGACACCUGCAAAAACAUAACCCAGCUCAAGGUCCUUGGAAACGUUCACUCUUCAUCUUCUGAAUUUUGCCAGGGCCAUUCCCCAACUCUGUCACCUGAGGCUGUGACUUUUGUAAAAUCAUAAUCCUCAAAAACAGAGAAACUUUCAUGUUCAUAAUGCAGUGCAACCCUUUCCCUAGCAUUCAUCCCUCUAACCCAAAACAAACAUCAUCCACAACAAUUCCAGCAACAUAGCAAUUUACAGGAAACCAUCACCAUAUCUUGCCAUGACAAUUUUGCAAAACAUCCUGGGCAGAGGACGUGCCACUCAAGAAAACUCAGCAGCAGAACAACUACCUUAUCCUAUUAGAACCAAACAAUCACACAGCAGUAUAUAUCAAUGAUCAACCUGUGACAUAGUUCCAAUAUGAACCCAAAAACAUAAUUCGCCCAAAUCAGAACACUGUCAAAACAGUACAAAGAAUUAGUCGAAUCAGGCAUUGAUUCAAUCUUCAUUUUUCUUAAGUUAAGCAUUUCAUAUACUAGUAUUGACUGUGGCAACAGCAUGAAAUGCAUUUAAUGGCCCUAUAACAGUUGAUUAUAAGGUGUUAUACUGUGGAGCUUGAGCAUGUUUCAGAUGCUUUAAUCUAUUACUGCUCUUUGAUUAGCUAAAAUGACAUGUUUAUUACAAGUUUGUGUUGGAACUGUAGCUGUUGCAGGAGUGCAUUUGUCACAUAAAACUGCUGGGAUCCUCUCUACAUUAUUUGAUAUUGGAGGAGUCUUUGGUGGGGUGAUGGCAGGUUUCAUUUCAGAUAUCAUUGAAGCUCGUGCAGUUACUUCAGUAACUUUCUUAUUAUUAUCAAUUCCAGCACUCAUUUUGUACCGGGUUUAUGGAAGUGUUUCUAUGGUUUCCAAUAUCACAUUGAUGUUUAUCUCUGGGUUGCUAGUGAAUGGCCCAUAUUCACUUAUUACAACAGCCGUUGCAGCUGAUCUUGGUACCCAGGACUUGAUUAAGGGAAACUCUCGUGCUUUAGCUACAGUGACUGCAAUCAUUGAUGGUACUGGCUCUGUUGGGGCAGCUCUUGGCCCCCUUUUGGCUGGGUAUAUAUCCACUAGGGGUUGGAAUAGUGUAUUUCUAAUGCUUAUUGUGGCUAUAUUCUUUGCUAGUUUAUUCUUGAUUCGUGUUGCAAAAUCUGAGAUUGAAAGGGUCAAUGAGGGGAAAGGGCUUUGGAGUGGUGUGACCGCAAGGUGAUGUGGUUUCUCUAGGCAUCGACUGUUUUUGUCUAUUGCAUCCAUAGAAGAGGAUCUCAUUAGGAUACAGCAUGUGAUGUAACAGUUUUCUGUUCAGUAUACCGAAGUCUUGUAUUGUAUCUCAUUCUUUUAUACAGAGAAAAUCUUCAAUUCACUUGUACAUGUAAAAUUUUGUAUCAGAAUAAACUUCAUUCCUCUUUUUACCUUUAGUGGAUCUAAGUUUGUACUCUUAAAUGCUCACCCUUUAUAAUUGAGCAAACUGGUGUCCACCGGCCAGGUAUAGCUUUUGGCAUCUUCUUUGUAAAGAGGAUUAAGAACGGAAACUUUCAUCUCUUUGUUUGUACAGGAAGUUCUGUUAAAGUGAUUCUUUCAAAGGGAGGUGUUAGUUGUCUGUCUGCUGGAGGUGAUUGCCUAGAUAGACAUCUAACCAGGUCAGAAAUUGAUCCAACCAGUCUAAAGGUCAUGAAACUUGGGAGUAUAUCUUCUUAAUCUUGUGAUAUUUUGGUGUGUGUGCACGUGCACGCAACACGUGCAGACACUCUCAUUUCAUGAUGGUAUGCUAGUGUUGGAUGCACCAAGUAGCAUAUGCUACAUUGUAUAUUCAACUCUUUAUUUCCAUUAUGGUAGUGUUGAGUUGGAUUCCCUAAGUCGCACAGGCUACACAGGCCACUUGGUGGUCCGACCCUGUGGAGUCCACUUGCAUCCCCAGAUAUCCCCUAAAGGGAUAGAGGAAAUUGUGAGAAAUCAUCCCUACAGGAAUAUCCGUUCAAAAGCCAUCUUCGAGCUCAAAACAGUGAGACUAUGCCUGCUUCUAUGGUUAAGAAACUACCUUGAGACUCAGAGGAUUACUAAAAAGAUGGCUAUUAAACUGUCAGCAGUUCAAUGUUAGCACAAUCAGGAGCAUGGCAAUUGUGUGCGAUAAUAUAUAUUAAAAAAAUAGUACAAUAACAGAAUUAUUUCUGUUUACAAUCAGCUGUGCCCCUUAUAUACAAAUCAAUUCUGUUCCUCAAAUUAUCCUGGAGCUCCAUUAGAAGCCAAUAAGAAUGAUUGCGAAAGAGAAUCUAAAAUCUAUCAAAUUAUGAAUUAUAAUUCCAUAAUUUGAUUCUUUCAAAUUUUCUUCUUCUAUUGGUGAAUGUAUAUACACAGGAAGAUCCCACCUGACAGCCAAGUACAAUCAUUAGCUGGUUCCCUCCUUUAUUUAUCACGUACAGAGUGAUAAACAAAUAUAUAUUCUAUCCUUCUAAAAGGCAUUUGAGACUCUGAAGCCCCUCAGCAGAAAUACUUCGCCUGACUCUAACCCUUUGUAUGACAGAAGAGGGAGGUGGCUCCAAGUGAAAACUAACCAGAACAACUGUCAAAUUGUCUGUUGCUCCUCUUUUUAUUCCUUCUUCAACUAUUUCUUUGCAGCACAACUUCACAUCAUUGUGCUCCUGUAGCCGCCUCCUUGCAAAAUCUAUGGCAUUUUGGCUGGUAAAAACAUCCCAUAUUCCAUCACUGCCAAUGAUCAAAAAUUCAUCUUCCUUGGUCAAUGUUAUCAUUUUAAGUUCUGGUUCAGCACUUAAAGGGCCAACCCUCCCGCCUGUUUCCUUCAUACCUUCAAGGUGCCAAUCACCUAAUGCCCGGGUGACACCCAGUUGGCCAUUCAAAUACCCAUCAUCAAUGAAUCCACCCAGAGACUCAAUUCGUCUCCUCUCUUUCAAGCAACAGGGCCUAUGAUCUUUGGACAUCUCUAUAGCUGUUCCAUGCCGUGAUAGUACUGCCCUACAAUCCCCAGCAUUUGCCACAAGUAGAGACCUGUCAAAGAUAAGAUCAUACUCCAGGCAAAGCCAAAACCAUAAAUGUUGAUUAAAAUAUAUAUUCCAAACAAACUACUAGAUGUCCAAACCGUGCACACAAAAAGUCUCUUUCAUUGAUUCACUUCUCCAAACUCACAUACACUAAAUUGUAAAAUGUUGCCUUUCUCAAUUUCUAUCUUCAUUUUGUUCCUUGCCAACCAGAGAAAAGAGGAGGGGCAGAGAAAACAGAAAAAGCACAGUAAGGCCAACCCAAAAAGGUUUGGAAGUGCUUACCUCCCAAAUAUGAUUGCAGUGAGAACAGUAGUGCCAGAAGCCAAGGCAGACUCAAGGGAGCAUGACUUCGCAAAUGCAGCAUCAGUCGCCAUGAAUGACCUGGUCACUGCUUUCUCAAGUUCUAAGGGAAAACCAGCAUCCUCAACAAUUACUCUAGGUAAAUGAUCACGGACAAAAUGAGAUGCACCCUUCCCUUCAUGCCCAUCAAAAACCUGUUUUUGAUGUCAAAAAAGAGAAUGCUUAUGUAUUCUUGUGAGCUUAUUUUUCUUUUAUGCUUUAUUUAAUGUGAUUCAAGAGCGUUAGUUUUGGCUGACAAAACAAGUUUUUAAUCUAACAGAUAGCUAUUCUUGGUUAAAGGUCAUGUUUCAAUAGAAAAUAAGUAGACAAGGUCUCUAUCAAGAGCGUUAAAUACCCUUCUGUUUGUAUCCCUUUUUUUUUAACAACUCUGCAUCCAAUUCAUCCUUUAUCCCUUCUGUUUGGUCAUCCUUGCUUGGGUAGACUAAAGAGCUAAACUAAGAACAUAACUCAUAAACAUGAAUUGCUGACUCAAUUCAUGUUAGGUUUACAUGCUGAAAAACUUUUAUGCUAGGGUUUGGGAAGGACUAUGCAAAUUAUUACUGCAACUUUCAAGAUGGCUAAUGUUAAGAAGCAGCAGCAGCAGUAACUUUUAAUCAUUAAUUAGAAGCAACAUGUUCCAGCAUUUUAUAUGCAUCCAAAAAUAUAAUCUAAUAAUGGGGAAGAAAAGAUGACUUGAGAGAUGACAAAGCUUAUUUGCCUUUCCAAUUAAGUCAGUUAUGUGAAAAUGACCCAUCUGAAUUUCAGCAAGAUGAUCAACUGCAUAAAGCUUCUAUUCCUAGAGCGACAGUUGAACAAGAAUGUUUGGUUUAUCUCCAUAUUCUAAAAUAAACCACGAAUACAUAAGAAUAAAAUGGUAUUCAGAAAUAUUGGAAAAUCUAACAGGACAACAUAUCUAAAAUAAGGAUGGUUUAUAAACUUACACCAUAGAAGGAAACAGCUUCUUCACUCAUUAAAUUACAACUGAAAUUCUUAGCCAAGUCUGCAAUGCAUAUAUGAGUAUCCUCCAUGUAGGCACGACCCCCAAUGUCAGACCACUCUCCAGAUCGAAGAGUGGGGACAAAAUUUGUCAACACAUUAUGUUUUCUGUCUGUGGCAACUGCAUCCUCAGAAAUACUUUCCAGCUGAAUGAAAGAAAAGUGCGAAUGAGACUAUUAGAAAAAUACAAUAAAAGAAACCUGCAGAAACCUUUACAAGGAAGAGAAGGUAAUAAAUGUACUUAAUCCCUAUCCAGAAACAACUGCCUAGCAUAUCAAUGUGUUGAUUUUACUAAUUAAUAGUUCUCCAAAGAAAACUUCACAAAAACAAAUAGCAAAAUAGAAAUUAUAACUGCAGGGCAGACACUUCUAAAAAUGAUCUCACUUGCAGCACGGGCGAGGUUAAGAAGAGAUAAAGCUUUAAACAAAGAAUAAUAGUGUAAUAGCAUGAAUACAAAUUCCAUCAACAAAAGACUGACCACACUCUCUAAGUACCCAGGGUUUGGGGUAGAUUGAAAACCCUACAGAAUAUAAAGCUAAAUUCUGAACAUACUUCAACUAUACUCCUAGUUAGACCCUAACUAUCAGAGUGUAUACUAUUUACCACAAGUCCACUUGUGUGAUAUUCAAUAUUUGAACAUUUUAUGAAGAAAGGUAGAUCAUAAGCUGGCAUACGCUGCAUACAACAUUUGGCAAAAUCCUUAUACCUACAAAAUGUAAGGAUUUUUUUCCCUUAGAAAGAUUGUCGGCAAGGAAAACCUUAUACCCCGUGACACCAAGAUAUCUGUUCCUUAUAAAGAUCAAGAAUAAGAAGUCAGAUUUCAAUACAUGCUGAAUUGGUUCCAGAGCUAAACAUAAACAUCAGACCUUAUUUGAUAUUCAUAGAUUACAAUGUCAAAGAAGUCACCUAAUAUCUGUGCUAAAUCAUGAGAACCCACUUCGAGUUCAUUCCUAUAUAGGAGUAAUUAGAACAGCAUGUUCUAAGCUGAGAAAAAAGCAAAUGCUAAGAACUUUCCACAACCCUCAACAGCUGUGAGCAGUUGACUUACAUUAAAGCACUGGACUCUGCAGUGAAUCAAUAAAGAAAGAACUUACAUUAAUUUAAGCAGAUAAGGCGCCGUAAUACAAUUUAAAGAAGCUGUUACAUCAAACCUGAUUUAUAGGAAAAUGACAUAACAAUAGAUUCCACUUUUGGUUAUUUUGGUGUAACAGAGAUGCAAGUGACCAUCUCUGGCUAUGGCUUCGUGAACAAGCAUUCCUCACUAUCAAAAUAACUUCUAUAACAUUUAAAAGAGGAAGUUCGCCAUAACUACAUUAUAGUAGUCCAAUUUUGUCAACUCCCAUCAGGCUUAUCAUCUAACCUACCGUGGAGCAUGCAGCUAUGUACUAAAUGAAUACAGUCCAACGCCAACAACAAAUUUCAUACUGUUCUUCCAUACCUAUCUUUCAACCAGAAAUAGAAAAAUACAUGUGAUAUAAAUGGAAAAAAAAAACAAAUUGAAUAAACAAAAACACACAUGUUAAGUUCCAAAUAAUAAAAGCAUGAUAAAACAAAGAAAUAUACGGUGACCCAACCCUGCAAUUCAAUCUUAUCUAAACCACUCUAUUUUUUAUUUAAUUUAUCGAUAAUCAAAAGUCAGAUUAAUUGCAAGCAUACAACAGAAGCAGAAGAAACUAUAAACAAUAAUAAAACCCAAUCGAAAUGGAAUAAGUAAAUAACUAAAUAAGAAUAAAAUCAUCAGUAUCCACCAAUAUAUAUAUACAAUCAGAUAAAGCGGGAGACCAGUUUUGCAGAUGACCGCCCUCCAAGUCCAAUAAACAACAGCAUGAAUAUAGAAGAAUUUAAUAUUAAAAAGACUAACAACAAAAAGCAAAAACAAUUUUCUCUCUCUCUUGUGAACAAAACAGCUUCAUGAAUACAUUAUAGAUGAAUCUGACAGAAAACUGAACAUAAGUAGCUGAUGGGACUGGGAUAAUUUAAAAAACAUGCCAUUAUGAGUGGUGAUCAAAGUGCAUAUAAAGGGAAGAAAGUAUCAAUAUUGGCUAUUUUACAUAAAGCUAAAUGCUGUCCACGAACACAUUUACAGCAACAAAUUUCUCAACUUGAAGCAAAAUUUAACCAAAAGACAAGUACCCAGAACAGAAUUAUAAGAAACUGUAUCAUCGAUAGCCACCUUCUCUUCACACAAAAAAAAAAAUUGUUACAGGAAAUGAAGUUUGGAUACUGACUCUAGAGCUGCCACUGACCAUAGCCACAGGAGAGUCUUUAUCAUCCCAAUUCUCCAUCUGGGUACAGAAGAAAUCACCCCCACAAAGCAAAGGCCAAGUCUUUUUGUUAUUGCUGUCAUCAAGGUCCUCCAUUUCUUGGCUGACCUGCUCUGCAUCUUUAACACACAUGAUGGUGAUGAUGCUGUUGAUUAAAAAAACAAAAGGAAAAAAAAACGUUUUUGAUGGGUGGCUUUCUUUUUUCAGCUUCGCAGCAAGUUGAUAAGCGUAUCCAGAGUAACAGGAGCAAAAAGAAGAACAACAAAAGAGAGAGAAUCAAAAGGAAAAUAAUGGACUGGAGAGAAGAUUCUUGAGAAUAUAUUGCAUUGGCUCUGAGUUAAAAAUGGAGGGUCCCUUCCCUUGCUUAUUAUUAUUUUGUGCUUAUAUUAUUAUUCUUAAGGUGCCGUUAAUAACAAUUCCAGAUUUUUCUUAUGAAAGCGUGGCUGAAAAUCAGCUCUAUUGGUUGGUUGGUUUUUCUUAAUGCUUUUAUGAUCUUCUUCUUUUCUGGUGCAAGCUUUUCCCUUCCUUUUCAAAUGUUAGCAUCAUGUCUCAAGAAAUGUCCUUCUCUUUAAAUUACCUUCCAGACCCUGCCCUUUUUCCAUAUAUUUGUAUAAAAUAAAGAUUGUAGACUUCAGUCUUCAACAUAUAAUGGAAAAAGGAUCUUUUUAAUUGCUUUGUAUGAAGCGUCUGCAAACUUACACCGUGUUUGCUAGGAAAGAAAUUCAAAGAAAUGAAAGGUGGAAGGCAAAGUUGCAGGAAAAAAUAUAUAUUUCUUCUCAUUGGUAGGUAUGAAAUUUGAACAGCAAAUGCAAAUAACAUAUAGAUUUGCAUAUUUUUAUUCUCUCAAAACCCAAUUUUCCCACUGUUGAAAAGAAAACAUUCUUCUAAAUUCUAAUUAACAAUUAAUCAUUUUAAUUUAUUAUACCUACCCCCCAGAUGUUAUAAUAUUAUUAAGGGUUUUUUUUUCUUUGUUUUGUUUUAUUAUAUAAAUUGGUAUGUCUAAGAGUGGGUGGUUUGAACCUAAAUUUGUAAUUUUCUAACCCCUAAGGCUAGCUACCUAAAUGUGAGACAAAAGACCAAAGGUCCACAAUUAUUUUUAUUGAUUAUGUUAAUGUAAAUGUGAACCAUAUGCUGCUUAACCUUUUUUGACUACUAGAGAUUACUCAAGUCCUAAAUGGGCCUUGAUUAUCACCCAAAAAAAGAGGGUCUUGUUUUAUUUUCUGCUCUAAAUUUUGUAUAAAUUAUAUAUAUAUAUUAUUGUAUUAAUUAACUAAAAGUUAGGAAGUUUGGAAAAGUUUCCUGAAAAUUUAAAUAGAACCUGUCAUGUCCAUUUAUCUUCAAAUUUUGGUUAGAAGUGUCUCUUGUCUUUCCUGAUCUGGAAUUUUAACAAAAGAUGGUGUCUGAAAAGACCAUGCAUUGGUGGGAUUGGAAUGGUAGAGGUAAUGUGAGUGCAUUUACAAUAGGGACAAAUCUAAUGUGUUUCUUUUUUUUUUUUCUACAAAUGAAUGAUUUGUGAUAAACUAGUGAUAUGUUAAAUCAUGGUGGUUUGUUUUAUUUUAGUGGUAAUAAUUGAGCUAAAAAGAUUUGAAAGUGAAGGUUUAGGCAAUAGAAUCCCCAGUGUGAAUUCCAAGACAAGGAGUAGGGGAGGGGGAGCAAGAUGAUGUAAAGAAAAAGACAUAAGAUUUCUCUUUUGCUUUCCAUAAAGGUAGUGAUAAAAUAUCUUCCCUGUAUACAUGAUCAAAGAUUCAACAUUGGCUUCCAGAUUGUUGCCUUUGCACUAAUUGUCACUAACCAUAAAGUUGUUUCUUUUCUUAGACCAUCAUGCUUGCCUUUUUUGUAAUUUAUCUGUGAAGAAUCUUACGACCAAUUAUAUACGAAUUAAAUUAAAUUAAAUUAAAUUUUACUUUUAUUUAAUUUAAUAAAAUAAAUCCAUAAAAUUGGAUAAAUCGGCAACGUUGCAAAUGGGAGAAAGGAUAUUUAGGUUUAGGGUGGUCAAUUUCCAAUUAUAGGUCUAAAUGAGCUUUAAACGAGUAUUUAAUCGAGUCAAGUUUAUUUAUGUUUGAACUUUGCUCAUUUAUUAAAUGAAUUCUGAAAUUUUGUUCGAAUUAAUUUGUUUAAACAAAUAUAGACGAAUUUAACUUAAAUCUAUUUACGAAUUGUUUUGAAUCUUACAUGACAAUAUUUGAGAAAAAUAAACAAUUUUUAGCGUCAAGAUGCUGGUCAAAAAGCACUUAGCUUUAGCACGAUUGAUUUGGAGGAAAAGUUGAGUUACGCAAGCACCGCCCAUAACAAAGGCACCAAAAAGAUAAAUAGAAGCUCAUAAUUAAAUUUAAUGGGUAUUUCUUUUUAUUUUUUUUAUUUUUGACAUAUGCACAGUAAUUGAGAUAGACAUAAUGCUUUUCAAAAAAAAAAUUGGGAUAGAGACAUAAUAAUUUAUCAUGAUUUGGAAUUUCGUAUCUAUUAAGGAAACAAUUGAGUUAGAACAGAAAAGAUUUUUUUUUUUUUUAUAUAUAGAAGGGAGAAGAUAUAAAAGAACUUAUUACAUCAUCUUAUGCCAUGAUAUUAUUUUAAAUAUUGUAAAAUAAAUCAAAAUGUUUAUAUUGCUAAAAUUAAAGUAAAAGAAAAUACAAUAUAUUAUAUUAUUUAAAGAAAAGCAACAACGAAUUAGCAUUAUUUUUCUUAACUAUUAUGGAACUAAUCAUGUCAAAAUAAAAAAGAAAAAGGAGUUGGCGGUCAUUGGUGUUCUAAUGACUUCGAAUGCAUUCGAAAAUUUCAGAACUACAAGAAAAUUAAAAAAAUAUCGUCCAAUUAAACCAAUUAAACCUUGUACGUUUAUGCUAUUCCCUAAAGGUAGUGAUAAUAUAUCACAACAUUGGCUCGGAGAUUGUUGCCCCUGCAGUAAAGGUCACUAAACAUAAAGAUAUUUCUUUUCUUAGACCAUCAUUCUUGUCUUUUUGCAAUGCACAUGUGAAGAUUCUUACUACCCAUGAUGGGAAAAAAAAAAAAAAGAACCAUGAAAUUUUUACUUUUGUAUGGAAGAUGGAAAAAAAUAAUUUAAGGAGGGUAAAAAUAAGAAUAUGAUAAUGAUUUAAUUGCCUUGAUUUUAUUUUUAUUUAUAAAAAUUUAAAAUCUUCAAAUAUGAUUUAAUAAUAGAGAUACAUAUUUGUUAUCAAGUUCCAAUAUUUCUUCUUAAAUAAGAAAGAAAAAGAAAAAGUGAAAAUUUGAUAAACUUUCUUAGUAGGGGAAGAUAAGGGCGUGCGUCACCUUCAUGCAUGUUAUUAUCAAAUCAAUAUUGAAAAUAAUGCCUUAAUUCUUGUUGAAGAUACGUUAAAUGCCUUGAAAAUAGGCAAGGAGAGAUAAGUUCAAGAAAAGCAAAAAGCAGCCGUAAGUCAAGAUGUAAUGUGUUGAUCUAAAUUGCUGGCAAGAUGAAGCUGCAAACUUUAUUGACUGCAAUAUAAUAAUAGUCUUUAUCUUUGAAGAGCAUGGCAGCUAAAGUUAUGAUGUAAUAAUUCUUGGGUAUUAUUGUAAUUGACUCUAUCUUGUCUGAGCUAACCCCAGAAUAAGAAAAGCAGGCGUGGAGUGCGGAGAGACCAAUUUCUAAUUCGAGUGGCUCAUUAGGACAAGACCAAAAGCCGAUAAUGGUUGGAAAAUGCCAUGGAAUCUGGUGUUGUUGCAUUGAUACGUGGCAUGUUGUUGUCCAACAGUACUGCAUUUGUUGCGUGUUGGGGUUGCGAAUUCCAUUAGCAAAAUUAUCAUUAUUUUUAUUCCUUUGAAAUUCUCCUAUUCGUAUUUUCCUUUUGGACUGUCCUUAAACCUUAAUCCAAUGGAAAAUCUUUUUCUUUUCUAUGGAAAUAUAUGGACAAAAACAAGAAUAUCAAUGCCGUACUGCCUACGGUUGAGCAUUUCAGUUUUCAUAUAGAGAUCGAAACGCAUCAGUAUCAAUGUUUUUCAUAUUUUUUGCUAUAUAAAUAAAAAUGUAUAAACUUGGAAUAUAUAUAUAUAUAUAUAAACUAUUUUUAUCAGAAAUAUAAAUGUAUUAUACUAAAUAUUUAUAUGUUCGAAAAUUGAAAACAAAAACAUAGAAGAUUCAGAUCCAUAAUUGAAUUAACUUAUUGUAGAAAAAAAAAUUUUGUGAAAAUUAUUUUAUUAGAAAAUUUAAUAUUUUUAUUUAAAUAAAUAAUAUUUUCUGUUAUUUAAAUCACUCUGUAAAACAUCUUUUUCUCAUUAUUUUUCACAAAAAAUAUUUUCCCAUUUCUUACCUCAAUGCUAUUCAGUCCCUGGGAAAGAGAGAAUAGAACGGGAAGGCAGUAAAAGGGAUGGUGAAGGAGGUCGACCAAGGGGAUUAUCUUACGUCCUGCAACCUGCAACGGUUUAUUUUUCAUCGACCGGUAUCAAAAUUUUUGGUCAUUGCAUUUAGGAUUCAAUUGAUUUAGGAUUCAAACAAGAAAUAAUUUAGCCCAACCCUAUUUAUCUAUAUCUGUCCAAGAAAUAGCCCAUCUACUAUAAUAGUUAGCCAAUCCCACUUAACUUGACCCAAAAGCAUCAGCCUACUUGCUUAACGAAACUCAAGUCCCAAAAGCCUUCAUAAUGAGAAAUCAUUAACAAUCCUCUAGUCCAAAUUUGAUUUCCCCUCCAAUGUUUUUCUAUUUUCACAUUUUCCCUUUCAAUUCCGCUGCCUACCUUGAGUUCUGCACAUCUGCAUUAAUUUUUUGGAUAGCGGAUAUUAUGAUAACAUUGGGAUGUUAUGCAUUGAUGAAUUGAUUUGGUGAGUUCCUCGUGAGCAUGCAGGCAGGCAGUGUAGCAGUGGUGAAGGUCAUGAUUUGCUAAUUUUUUUACUAUAAUAUAAAAGACAAACCACCAGUCACAACCAUGGACAAUAAUACCGACUACAGGUGGCUUUUCUCUCCAUUUGGCAAUGAACAAAACGUAUGAAGACAGCUGUAGGACAGCAAGACUGAAAACUGAAAACUGAAAAUGAGUGACUACAACUAGAAUCCUCUCCCCCCCAACGCAACAUUGAAAGUAACUUCUGAUUUGUAGCAAAAUAGCGGAGAGCGGGAUUAAAAUCACUACUUAGCCGAGUGAAGUGUCCAUGAAUAAGGGCUGCAUAAUAGAUGCCUCCAAAUUAAUGUCCAGGUUAACUGUCUUGAACUAGAGUGAGAAAUGAAAACACCAGAAAGUUGAUCCACAAUCUUAAACAAAGUGAUAGAAAUAUUCUUCGAAAGUAAGUUCAUACUAAUGAAUCAAAAAUUCCAAUUGGAAAGCAUGUUCAUACUAAUGAAGCAAAAAUUCCAAGCCUAUUUGAGAACCAUAUAUAAUAAGGGAUAUCUUCAAGAUUCUAGAUGUCGUAAUUUAACAAAAUCCAAACAUAAAAGUGAAAGGAAAGAAAAACAAUAGCAAAAAACAUCUAACAGUCAAAGUUCUUCAAAUCUAGAGGCAGUUCAAGAACUUAAUAUCUUCUCCAUAGAUUCCUACACCGAAGAUACCACAGAACACACUCACACCUUAUAUUCCAGUGAAAGCUUUCUUCCCACCACCAGAAGAUCCAGCAGGAAUCACUUUCAAAACGUUGAACCUCACAGUCUUUGACAAUGGCCUGGAAUUAAAAAUUAUUAGACAUGAAUUACAAACAGCUAAAAUUGUCUACCCCUAUCUGUAAAAAUGAUUAGAUUCAUAGACAUUUAAUAAAAUCCUUGUGUUUCAGAACUUUUACCUGCAUUGCCCGAUAAUGACAUGAUCCCCUUCCUUCACACGGAAGCAUGGAGAAAUAUGUGCAGGAAUGUUUGAAUGCCUCUUCUCAUACCUAAAAAAAAAAAGGAAUUUAUCAAAAUAACUUCAAAAAAUAACUAUUCACAUAAGAAAAAUCCAUAAAAAAUGAAGCUGUAUCAUGCCUUUGGUAUUUCUUGAUAUAAUGAAGGUAAUUCCGUCGAACAAUGAUUGUCCUCAUCAUCUUGGCACUAUGACAAGUACCAGCUAAGAUACGACCCCUGAUGGAAACAGUGCCAGUGAAUGGGCAUUUCUUAUCAAUGUAGGUUCCUUCAGGAAACAAAUACAGAAAAAAAAAAAAUUAACAACCAGCAAUCAUAAUCUGGAUACCGACAGAACUGUUAACACAUAAAAACAUAUUCUCUAUAUCCCUUCCAAAUAUCAGAGUCUUCAUGUUAAUCAAGCCAAGUAGUAAACCAUCAUUUCUUUCUUAUAAAGUACUAUGUAUCACGCGUCAGUAUAUUAGCAUUAUAAAGGAUCCAUUAUCUGAAAUUUCAAAGGUAUGGCAAUAUAGAAAUAAAGCAAUUACUAUUUAGAAUGAUAUUGGCUUUUCCAGCUAACAACAAACAAAUGUUUACUCAGCUUACUAAAUGCAAGUAUCCAAGUAACACUCACAACUUAAAUAAAAUUUUACAUAAACUAAGCAUCCCCACCACCUAUAAUAAAUACAAUAAUAGAAAUAAAAAUUAAAAAAGGAAACUAAAAAGCCAACAAACCUUCAAUAGCUUCACGAGGAGUCUUGAAGCCCAAACCAAUGCUCUUCCAGAAGCGGUUCCCUCCCUUUCCUGGUCUCUUCCCUUUCCCAGAUUUCUUCGAGCUGAAAACAAUACAAAAUCAAUAAAACCCAUCUAAAAUAAAAAACCCAACUCGAAAAAUGUAAAAAGUUGCAAAAUUUUCAUGGUUUUUGAGUUUUGAGAUUACCUUAAAAACACUUUGGGUUGCUUCAAAAAUGCCUUCUCGGUCUGCAAACAAAAGAAAAACCAGAAAAUGAAAAGCCAAGCAUAGAGGGAGGGAGAGGGGGAAGAAGGAAAGAGAAUGGGAUCUGAAUGUGAACCUGUUCUGCCAUGGUUGAUGAGCUCUCUGGAGGGAGUGAGGCGCGGCUGCUGCGGGCAAAGAGAAGUAAAAAUGAGAGAGCUUUGCUACGAAAAACCCUAACCCUAACUAAUAAGUUGGCUUUUCAUAAGGGAUUCGUUUGGGCCACCUUAUCAAGCUGGGCCUUCAAAACUUGGGUCUUGAGAUCUUCUAUUUGGGCGAAUACAUGGUUUGUCACUUGAUUAGUUUUUCUUUUUUUUUUUUGUUGUGAAAAGUUAUUAUAAAACAAAUGCAAAAAAUAAAAAAAUAUAAUAAACUAAAUUUGGAUAAAUAAUUAAAAUAUAAAUACCAAUAUAACAUAAUUAGUUUAUAUAAAAGUAGAAUAAUAUGUUUCAUUAUUUUAAAAAAUUACAUAUUUUAUCUAUAGUUUUCUCAAAAUUAUUAUUUUCUUUUGUAUCUAAAUGUACAUAUUUAUCUAGGAUAUUUUUUUUUUGUUUCUACCUAAAAGGGUAAAUAUAAAAAUUUUACAGUUUACUUCCUUGCAUUACCAAACGAGAGCAUGAAUUUCAUCUUCCUUUAUCUUUAAUUUAUUCAUGAACCAAGCAAGGCCUUUCUAAUGCUCUGUUGCCUUAUGACUGGCCUACCUUUUUUCACUUACCUUUAAAUUUCCAUUACUUAGAUGUUGGCUUUAGGAAAAUGAAAGUAAUAAAGUUUUUAAGCUGCUUCUAAUAAUUAAUUUCAUUUUACUCUAGGUUGACUCGCUUGGAUAUUAGUUCCGCGUCAAGGUAAAUCAUUCUAUUGCUUUACAUGAUCGCCCUCGAAGAGCAUUCACUGAAAAGAGCAUGCAAAAGCAAGGUCUAGCCCCCACUAGGCACCCCAACUCAAAAACUGACCAAAGCAAAGUAAAUUCAAUAGCCAUUCUGUUGACCCUAAGCAUUUUUCAGAUUUUAGGCCUGAAAUGGCUACGGGCUAUAUCAACAACUCUAUUGGCAUUCUUAGGCGGAGUGCAAAUAAAAACAUUCACCCUGUGAUGGAGAUGUAUGCUGAACCUAUCAAUAUGGAGUUCUCUGAUGCUACAUCAAGUGAUUGGUCUCUUUUGACAAGCUCUGAUAAGGUUUCAUUUACAAUAGAGAGUACUAGAGACUCUUUCAGUACUGUGGACUAUGCUGAUGCCAGUAGUGGAGAUUCAUUGUCAAUCUUCAACAACUCGUUUACUCCAAAAUCCUCCUCUUACAACACGGUUUCGUGUAGAAUCUUGUCAACUAGUAAACCCCAGACUAGGUAUAUAUUAGAGGAGAAGGGUUAUGUUUUUGAUUCAUACUUAUUAGCCUAACUUGUGAUUAGAGUUCAAGAGAACUUGAAGCAGGUCGGUAAUUUUUUGACCAAAAUUUCUUUGGAUAGUGACUAUGGCAUGUCUGUAAAAUAUGGGAGUAACCCAAAAAAUGCUCUUGAUAGAACUUAUGGUCAUUGUGAACUAUAGCUUGUGAAAAUUCCAACUGAUUAAAUAUUGACUUAACCAGCUAGAAGUGUUGCCUCAAUUUUCGUUUCAAUGCUUUAUUGAUUGAGUUAUGUGGAUCGUAUUAAAAUAACCAAGGAAAGGAAUAUUCUUGUUAUUUUUCAAAAAUAUUUUUUGAAGAUUGUAUAGCGCCAGCAUUUAAAAAUAAAUGUUAUUCUUUGAAUGCUUUAGUCUGUUGAUAUUGAAAUGGUAAUGUUAAUGCCUCCUUUAAUACUUUCCACGACUUCUGCGUUGGGCAUUGCGCCGAGCUUAAUUAUUAUUGUUACCCCAAGCAGCAACAUUACCCCUCGAGUUAGCGGCACCAGCGUUGUUUCCAAGAGGAUUAGCCACACCAGCUUUGUUUCUACGGCCUCGAGUAUUGCCUUGAGCAGCAACAUUGCCCUUUGAUUAGCUACACCAACAUUGUUUCCAGGACGAUUAGCCGCACCGCAUUGUUUCCACGCCCUUUGCGAUCUCUGCGCUGAGCAUUGCCCCAAGCAACAGCAUUGCCCCCUGCACCAGGAUUAGCUGCAGCAGUUGCACGACAUUCACGUUCCUGUUCCUAUAAGUGCAUUAUAAAAAAAAAGCUAUAAAAUGAAAAAUAAUAGUGUAGAAGAAAACCUGCUUUGACAACAUAUUAGCCAACUUUGUGUAAAACAACAUAUGAGAUUGGAGUUGUAAAAAAGGCUUGCACACAUAUGCGAUUAGAGUUGUUUGAAGGGUAGUGGCAUAUCAUAAUGGUAAUUUCAGUUCACUAUGUACCUAAGGUAGUUUCAGUUCACUGCGCAUAACAACAUGAAGCCAGCAACUAUAGGCAAAUUUAUCCAUGUCUAUUAAAAUUCUAUAAUUUCUGCACUUCUCCCUUUAGCUGUCACAACCAAGACAUCCUUUGUAUCCCUAAUAAUUAUGUAAUUUAAAAGGAUACAAAAGAACAUUUUUGUAAAUGUUUUUGCAACUGACGUCUAAUAUAGUUUUUGCAGUGAGCGAUGGGACAAUUAUGUUGUUUUGGCAUGAUGAAUGGACCAGUGGGUGUGGUCCUGGCUCAUGCUUUUCAAGAAUUCUUGCUUUGGCAGAGAACAAAAAUAGCAAGAUUGUGGAAUAUGGUGGAUGGGAAAAGGAAAGAUGAGUCUAAAAUGUGAACCUUAGAAGUUAGCUUUUUGAUUGGGAAGUUGAUCAAUGAGAGCAUUUUGAGAAACUAUUGCAAGAUUUUCAGCUAAGUAAAGAACUUAAGGACGAGCUAAUUUGAGAAAAAGAAGCAAAUGGGAACUAUACUGCCAAGUCGCUCUGUAAGUAUGUCUUGUCCUCGAAUGUUGAAUAUAAUGGGCUAUGGAAACAUGUAUGGGCUAGGGUAGCACCUUUUAGGGUGGAAACUUUUGUUUGGCAAAUGGUUCACGGUAAGGUAGGGGUUAAGGAUGAGCUAGUUAAAAGGGGUGUAUAGUUAAACAAUUAGUUAGAUUGUGUGCUAUGUAAGAAAGAGAUAUGUAAUCAUCUAUUUAUUGAAUGUAAAGAGUCUUGGAUGGUCUGGUCGUGGUGGUGCAAAAGAUGGGGGGUUGUUUGGGUUUCACCAGGAAAUACUAAAGAUUCGUUGGUGGCUUGGAAUGGAUGCCAUAUGGAUGGUUUUCAUAAAAGAAUUUAGGAAAUGACAUUCUUUUCUAUGGCCUGGUCAUUAUGGAAAAGCAAGAACGAAAUUGUCUUCGAAGGGAAAGAGUGGGAUAUUAAUCAGUGUUUGGAAUUGGCAAAAAUUAGAGUUACUGCUUGAGCAAAUGCAAAGUAGCCUGGGGAGCACCAUCAAUUUUAGACAUUUAUAGACAAUUGUCACGCCGCUUUUGUGGAGGAGGGCGGGACAGCCCGAUGGCAAGGGCUUGAGGCUCGGGAGUGGACAAGCCAGCUCGAAGAGGGACGAGCAACGAGGGCUGGAACCCCGAUUUGGCGCCAAGGGACUUGAGACAUCGGCACCCAUGGGCGGAUGAGAGCGCAGGCCAGUUAUCAGAUUGGACACGUGGGCCAGCAGACAGGCAGUGUGCCUGGGCCAGCAGGCAGACGGGGUGCGCAGGCGUGCAGGAAAAUGGCGAGCAGCAGAGUUGGCAGACUGGCGCGCAGCGGGUGGGCGCGAACUGCCCAGGCAAUCUGCCAGAAGCGCGGGAAACACUAACCAACCCGAAACCUGCAGGGCAGCCGUUGCCUGCCAUUGGCAACAGUGCCAGGGACACAUCAGAGGGGCCCAGCAGAGCUCAAAACAGCCCCUAACCGUUGGGAACUGCCUUGUAGCAGCUCUAAGGGGUCCUAAGUUGUAUAAACCUCUUGAGUCCCCUCGUUUGAGAUUAAUGACUCUUAUAUUGAAAUUUCUAUCAAUAAAAGCUCUCUUUUUGUUCACUUAACUCUCUUGUGCUUGUCAUAAUCAAUCCUAACUAGCUAACUUGAGAAGGCUGCUAGCCUUUCUAACCCCUUUUAACGAUGUAAAGACUACGCCGCACGGGUCAAGAGAAAACCCCGUGACACAAUCACCUAGAUAAAGGCUGCAAAGGAAGACAAGGCAAGGAAGGGGCGACAUCAAAUAGGAAAAACCACAGCCAAGUUUCAUAAAAUUCAAUGUUAAUGGCUGCGUAGGGCCAAGGGGAUAGGUGGUAUCUUGAGGGACCCUUGUGGGGAAGCCAAAAUCACAUUCGCUAAGCCAAUAGGUAUGGCAGACUCUAAUCUUGCAGAGAUUAUAGCAGUAAGAGAAGCAUUGAUCAUUUUCAAUGCAUCAAAAUGGAAGGAUGAAUGUGGACUUGUUAUUGAAAGUGAGUCAAGCAAUGCCGUUAAGUGGAUUCAACAACCUGUUUUAGCUCCAUGAAGGAUUCGAAAGUGGAUGCUACAAAUUGAAAGAUUUAACGAAAAGCUAGCUGGUUGGAUCAUUCAACAUGUGAAAAAGAGGUAAAUCAUACGGCAGAUGCUUUGGCAAAAAAGAGGGGUGGAGCUGAAAUUAGAAUUAUUGCAAAUAUUCUUGUAAAUAUCCUUUCUUUCCUUGUGUGUUGAAUGGUUGCAUGAUGGUUGAGGAGUGCUGGAAAAGAAGGAUGAAGAUUGGUAAAAGAACAUGCUGGAUAUAUUACAUACAUAUCACCCUGUUUCUUGAGGAUAGAUUGGUGAUGAAUAAACCUGAUUAUUGAGGUGGGCAAGACAGGUUUCGUGAUGGGGAUUUUGGUUUUUUUUUUUUUUGAAUUUAAGUGGGUCCUUGAAUUUUGAUAUGAGAUGUUUUUGUAUAUGGGAUAGGAUACUAGAUCCUGUUCUCUGUUAAUUUGUUUUAGUGCAGUGGAGUGGUGAUGAUUGAUGUUCUUGUACAUGAGUAUAUGGGGAGGGGCUUUUGAUGCCUGCAUUGCUUUUUGCUUGUGCAAAAUGAAUGUUUUUUGUCUCGACCUAGGAUGUUUGCUCAAAGGUCUUUUGGGACAGGAUACUUUUGUAUAAGCCAACUUGAAAGGCUCUUUGUAAGGGGUAAAUUUCAUUCCCAGUAUUUAAUGAAAGCUUGCUUAUGAUUUUCCCAAAAAAAAAUCAUGAGAAUGCUAAUAGCUAAACAACAUCAAGAUAUAUUAAAUGUUGUCCUGAACAGAAGACAAUUGAGAGCAAUUGGAGGUGACAUAUGGGUUGUUAUUGAGUUAUUUCGGAUAGGAUCAAUGACUGCCACGUGUUGGCCCAAUUGAGAAACACACGGCCAUUUCAUUCAAUUGAAACUUCUGAUAAUUUAUUUUGGUAGAAAUGGGCAUAACUUUUUAAUCAUUUUUCCCUUUCUUCCGUUUCUUUGGCCUUUCUUAUUUUGCUUUCUUCAUUCUUUGGCUUUUAGAUUUUUUGCUUCUCCCCUCGAUUUCUCCAUCCUCCCUUUUCUUUUACUUUUCCCAUUCCUUUCAUCUUUUUGUCUUCUUUUUUCAUUGCUUUUUUCGUUUUUUACUUUUUUUUGGCUUCCUUAAAUUGUUUUGGUGUUUUUUUCUUUGAUUUGUUUAGUCUUUGAUUUGUUCAACCAUUGUUCUUCUUGGUUUUUUUUUUUACUUUUUUUUGGUUUUGAUUUGUGAUAUGUAUUCUUUUCUCUUUUUUUUUCUUUUUUGCAUUUCGGUUUGGCUGUUGUAUGAAUAUGUCUUGGUUUUGUGACUUCCAUUUUUUCUUCUGUUUUGAUCUGUGGUUUUUGUGUUGCUUUGGUUUGAUUGUGUUAAUUUGCUUUAUGUUUUAGUUUUUCAAGUUGUAUUUUGUUUUCAUGUACUCAUGGUUUGAUUUUUCUUUCUUGCAAGUUCUUUUGUUCGACUUCUGUUUCACUGUUAUUUUUCAAAUUUGAUUUUUCUUUUAUUUAUUCUCUUUUAGUUUUUAUUUAUGUCUUCUCAGUCGAUGCUUUUGUUUUCAAGUUUUUAAGUUGUGCAUGUAAUGUUUUUUUUAUUUGCCUGUUAUUAGAAAAUUAUGUGUCCUGCCUUUUUCUUUUGUUGUUGUUCUAUUAUUGGUUUCAUUCUCGCUUUUGCACCUUUUGCAGCUGACGGUUUUUGUCUUCUUAGAUAUUGCUGUUUCAUUUCCUUGGCUUUUGUUGGUUUUUUGUGUUAUUAGCUUACAUUUUUUUUAGCAUAUCUAUUUUUCUGAUUGUCAUGGUUUUUAUGUUUCUUCUCAUUCCAUCUGUCAAUGAGUUUGCUGAUUCCUUAGCCAAGUUCGGAGUAGGAAGAGAGCAGGAUAUGAUGGUUGUGCUUUGUGAUAACUAAGAAUGACUUGUCCAGGUACAUGGUUAAGAUUUUGCUCUGUUGCUGAUUCCUGAAGUGGCUGCUUUUAUUUGGUUUUUGAUUUUUUUUUUUUGUUUGUUGGUUUGCGUUGACGGGCGAUUCUCUUUGUGUGAUUUUGUCUUUGUCUUUUGAGGGCUGUCUGAUGGUCCUCCUUUGGUUUUGGUGGCUUUGUUGAGGUUUUGAUUUGUUUGUGGGUUCAUUGGUGUCCUGCUGGUAUUUUUUUUUGGGUGGAUUUAUGGAUCUGCAGGUGGUUGUUUUCACGCCAUUUAAUGGGCUGCUUGCUGUGGUUUUCUCUUGGUUUUGUGGCCUUUGAGAAUGUUGAUUUUCGCAUAAUUAUUAUAAGUUAAGAACAAAAAGGAGAAUGAAAAUUGAAAGGGAUUAUAGUGAGCAUUAAGGAGGAGAAAGAGAAAAUAAAAGAAAGGAAGGAGAGCUACUGUGUCGUGGUGCAAGAAGAAGACCAGACAUAUGCUGCAUGGUGAUAGAGCAGCUGUGGUUAAGGAGAGAAAUUCAUAAUAUGGACUAGCAUGGCGAUGUUACAAAUGGAAGAAAGGAUAUUUAGGUUUAGGGUGCUCAAUUUCCAAUUACACUUCUAAACAAGCUUUAUACGAGUAUUUAAUGGAAUCAAGUCUAAGUUUAUCUAUGUUUGAACUUUAUUAAAAUGAAUUCUAGAAUUUUGUUCAGGUUUGUGUGUUUAUCUGGUUAAACGAAUAUAAAUUAGUUUAACUUAAAUCUCUUCAAAAACUAUCUGUCUAAUGUAUUGAUUCACUUACAUUAUUAUCUAUACAGAUUUUAAAUAUUAAUAAUUAACCAAAUACUAACAAUUAUAUCAAAGUAAACUAGAUAUUAACAAAUCUAAUUUCAGAGAUAUAAAACAAAGUACCAUUACAACUUACAAAUGAAAAUUGAGCUGAAUAUAUAUAUUCUUCUUCUGUAAUUACAUCACAUGAACUGCAAAGGCUUAAUUACAUUAUCACACAGCAGCGACUCGGGCGAGGUGGUGGUGGACCAUGGGGACGUUGAGGAUGUGGACCAUGGUGUUGAUGAGGCCCAAACGGUGGUGCAUACGGCUGCGGCGGCCCUGAGUGUGGAUGAUGCGGUCCAUGUGGUGGCCCCGGGUGUGGGUGGUGUGGAGGAUGUUGCAUAUCUUCUUGCACUUACCUACUUAGCUCUUUCUCUUCCCUUCUUAUACUUUGAUGUGCAGCAAACUGUUCGAGAGAACUAACGAACAUAUAUUGUUCACUGCCGAAUAUAUAUACAUGAAAAGACAAAAAUGAAUCACGUUCUGGUUUUUCUAUUUAAGAUAUUUAUUUGUUGGUUUCUAAUGUAUAUUUAUGGUUAUGACUCUCAAUUGAUUUAAGGCCAAAGAGAAUUUUUGUAAUUUUGUUAAUGAAAAAGGAUAAGCCCAUCUGUCUCAAUUCUCAUCAUCUUCUCCCUGUAAAAGUUUCAUCACCGUCCGCGUCGUUGCUCAAGUUUAAACGUGAUCCUUAAUGGCCCACAUGCUGAUAAGAUAAGCUGGAGCUUUUGACUUUUUCUCUCGUAUGGGACACACUUGCUAGAAACAACAUGCAACACACGAGCUGAAUUGCAAUACGAGAAACAAUCUAGGUUGCUAUCAACAUUAUGAUUCCUUCUAAAUUUUAAUAUGCAGCAUCUAAUAUACAAAUUUUGUCACAUUGUUAAUGGGAUUGAUUUCAUUAGAAGUCUGUUAAAAAUACAUUUGACAGCAAUUUAAUUUAAAUGAUGAAAAAAUUUUCAGAUAACUAUAUUUUCAAACAAUUUUUGAUGGAAAGUUUCAUUUGAAUUAAAUAUACAAAAGAAUUGGAAUAUAUUUUUUUAAAAAUUUGCAAAAAAAUUUUUUUAUGAAAUUUUCAAUGAAACUUUAGAAAAUUUGAACAGAAAUUUUGAAUAUGGUAAAGAACAUGUUGACAUCAGACCAAAAUUUAUUUGAAUACUUGUAUAAAAUGAAGAGAAAAAUGACAAACCAUUUGGUUCGGUACUUAAAUUUUUGGAUUAGUGAUUAAUACAAGAGAAACAAUUCUCUUCUUUAUUUUCCUUUAUUUAUGUAUCCACAGAUGCCAAGAUUCAACUUAUAAUUUUUAGGAUAUCGAAAGUGGAUGGCUAUAAUUUGUUAAGCAGCACCGGAUAUAUCAAUAGAGCCUGAAAAUUUCACAUAUUGAAUGGAUACGAGAAGAAUGCAUUGUGCUGAACGGAUAUAUAUAUAUUUGACACUUCAGAAGAGGAGAAUUGGUUAAGGGAACGGGGCCUGAAAUCUCAGUUAAAUGAAUAAUUAAACUGAUCAAGAUUGAAAGUUAUGGCUUCGUUUCUAAUUAAUUGCAAUCCUCUGCUUUUAAUUUUAUAGAAAGUAAAUGUUGAUAUCACAUACUUUGUAAAAUACUUUCUAAUAUUUUACUUAAUCUCCCUGGGCCUGUAUCAGAUACAAGUGCAACCGAUGGAAUUAAGAAGCUCAAAUUAUAAGGUUAAAUUAAGAAGCUCAAAUUAAUUUGUAACAUGCUUUUAUAAUUUUAUCAGAUAUAUCGAAGCAAAAUGGAAAAGAACCCCACGGCUCCAGAAAAGAAUGUUAUGGAAUAUAAGCAGAGCAAAUCUUGUACAUAUACGGUAUUAGUCCAUAUACGUUUAUUUGAUUAACAUAGCAUAACACCCCGUACAAAUUAAGAUCAGGAUUUCACUUUUCACUACUACAAAACAUACAUGAUAUAGCAAACCAGCAUUUUAUUUUAGUAGAACGAUAGCAUUUGUGCAUGCUUAGCAACGUCCGCCAUGGCCGCCAUGCGAGCCACCACCAUGGUGACCAGGACCGCCUGCUGGAGGACCAUGGUGACCCGGACCACCUGCUGGAGGUCCAUGCUGACCCGGACCACCUGCUGGAGGUCCAUGGCCCCCCUCCGGGCCACAACCAUGACCAGGACCGCCUGCUGGAGGUCCAUGUUGGCCCGGACCACCUGGAGGAGGUCCAUGCUGACCGGGACCACCUGCUGGAGGUCCAUGGUGUCCACCGUGGUCGCCGCCCGGGCCACCUACUGGAUGUCCAUCAUGGCCUGGUGGAGGUCCUUGGGGACAGGGAGGAGGCGGAGCCUGAUGCUGAUGAAUCCCUGGUGGUGGAGGUCCGUGAGGAUGAUCGUGCAUCUUAUCUGCUGUUGUAGUUGGUAUCGUUCUCUGCUUUGCUUCUUGCUGGUGCGGUGAAACGGUUUGAGAGGACUAUUGGAUUUAUAGUAGUGCGGUCCUUGUUUUCAUUAUUUUUUGGCCAGAAUGGUCCCAGACUUGCAGAUAAGGUUAUUACCAUGAGAACUUUGGUCGGAGGUUGUUUAAUGCAUACCUUACACGUUGUUGACGUGACCAUUUGUUGGGAUAUUUCCAUUGGUAUGUGGUUGUUAUUCUCCAUUGACAUGAUGAGGCCAACAACCUUAUCUUUCUUAAGUUCUUUCUCAGAAAAUGAUUUUCAUCUCUAAAAUUUUAUUAAGAAUAUAUUUACAGUGUUUCCAUUUAUUCAGAAAAUAAUUAAUCCAUCAUAUUAAGCUGAAUCUGAGUCUUUAAUGCCAGCCCAAAAUGUUUGUCUAGAGCUUUUUUUGCCCACUAAUCACAAACCAAUACAAUGCGUCUAGGACAAGUAUUCAUGAAGUCGUAGCCUUGCAAGCCUGAGGAAACCGCUUAGCCCAAAAACAGCUCCUGUACAUGAGCUUGAAUCCCUCCAAAUUAAUUACUACGUGAUUUUGUUUUGGCCAAGUGUUAUAUUCUAUAUGAUAUCAAAUCCAGAAAACGUGCUAGCUAAUUAAAAAAAAUUGUGACAUUGUUGUCUUGAUGUAUAAACUCAUGACACUAAGAUAUCAAUAUAAAUAGGUAACCACGUGACUCACUUGAUGAAUUCACAGUAACCGGAGCUUCAAUGUCAUGUAUUGUGCUUUUGUAGUUUAUCAAAAUAAGUUCAAGUAUUGCCCAAUGUGGGAGUUGAGUUAAUUAUAGCUUAUUAAGGUUCGAGGAGUAUGUACGUGGUCGGUGAGGCAUAUUCGACUUACCUGCCAUGCCUUUUGCUCAAAUAAUUGAGCAUUUCCACAGACCAAAAUGGAAUAAUAUUCAGCCCUAAAUUAAAAGGAUUGUCAAAGAAAACCAAAAUUACCAAUUAAAAGCAAUGAAACAUCAUAGUUCAUGUAUAGGACAUGAUCAUAACAAAGCAAAAAUAAACAUGCCCACAACGUAAAUAACAUAGAGCAAUAUUUAUUACUGUAGUAGUAAUACUUUUUUAUUACAUCAUAUUUACUCGUCACUUAAGUAAAAAUAAGAUCAGAAAAUAGGACCCUAAACACCAACUGGUUAAAAGAGCACAUCAGUGAGGUAGCACAAACUAUUUAAUCCUACGUACCGCUGGCUACAUAAUUUUACAUAUGCAUUAAGCCAAUAUGAUUAGCAGUGGAGGGAUUAUGGACGCGGUUUGUGUGGCUCAGCAGGACCUGGUGGAGGCGCUCUGGGACCUGGGCCAGGUGGAGGGGCAUGAGGACGAGGAGGUUCAACAUGCGGUGGACCUGGAGGCGGAGCAUGGGGUGGUGGGUGGUGGGGAUGGUGGGGGUCUGGUGGUGGAGGAUUAUGCAUCUUUUUCUUUCAAUAUUCUCCUAUGCUGAUUCUCUUUCAGAUAGUGUGAUGUGGCGUAUACGAAGAGCUUGUGAAUUUAUAGUUGUAAAUACCCCCAGGAUCACUUAAGGUAACUUAAGCGAGAAGGUUUUUCAUCUUUUACAACUACAAGUCAGACCCGCGUUUGGUUUCUGGUAGGUUUCUACCUAAAUUUCAAGGAGUUUUCUGGAAGAUAAAAGUGCCCUGCAGAAACUUCUUUGCAGUGCUGAUGACACAUUUCAGUGUGUUGCAUUUCCCGUAUGCAGUAUCUACAUCUAGUCUAGCUCCUAACAACGAGUGAUAUGAUUAAGAGGAAAUGGGUGCAAUCGUCAUGGACCAUGACCAAAGCUCAUCAUUAGCCCAUUAGCAUCCAACUCCCAUACUAAUUUCCCCCUUUUGGGCCAUAUGACUAGUUUCUUUUCUUUUCUUUUCUACUUCUACUUAGCUUGCACUUUUUUUUCCCUCUUUUCUAGUGUAGCUUAAUAAAAGUAGGCGCAUGUACUUUGUUUUUCCUAUGCUUUGCAUAAAGAUAUAAGUAUUAGAUUCUAAUACUAUAUAUGAUAAGUUUCAAAUAAAUUUUGUUAUUGUUUAGUGAUUUAGAAGAUAUUAUUACAUACUAAAUUUGUAUUGAAAUUGUUAUGAGCAUAUUAAUUUCAACGUAAACAUUUGAACUUGAGGCUGGAAUAAUAAGUCAAAAAAUUAGCAUAGGUAACUUAGUUUAGGGUGGGUCAUAGGUGAGCGAGGCUAGCAAAGAUGGGCUGGGCCGGAAUGCCGGCUGCGCCACACUCUAGUCUCUGGCUGCGAGCGGAUAACGUUUUUGCAACGUAUACUACCGGCGCUGGUACUAGUGUAGUAUGCUUUUUGAGUUUAGACUAGACCGGAGUCUAUUUUCCUAACAAGAAAACGUCAAUACUCCACUGCCAGUCUGCCAGCCAUGGUUUCAUUUUGAAUUCUAAAGUCCAAUGGCUGCCUCAUCCGUUCCCCUUCAUCACGUCGGUGGUUGCUUCAGCUAUCCCCGCCGGGAAAGGGAAUAUCAUCAUGGACGUGGGUGGUCACCAACGCCAAGAGCCAGUUAUCCUUUGAGACCCAUUAAUGCUUCAGUGGAAACUCCUUUUCCACUCUUUCAGCCUCCCCCACUUCAGCAAUCUCCCUCUCAGGUAAAUGCUCAUUGGCUUAUCAAUUGAAUACUUCUGUUCCUUUUUACUUUUGCUUUUGAGUUUUUAAUACCUUCCCUUCCUUUGCUAUUUUUGCCGUGUUCCUCACAGCUGGAGCCUGCCGACCCUGAUUUCUACAAGAUUGGUUAUGUUCGAAGUAUGAGAGCUUAUGGAAUAGAGUUUAAGGAUGGACCUGACGGUUUUGGAGUCUAUGCCUCCAAAGAUGUUGAACCUCUGCGUCGUGCCAGAGUCUGUUUUUACCUUUUACCUUUUUAUCUCUCACUCAUUCUUUCCGUUUAGAUAUAUCAAAUUAACUUCUUUCCAUUCUCAUACUCAUCACUUCCUGCCUGCAUCACCAAUUUCGUGUGUUUUUUAUUUUGUAUUUGCUUCCUAACGAAUGGCAUACUGUAUUCUACUAGUUAUAAUAUUCCAGAAUGAUAUUUUUGUGUUUGGUAACUAAGCUUCUGCACUUGACUGAACAGGUUAUCAUGGAAAUACCUUUAGAAUUGAUGUUGACAAUAAGGCAGAAGCAGCCAUGGAUGUUUUUCCCCGAUAUAGUGCCAAUAGGUCAUCCCAUAUUUGAUAUAAUAAACUCAACCAAUCCUGAGGUAACUGAAAUUUUCCUAGAUUUCGAACACUUAUUUAUCCUCGAAGAAUUAUGCAUUCCUUAUUCAAUUUGGUGAAUGCACUAGCACACUAUUUAAAACUUUUACAAUAACACUAGUCCUUUUGUUCUUUCAUUGUAAUUUAUGGGUAUUUCUCUUGGCAGACCGAUUGGGAUCUGAGAUUGGCAUGCCUUCUUUUGUAUGCAUUUGAUAGGGAUGAUAACUUUUGGCAACUAUAUGGUGACUUCUUACCUAGUGCAGAUGAGUGCACUAGCUUGCUUCUUGCUACAGAGGUGUGACAAAUUGGAAGAUGCGAAGCAACAAUCAUUUCAAUGUUUAUUUUCUUGCUUUUACUUUGUUUUGAGUUCUUCAUUUAAUUUUUUGGCUAAAUUACAUUUUUGGUCUUCAAUAAAAUGAGGGGGGAGGGAGAUAUAAUUUAAUGAGGGCAUAGAAGCAUUGGAUAUGGUAGUUCAACGGCAAAGGAUUUCAAUUGUUGAAUGUCAAAUAUAUGCACACACACACAUACAAUUCAUAAUGUUGUGGAGAACUUUAAUUUUGGACAAACUGUUUGUUAGCCUUGCUUUUCAUAAUUGUAAGAGUCACUUAUUAGGAAGCAACUUGCUGUACUCACAACUUGCUCCAUUCAUGCAGGAUGACCUCUCAGAACUGCAGGAUCCUGGCCUUGCUUCAACUAUGAGAAAACAACAACAAAGAGCAUUAGAAUUUUGGGAAAAGAACUGGGUAUAAGCUACCUGUCUAUCAUAUAUGGAACUAAGAAUUUUCCCUCUCACCAUCCUCUCAUAUGUUUCAAGAAGUUCUUGCUUACUUUAAUGAUAAAUUGUUUGUGUGCUUAACCUCACUCAGCAUUCUGGAGUUCCCCUGAAAAUAAAGCGCCUUGCUCGUGAUGCUGAGAGAUUCAUUUGGGCUGUUAGCAUUGCACAGUCACGGUGCAUUAACAUGCAAGUUAGGAUUGGUGCACUAGUUCAAGAUGCAAAUAUGCUAAUUCCUUAUGCUGGUAAUCUUCCUACAUGAGGCUCCUUGUGAUGUUGUCAAUGUAUUUCUUGUCUGUAAUGGUCAAUCAUAAACUAAUGCAGGGCCUGGUAAGAUUUUACUUAUCCUUUUUUUUUCUUUCAGACCAUUCUGUAAACCAGUAUUCCUUCAUUUAUUGUCCUCUUCUUUGUCCUAAAUGUCUUUGGCCUGUUUUGCAUCAGUUAAUACCUCCCUGCCUUUUCUAAACUUUGACUGCCUUCACGUUUCCUUUAAAUUAUUAUUUAUCUGAGCUGUCUUAUAUCUUAAUAUGCUUUUCAUGUAUUUAUUUGUCAUGGCAGAUAUGCUAAAUCAUUCAUUUCAGCCAAAUUGUUUUCUCCACUGGCGUUUUAAGGAUCGCAUGGUUGAGGUGAUGAUAAAUGCCGGACAGAGGAUCAAAAAAGGAGAUGAGGUAUUGGUAUUCCAUGUUAUCUUUUGAAUUCUAAUUUUGUUGAAUUAUUGGAGUGAAUGGUCUUGGUCCAAGGGGAAUUCUUCACUAACAAGGGAGGUCCAACUACCAUUAUUUGUAGUUUUUUCCCAGAAACAUGAACACACCUGUGCAGAACCUAGUGGAGUCUUUUGCCAGUACUAGCUUAAUUCAUCCAAGUUUAUACUCAAUGAAAUUUGCAACUUUUAGGUGAAUAAUUGGUUGUUAUCUUUUCAGGAUUUUUCACAUUUCUCUCUUCUCUAUGGUUAAUUGGCCAUUGUCAAUAUCAGUCUGUCUCAAAUAUCCUAGACUUUCUUCUUUAUAGAUUUAAAAUUAAAAAUCCGAUUAUGUGAUGCACCUUUUAAAAUCUAAUCAAAUGUGUUGGAGUCUCUUGUGGCUAUUGGAGCUUAUGUAAAUUUUGCUUGAAAUUAUGACUUACUCAGAUUUAAUACCCUUCUUUGGGCCAAAAUAUGCCGCCUUCUUGUUGUCCUUGCUAUAUACCUUGUAAAGCCAUCAACCGAAUUAGGUCCUAACGAUGCUUUUUAUUUACAUUUUGGGGUUUGUAUCCACAAUUCCAUAAAUUUUGGCAGAUGACGAUCAAUUAUCUGAGUGGACAGCAGAAUCAUAUGCUCAUGCAACGAUAUGGCUUCUCUUCAGCUGUGGUAAUUAGCUCCAAUCUUUAAUUUUUGAUCUGAAUAUGUAAAGCUGUUUUAUAUUAACCUGAUUUAACAGAAUCAGGAAAAAAUCUGACGUCCUCGCAAAUAAAGCAAAAAAACAUUCAUCUUGUAAUCAUAUCUAUAAGUCAGUUUUGCAAAAAAUUAACUCAUGAGGCUUGACCAUUGCAGAACCCGUGGGAUUUAAUACCAUUCUCUGGAAAUGCACAUAUUCACUUGGAUUCUUUCUUGUCAGUCUUCAAUAUAUCUGGUCUUCCUGAAGAGUAUUAUCAUAACAGUAUGCGUCAUUUUAACUUUUUAGAACUUUUGGAAUGAGAAUGGUAGUUUUAUAUGCAUAAUUCAGCACCUUAAGCAUUACAAAUUUUUAUCAGGUCAGUUAGCAGAUAAUGGAGAUAACUUUGUCGACGGGGCAGUCAUAGCCACUGCACGAACAUUGCCCACAUGGUCAGAUGGUGAUGUUCCUCCAAUCCCUAGCAUAGAAAGGAAAGCUGUGAAGGAGUUACAGGAGGAAUGUCAGCAGAUGCUUGCACAGUUUCCUACAACUUCUGAGCAAGACCAGAAGUUUCUAGGUGAACAUAUUUCUGUCUUAAAUGGGUGGAAUCAACAGUCCUUAUGCUUGAUCCAUAUUAGAAUGUUCAGAAUUUUAAUUCCUUGAAAAAUAAUGCGUUCAAGUUUUCAUGGUUAAAGUGCGGUUUAAGCUGGCAAUAUGAAAACUUCUGCUAAUAGUUUAUUACCAUUAGAAUUUUAAGAUCUGCUACUUAUCUUCUGCUAAAAUUUAAUUACUAUCAAAAUUGCAGUACUUUAAAUUUGAAAUCUGAAUUAUUAGUUCAAAAAAGCUCUAAAUCUUCCGCCUUUUCAGUUUUUAGGUAUUAUGUUGAUGCCAAUUUUCACUAGCUCUGAGGAUUUAUACGGUUGUUGAAAUUAGAGAAAACUUGUUGUGGAGGCUGGGGAUUGAAAUGGCCUCUAUAAGCAUAAAAAGUGUUUUAACUUUAAAAUAAUGCAUGAUCAUCUUGAACAUGGCUAAAUUUUAUUCGAGUGUUUUUUGGAUAUAUGAUGCUGUCUUCUUCACCCCUUAAUUUUCUACCAACAGAUUCUCUGCCUGAAGCAAGGACGCUUGAAACUGUGAUUAAGUAUGUGAUUUUGACAUAACAUACUUCUUCUCAUGCAUUCAGGUUUUAAUUCUUAAGUACAGACUGAGUUGAAGUCACUCUUAUUCUUACAUAUGCAGGUACAGAUUGCACCGGAAAUUGUUCAUAGAGAAGGUCAUCCAGGCAUUGGACAUCUAUCAAGAGCGAAUAUUGUUUUAAAUGAGUUUCGACUUCAUAGGAUCGCAGACAGUUUUGUUCAAGAGCCGAUGUCAAAAAGCCAAUAAAUUGCUAAUUUAGAAAGAAUGAUGAGUAGUUGGGAAAUUUUGUGAAUGCAGAAAAUAUUAUGUCAAUCUAUCCAAAAGAUAAGGUAUCCAUUUUUCUGUUUCUUCUUGUUCACCCCAUCUUAUCUGUCUGUAUCUUUAGUCAUACUUGGAUCGUUGAUUAUUAAGAAGCGGUAAUGGAAGCAUAAUUGGAUUAACUGGAUAUAUAGUUUCAUCUGAACUUCCUCAUUGGUCCAUUACAGUAAACGGUUGGGAAAGAAUAUUGAUUGCUAACUGGAUUUUCACUAAGUGGUAGAUUUGAUUAAAAGGCAAUUAGCCCCUAGCAAAGAAGCACUCAUCUUUAUUUGUUUAUUGCAUUCCAUCAAUUUUUGUAUAUUCAAAAUAUCAUUUGUCAUUUUAUAAUCACUAGGAUGGUGCCCGUAGCUAUGCUACGAAAAAAAUCACAAAAAAUAUUAAUUAUGUUAAAGUUGAUUUCAAUUUGGUACUUUUAAAAGAGUUUGUAGAGAAAGCAAUAUUGUAUUAGUCAACUGCAUGAAUGUCCGGUUUUUACUGAUAGAGGAAAAAAUAAACUGGUAUUAAUUGAAAAUAAUUAUUUGCUCUGGUUUCAAUUAUCGGAAACUUGCAUCUACAUAUAUGAUUAUAAAACAGUUGAAUAUUAAGAAAUGAGAGAGUAUAUAACAUAUACUAUUGGCAGAUUAAGAUAAACAGUUGUACAAUAUAAGACAAUCGUAUAAUAUAAAGAUUUUAUCAAUAUAAAAUAGUUACUAAUUUAUAAUAAUAUAUCUUUUAUAUAUAAAAUGAAUGGUUAAAGAUUGUCAAAUUUAGUUGAUUUAUUUGUUCAAUGAUGAUAUGUGCUAUGUAUAUUAAGAAAUGAAUAAACCUUAUUGAUUUUUUUAUUUUAUUUAAUGAAUUGAAUGAAUAUUUAUUGAAAUUUAAACAUUCAUGUCUAAAAGAGAUGUCUAAAUACUAUAAAUUCAAGUUCAUGUAGAAUAAGAGAAUAUAAAAAAAAUAAUAAUUGUAUUUGAUAAAUAUUAAAUGAAUCUAUCCUCUAGGUAUUAAAAGUUGAAAAUUAUUGUUUUCAAGUAUUUUUUUUACUGAAAUAAAUAAAAAAAAAACCCUUCAAAUGUAAAAAAACAACGUAACUUUGACAUAAGGUGUAAAAAAAAAAUUAAUUCAAUUGAUAAUGAUAACCAAUUGACCUAAUUAGUUAUUUUAUUUAAAACAGAAUUUAUCCAAAAAAAGACGACAAUCCUAUCAAAGAUUAUUAGAUAUAUAAUAAAAUAUUAAAAAAAUGAACAAAAUAAUAUUAUAUUAUUUUAGCCUUUAAAAAGGUCAAAAUUCCAGAAUUCUCAUCUUCUUCAGCCGUCCAAACCAGUAGNNNNNNNNNNNNNNNNNNNNNNNNNNNNNNNNNNNNNNNNNNNNNNNNNNNNNNNNNNNNNNNNNNNNNNNNNNNNNNNNNNNNNNNNNNNNNNNNNNNNNNNNNNNNNNNNNNNNNNNNNNNNNNNNNNNNNNNNNNNNNNNNNNNNNNNNNNNNNNNNNNNNNNNNNNNNNNNNNNNNNNNNNNNNNNNNNNNNNNNNNNNNNNNNNNNNNNNNNNNNNNNNNNNNNNNNNNNNNNNNNNNNNNNNNNNNNNNNNNNNNNNNNNNNNNNNNNNNNNNNNNNNNNNNNNNNNNNNNNNNNNNNNNNNNNNNNNNNNNNNNNNNNNNNNNNNNNNNNNNNNNNNNNNNNNNNNNNNNNNNNNNNNNNNNNNNNNNNNNNNNNNNNNNNNNNNNNNNNNNNNNNNNNNNNNNNNNNNNNNNNNNNNNNNNNNNNNNNNNNNNNNNNNNNNNNNNNNNNNNNNNNNNNNNNNNNNNNNNNNNNNNNNNNNNNNNNNNNNNNNNNNNNNNNNNNNNNNNNNNNNNNNNNNNNNNNNNNNNNNNNNNNNNNNNNNNNNNNNNNNNNNNNNNNNNNNNNNNNNNNNNNNNNNNNNNNNNNNNNNNNNNNNNNNNNNNNNNNNNNNNNNNNNNNNNNNNNNNNNNNNNNNNNNNNNNNNNNNNNNNNNNNNNNNNNNNNNNUAAUUGAAUGACACUUGUCAUUCAAUUGAAGACUCAAUUGAAAAAAAUUAAAAGAAAUUGAAACAUCUUACUUUUAUAUAUAUUAUAAAAAUCUAUCUUCUAAGCAUUAAAAGUUAGAAAUUAUUGUUUUUAAGUAUUUUUUAUUAAAAUAAAUAAAAGUAGAAAAACAAAAAAAACCCUUCAAAUAUCAAAAACAACUUAUUUUUAACAUAAGGUGUAAAAAAAAUUAACUCAAUAGAAAAAGAAAAGUCAAAAAAAUAAAAAUGAGUUCUAAUUGAAUGACACUUGUCAUUCAAUUGAAAACUCAAUUGAAAAAAAUUAAAAAAAAUUUGAAACAUCUUACUUUUAUAUAUAUUAUAGAUAUAAGAUUAACGUUAAAAGUGAAACAUGCUAUGUGAAAAAUAUUAUUUUAUACUCAUAAGGUGUGUAAAAAUAUUUGCGUGCAAGUCUCUUAUAUAAACUUUCAAGUAUUAGCUUUCAAUAACCUAAUCAUUUCAUUAAGUCACCCCUAUAUCUUAAUACACCUAUGCAUGCUACAAAAUACAAAUUAAAAAAUGACAAGUGUUAAUACUAUAAGACAUAACCUUUGAAUUAUAAUAUGAAAAAAUAAUUUUUCAUAUCUAAACUUUUGAAUAAAGUUAUUUUUUAAUUGUUUCAUAGUUUUUAGAUUUAAAAGUGUUUUUUUAAAUAUCACUUUAUCAAAAACUAUAAUUUUUCAUAUAAAAAAUUACUUAUAAUAAAAUAAUCACAUUAUGUCACAUUAUAUAAUAUAACUUCUCAAUUAACAUAACUUUUCAAUAAUUAAAACUUUUUAUGUUAAAAAAAAUAUAAUGUUUCAUUUACAAUAUCUCAUAUGAAGAGACAUAAUCUAUCAUUUGGAAAAUACACUGAGAAAAUUAUUUAUGUAAUUUACUUAAUUUUUUUUGUUAUAACUAGAAUUAGAACUUUUACAAAGCUCUAUUUUUUUCUGGGUCAAAUUAUACACUGUAUCUAUUAUUUAUCAGUAAAGAUCAAUUCGGAAAAAAGCGGGUGGGGGAAGGGCGUGGCCGUGUGGGGGCCACUUGGGAUUCGGGUGGGUCCACUCUUCUAAUCCAAGGUACAAAUAUAUCCAAAUGAGUUAGGCGUUACAAAAGUGGAAUUCAAUAUUCACGUUUUUUGUGCUUUUGGCUAUUUGGUCCAAGGGACUGUAAAAGAAGAAGAAGACGAGGAACACCGAAGAUUUAUUUUUGUCUGAAUUGUGGAGAGAAGAAGAAAAAGAAGGUAUGGAGAAGAUUUCUUCAUCAUCAACCGAAGGUGGUGGUGGUGGUGGUGGUGCUGCUAAGAUAUCAUCAAUCUUUAUCUAUCCGAUAAAAUCAUGCCGUGGAAUUUCUGUUCCUCAGGCACCCCUCACUCCGACUGGUACUCCUUUCUUUCUUUCACUCACUUCCCUUUUCUAUCUCUUUAGACUUAAAUCCUUAAAUUAUUUCUUCAAGUUCAAGCCUGGGUUUAUUUCUCUUUCUUUUAUCUGCAUGUUCUUCCUGCAUCAGAUGCUGGGAUUGCUUUUAUUUGCAUGCCUUUUCUUUAGCAUUUGCCUCCAAAAAACAAAAAAAAAAAAAACCUAAUACUAUUAACAGUUUCUCCCUGGAAGGAGUUUAUAAAACAAAAAACUAUCAAUAAUUAGCCACCUUGUUAAUUAGAUUGGACACCUGCUUCCAACCUGCGCUUCAUUUACUGACACGAACUGACGUAUUACUCUGCAACUCCUGGGAUUAGCUCAGCUUUAACACUUGCAUGAAGAAUUUUAUUUUAUUUUUUUUGUUUUUUGUUUGUGGUGCUAAACCCAAUUUUUUACCACUAUGAGUCCGAUUUUUCUGUGCGAUCAUUAAGUUAAAGCAAAUGACAUUAGAAUUUAUAACUAAGAAAUAUUGGACAACUAUAGUGGUGAUUAUUAUGAAUCAUUUUUCUGUAAUUUUGGGGAUUGUUCACCAUUUUCUCACUAUCCUUUGAUUUUUUUCAACUUUAUUUACAAGACUACAAGUUGGUCAUUUUCCAAAAACCUUCAGAGUGGAAGCAAAACUUCCAAACACAUUACAAGAAAACUUGUACAAUCUUUGAAAAUAAACAGUCUAGGUAUCUUGAUUGGACUUGUUCACUGGCCUCAACAGUCUGUCAAUCUGUUCAGUUAAUUUUUGGUGUCUUACCUUCAAGCAACGGUAAUUUCAUUCAUAGUAGUUUCGAUGAUGGAUUUACAGGAUUUCGAUGGGAUCGGCAAUGGCUUGUUGUGAAUCAGAAAGGGAGGGCAUAUACUCAAAGGGUUGAACCAAAGCUUGCUCUAGUCGAGGUAGACCUGCCAAAGGAGGCCUUUUUAGAGGGUUGGGAACCUACUAAGACCUCAUAUAUGGGUAAAUCAACUCAUCCUUGUUUAUGCCUCAUUAAUCUAUAACACAACUUAGAUAUUGCAGAUUUUAAGCAAAAUUUUGUUUUUACAAGGCAAUGUUGGUUGUGUUUGAUGUUUCAAAAACCGGUUUCAUCUAUUUUCUUGGCAAACCAACUCAAAUAAGCUUAUCCUUAAUCCUGAACUAUUUGGGGUUGCUUACAUGCAUCUUUUCUCUCCCUUUUGCUCAGGAUGGUGUUAUAGUCAAUGAAAGAUCUAAAGAUAGUGAACCCUUUCUCAUUACUUUAACUGAAUCACUUGUCUGCAACAAAGCAUCUCAAAGCCUAUGUUGCACAAGGACAAACAACCUAAGCCGUCUAAAAAAUUUUCCCCUAAUUAUAGAAGUUUUGGUGUGAGCAACUUGGUAUCAUUGUUAUCUAUGGCAGUUGACCAAUUUUUUUUUAAGAAAAAAACCACAGAUAAUUUCAUAACUUUGAGUAAAUUGUGAACUAGAAUAAAAACCAUCAUUUUCUUUUGACUUCCCAAUUGAAGUGUCAAGUUGUGGUUCCCAUGUUUGUAUAAAGGAUAUUGCAGUGAUGACGCUUUUGUAGAAACUGAUUUCCUUAUAAUAGGUGUGGUUAAUUAUUUGUGAUUGUUAACGUCCUAUGCUGAUUCAUUUUAUUAGUUUGGUUCUAUAUUGAAUUGUUAUGUCUCUUCUCCUUAGCAGUGCAGGGAUGCUAAGAAGGUGUCUUUCUUUUACUAUUAUCUGGUUACUGGUACAUUGUUUUCCUUUGAUUUUUCAUUAGAUUUUCUGUCAUGACCAAAUUCCACUUUCAUUAACAGUAAUAAAAGCUCCUGGAAUGGAUUUGCUCAAGGUUUCACUCAGUAAACCACCAGAAAUAGCAGAUGGUGUUUCAGUAUGGGAGUGGUCUGGCUCUGCAUUGGAUGAGGGUGAUGAGGCUUCAAAAUGGUUUACCAAUUAUCUUGGGAAAUCCAGCAGGCUAGUUCGUUUUAAUGCAGGUUUGUUUCAUUCUGGUAUAUUUCACAGAAUAGGACAUUAGAGUGCACUGAUUGGGUUUGUUAAGGUAAAGUAAAUCAUGUGGAUGGAGAGUUGCUUAUUUUGAAGCUCACUUCUUAAUAAGGGAUAUCAAGGGAAAGCAGAGGAUUUGGGUGGAGAGUAGCUCAUGGUAGCCAAACCUCUCCUCAAAGAUCUAAAGAUCAAAUCCCCUAUCCUAAUUAUUCCAAUUGAUCGAUCAGAAAUAAGAAAGAGGAAAACACUAUACUCUUGGUAGGCAGUACUGAGAUGAAAAUAUUUGCCUUGAAGAGCAAAAAAUAUAUAGAUACUGAUUACAUGUUAGCACAGUGUGCAUAUAAAGAUGCUUUCAAUCAGAAAUUUAUUUGUCCAAUCAUUUGGUUGCAUUAUUAUUUUAUAAAUGCAGCAUCUGAAAGGAGGCCUGUGGAUCCUGUGUAUGCUCGUGGGCAUAACAUAAUGUUUUCUGACCAGUACCCAUUCAUGCUAUUAUCUCAGGUUAGUCAGCUAAAGGAUGUUAAGGGUUUUUUUUUUUAAAUAAUAAAAAUUAUUAUUACUAUUAACAAAGCUCAAAUCGGAUCUUAUAUGUACAAAUUUUUGCAGGAAUCACUGGAUGCGCUGAACAAGCUUCUGAAGGAGCCUGUACCAAUUAAUCGUUUUAGGCCCAAGUAAUUUUCUUUCCAGCCUCGUAUAAUGUCUCUUGUUUUGUUUCUUAAGGAUGUGCUUCUCUGCUUACUGCUGCCAUAUAACAAAUCCCCUCUAGGAUCUAUUCACUGCUUCAGAUUCAAAUCUUAGUAUAUUUCUCUAAUGAAUUUUCCGAUAGAAAACAUGUGUCUGACUCUAAAUUUGAUUACCUCUGUUUUUCUCCUUUUCUGUAUUAUUUAUGACUUAGAUUACAUUGUUUAAUUGCUUGUGACAGCAUCCUUGUUGAUGGUUGUGAACCAUUUUCUGAAGACUUAUGGACAGAGAUUAAAAUAAGCAAAUUCUCAUUUCAAGGUGUGAAGCUUUGCUCCCGCUGUAAGGUAAGAAUCUAUGCAUUCUCCAUUUUCAGCCUAUCUUAUGCAAAUUAAUUUAUCUUGAGAGAAUAAGUUGGUGAUGUCAACUUGUCAAGUGCAAGAUUGUUAUUUGAGUUCACCAUUUCUAUGCAAUUUAUUACCCCCUUAGUAGACCUUAUGUUGAAGACAGUGAGUUCAUUAAUACCUUCGCUGAUUUGUUAUUUAGAGGUAUGCAAACUUACAGAUGGGUGGUUAAUCCAAGGAAUAUUCCAUAGUUUCCAUACAAGAAUGCUUCCACUCUAUAUUUGACUUUGCAUUUUUGCUGUGUGCUAAUAAUUUUGAAGUCAACUUUCAAAAAAAAAAAAUUUUUUGAAGUCAUCAAUUAGAGCUGUGCAGUUAAGCACAUUGUAUCCUCAGACAGUUAAUAAAAGAUGAUUGUGCAUUUAGUAGGUACCUACAAUCAAUCAAGACACUGCAAUUGCUGGCCCCGAGCCAACUGAAACUCUUAAGAAAGUCAGGUCGGAUAAGGUUUUGCGACCGAACCAAAAACAGCAGGGGAAGGUAAGAUGUGAAUUCACAACUUUUCGCUAUAUCCUUCUGUGUGCUGUCCAUGCAAAUGAUAGAUGUAAAGAAUGAUGUUCCACGGUAUGGCAGAUCUAUUUUGGGCAGAACUUGGUUUGCAAGGAAAGUUUUACUGAAGGGAAAGGACCGAUGGUUAAAGUGGGAGAUCCUAUUUUUGUCCUCCAGAAAGUCUCCUCUGCUGCUGAAGCAGCAGCUUGAACGCUGAACACUAUCUUAGACUUCAAUUCUGUUGUCUAAAUAAUAAAAGAAUUGAAUGGUGUUAUCUCUCUUUCCUAGAAUAAUUAAGAGCCAUAACUCCAAAUACAAGACUUGGGACAGGAGAUCUGUAUGUAUUGUUGUUCUAGUCAGUGGUCACCUUUAUUACCCUGCAGUCUCAUCUUCGUGUUAUUGUUAAUGUUAUUAUCGUGUUAAGAUUGAGAUGAUUUUAUCAAUACCAGUGUCUAUGUUUGAUUUUGGUUAAUAUAAAUUAUCUAUUCUAUAUCAUCAAGUCAUUUUUUGUAGGGAAUUACAUUAAUAAUGGAGAGAGCAGCGGAAGCAACUCAAAAUAAAUAAAAAAUUUACAUCACCGCAUGAAACAGUACAAAUAAUUUUGAAAAGAUCAGUAAAAUUUUUAAGUUACUUUCAUUGUUGGAAUAUUUAAAAAACUUGACAAUAAGAAGAUGUCAUUCACACUUCGAUAACCUUAACAUCUAUACCCUAAUAUAAAAGGAAACUUCAAAUAGGCUCCAAAACAGUACUAUGUGUCGGUUUGGUCAUUAAAUAUGUGGAUGCAUGAGAAGGUUUUUAUUAGGUUUGAUUUUUAUGGAUCGCAUGGCUCUGUGGUGAAUUAUUAUAGACGGACUAUUAUGAGAUUUGACCUUGGAGGGACUGCAUUAUUGGUGGCCUGUAUGGGUGGUAAGUCGCAAUUAAUAAGACUUAAAUUAGAAAAGGGGACUUUAAUACCAUACUAGCAGGCAACUUCUCAUCGGUUGCAUUCAUUGCACCUACGUUCCCUCUCUAAGUUCUCUCUCCUCUUAUUCUUUCCUACAUCCUAUUCAUUAUAUUUUAGGGCUUGCUUCAACUUUCAUGCCAUGAGCUUGAAAUUUUUAGUCAAGAUUGUGUGGUGCUAUGGUCUCGAAUACAUAUGAUUAAACAAGUCUUAACGAGAUUUAUUGAAUAUUGGUACAGAAACGUAAAGUAAAUAAAUAAAAAAAAAGAGGCUGAGGAGGAUAAAUAAAUAUUAUUAUUUAAAUGAGACAAAAAUAAAGUAUUUAAGAUCUAAGUACAAAGUAAAUAAAAGCUUUAUCAAUUUUUGUAAUUAAUUAAUAUGUUCAAUGAAAAUGAAAGAAUUUAGGACUUAAUUUGGGUAGUAAUUCGAGUUGAGUUUAAGUACCUUAAUAUUCAACUCAAAAGACUUGUUAAUAUAAUAGAACAUCUAUAUUUGGUAUUUUAACCAUAAUAAAUAAAUAAAAAUAUAUUAAUAUUUUUAUAUAUACACAUACAUGAUAACCUCAAAUCAGGUUCUAUGCUUUUAUUUUUGGAAAUUUUAAAUAGGUGUUUAUUGACAUUGAUUAAGGUAAUAUUUAUAAAUAUAUAUAUAUAUAUAUAUAUAAUAUUAAUGCAGCAUCCUUGUUUGAAUUUGAUGAAGACAAUACAUUAACUACAAAAACCUUUUAAAUUUAAUGUUUUAAUUAUCCUUAACUAACAGGCAUCAUUAACCGGACUCUUGCUCUUCAUUUUAAUAAAUGGGGUUCGGUGCACGCUGCCAAGCAAAACUUAGCCCAUGGAAAGAAACAGCCUAGCUGGAGGAUGAAGGACAGGCUCUUCUGUUUUUGUGCAUGAAUAACAGAAAGGGCAGCAUCAGCCAUCAGGGGAAUAAAUUGGCCAAUAGAAAUUGUGUGGUUUAGUGAACAAAACUCAUCAUUUUCAUGGGUUUGGCCUCCUAAAGGUGUACAUAUAUACUCUUGGUUGUCUCUUUUCAGCUUUUUCUAUGAAGAAUAUAUAUAUUUUGUGUGUGUGUGUGUUCGAGAAAGACAAAGGGUUUUCAAUAGUCUCCAUCCAACAUGGAAUUCCAGAGGCUUACUUAGCCUAACACCAAUUAAAAUCAUUUGGCUAGCCUAGGCAAGGCUGAUAAAGCUAGAUAUCAUUCAAGAAUACUGAAAAAUUUUGUGAUCUUGGGACUGUGAGCUUUGAUUAUAGUGGGGUCUCAACAUUUCUACGCGAACAGGUCUACUUCCCAUCAGAUCCACACUUCCUUUCACUCUUUUUAAAUUCGGUGGAGUCAACGAUAUAUGUUUUGUAUCUUAUAUUAAUAAGAGAUGAGAUGAAUUUUAAGUUUAUAAGCAAGAGUUUUUAUGUAAUAUGUUUUUUAAAUUGAAAAUGUGAAUUUAUACCAAAUAAUAUCAAAAUUUAUUUAAUUUUUUUUAUUAAAAUGAGACUUCUUCAUUGAUAUAAAACUCUUAUUAGAAAUAUCAAGGUUAAAAAUAUUGUACAAUUGAGUAAUAUAAAAUAUCAUACAUUUCACGUCAGUAAAAGAAAUGAAAACCUUCAUCAUCUAAUAUAAAUAUUUUUUAAAUUAAAAAUAUGAAUUCAUGACAUAUGAACUAAGUCGGUCUAUGACGCACAAUGCCCUACUAAGAAUUCUUAGCUGUAGAAAACAACUGCUAACUUGUUUGAAUUGAAUUAAGAUUGGACAACAAGAAAGAAAUUAGAUAAUUGAAAAUUUUUGUAAUAGUUAAAAGUCGGAAUAGCAACAUCAUCACCAAACGAAAGUGAAGUUGAAAAACUCAAUCAACCUACCAAAACAAGUACCUCCUUGACCAAGUAACCAAGUCUCAGCUGCUGCACUACAUCAUAGUUUUCACUUAAAUGUUAAUAAUCCAUUGUCAAAAUCAAAAGGAGGGAGUAGAGCAAUAACAUAUUUGUAUAAUUGCCAAACUAAUGGUUUGCCUUUUAUUUGUGUCCACCACUUUCAAGCCUCACUGCAUAAUGUCACAUGCAUUGCCCGCAAAGUGGGUUCUCACUGCUGCUGCUGCUGCAUGUCCACCACAAAAGGGGGAAUAUAUCUAAUACUAAAAUAAUCAGAAUUAAUUGCUUCCUUUAUGUAUAGCAAAAUAAAAUGGUUGUUUUUGUUAUAAAAAGAGAAUAUUAUUAAUGGAAUGAAAGAUAUUGCUCCAACAUCAUCUUACUAUUAUUUUUUUUUUUUGAAAAGCACUAUUAUUAUUAUUAUUAUUUCCAAAUAACAUGUCAAUUUCCUUUAUAAUUAAUUUGUGAAAAUCAGUUUGCAAAAAUUCAUUGUUUUAGAAAAGAGAUACAUAUUACAUAAUCUCAUUGAUAUCUUUUUUUUUAAAAAUAGAAAUAAAAAAUUUAAUAUUUUAUUUUUCAUCUCUAAAAAAAAUCAUAAACUCCAGAAUUCAACUCCCUUGACUUCUAUAAUCUUGUCCUAUGUUUUUUUUUUUUAAAAUAUAUAUAUAUAUAAGUAAUUAACUUUGUCAUAAUUUUAUUUUAUUUUUUAAAUCAUGUGAGAUUCAUGACAUUCUCUUUUACUCAAUUAUAUAAUAUUCUCAUUAUAUUAAUUUUUUCACUUGUAAAGGAGAGAGAUUCACGAGCCAAGCAUGAUUUCUCUCGUAGGAGUUUUUAUUAAUAAAAAUUUAAUAAAUUUUAAUAUCAUUUAUCACGAGUUUAUAUUUUCAAUUCAAUAUAUAUAUAUAUAUAUAAAAGAAGAAAUGUCUCCAAUUUUAACUUUUAGCAUGUCUUCAAUUUUAACUUUAAUAUUAACCGAAAUGUGUUCAAGUUUAACUUUAAUACCUAUCUCAUUUCUGAUUGAAAUUUAUAGGUAGGAAAAAUAGUAAAAAAAUUUUAAUUAUCACUUUUGUUUUGACGUUAAUCAAAUCAUAACUAUUAUUUAACCGAAAAAGUGAAACUAUAAUUAUUGAAAGUCUUUUCUAUUUGGAAUUUUGGAGCGCUGGACAGUUGGUGACUCAGCAAAAAGCAUAAAAAUAAAAGAAAUCAAAUGAAAUUAUUAGGACAUGAUUUAAACUUUGAAGUUUGAACCCCACCAAAGAGAAAAGAGGGCCUAUAACAAUUCCCAUGAGUGCACUGUCACUGUAUAAAACCAAACUCCCAAAACACAAAACUCACUCGUUGUGUCUUCUGUCUGAACAGGGUUUCCCUUUUUUCGUUCCCCCAAUCACACGUAAGUCCGCAAAAUAAAUUCAUUUCCAAAUAAGUAAUUAAAAAAAAGACCUUAAGAGUUGGGUCUUCUUCAAUUAUCAACUUCAUAAUACUUUGCGAAAAAGACAAAGACCCACUACUUACCAGAAAAACUCUUAUUUUCUCUCAAAAGCAUUUGGAAAGAAGAAGAAGAAGAAGAAGGCUUAAAAAAGAAGGGGUUCAAAUGGGUUCGAGUAGCAGUCGACUGGGGUCGAACCCAUCACGGGGGAGACUUAACCACCGACCCAAAUGGUGUUCCAGGCUCUCCUCUCUCUUCAUCUGCGGUGGCUCUUCUUCUCAAGCCCCUCUUGAGGUAAUUAACUAGCGAAAUUUUGGUCCUUUUGUUUGUUUGGAUGAUUCGAGAUAGGGUAUUUUGGUUGCUGAGUUAUAUACAAAGAUUAUUAUUUUCUGACUUUUUAAUCAUAAAGUCAAUGCCCCAUUUCUUGCUUUUUCUUAAUUUUUUUUUAUUUUUAAUAAACUUCUGGCGAUCUGGGGUUUCCUUAAUUCAUUCCUAAAAUACUUCUUUGUGGUAUAUUUGUUUUUUUUAUAUAUUAUUUCUUCAUCUUUUUGAUUUAAUACAGGCUUGAAAUAUCAUGUUUUUUGAUUUUGUUUGUCCUCUCAAAAUCCUCUGGUUCAAAUCAAGUCAGGAUAGAGAAAGCUUUUAAGGUCUUCGUUUAGAAAUUUUUUGUAAAUUAUUGAUUUUUAUGUUUCUCAAUUAACCACGUUACGGGUUCCUCUAUUAACUUUUUUUCCUUGAUCAUUUUUAGCAUUUAAUUGUCUGAAAUAUAACGUUCUCUGUUUAAAAAUUCCAGAUUUUAAUGGUUGGUUCUUUUUAAAUAGUGCUUUAGUUGAUGUUGUUUUGAUCCUUCUGAAAGACAACGAAUUUUCUUUCUUAUCCUGGUUGUUUGUAUUAAUGCAUUGAGUGUGUGUGUGCGCGCGCGCGCGUGUGUGAAUGAUGCAGUUUGAGAGGGCCUGCCUUUCUUUUUUGGUAUUUUGGACCUGUUUUACUGCCCCACCUGGAGGUUCAAUUAUGUAUUCACCCAUAGCUUUCAUCAUGGUGGGAUGCUUUUAAGGAAAUAUGAAGAAUCUGUAACCUUGCGGGAUUUGGUUCUCGUGCUGUGUCAGACUUUGAUUUGGACUAAAGAAUAUUUACUAGUUCUUGCAGCCCCUUGUCUCAAAAAAUAAGCUCGUCCUGUUGCACUGUUGCAGCAAAUGUGCACAUUCAACUAUCCCCUUUGCUUCAGGCCAAAAAAAACUGUUCCCUUUGCUUGCAAAUUUUUUAAGUUAGUGUAAUGUGCUUACUAGUUACUUGUCAACUGCAUUUAAGUAAUGUUCAAAUUUCUGAAGUAUCUUUUUCUCUGAAUUUUGCUCUUUCAAAACAGGAAUUUCAGUUUCGCUUAUCUUUGCUUGGUUAGUUGUCAGUGUAUCUUUUAUUUGGAGGGAGGAACUGAAAAAGAAGUGCAAUGCUCUUUUGCAGUAUCCUUUGUUGAGUAGAUGGUAGGUUUGUAAAUUAAAACCUUCCUAGCUAAAAUUAGCAACACAUAAUAUUGGAGAUAGGCAUUAAUUUACCAAGUAUUACUUGUUUAAAUUGUUUUCCAGUUGAUUUUUGUACCUUUUCUAUUAGCAAUACAUCUUUUGUAGUUGGUUAAGUUCAUUUUUAGUUAAAAUGCCAUGAAGGAGCUUAACUCUUUAGCUUUCCUCUCGGUUCCAAGAUGUAGACAGGAGGCAGUACAGAAUCUUCUUUCUGGCAGUGGGUUGAGCAUCUCAUAAUUGUUGCUCCAAACCUGGGGCCACCAAGAGAACAAUAUGAAGUCUUCAUUGAGGAUGCAAGAGUCAAGUGAACUCUAAAUUCCGUUAGCACCAGCAAAUGUCUUGUGGAAUUGCAUGUUCAUGAACACGUUUAUGUCUUGGAAGUUAUCUUUCUUUUUUCUUUAUUUUUAUUUUUUAUUUUUGGUUUUUAGAUUGUAAACUAAGCAUUUUACAUGCAAGCUCUAGAAUAUGCAGCAGGAAGUGAUACAAUGACAUUCUUUUGAUGUAGAUGGAAGAUUAUCCAGCUGAAAUUCUGGUGAAGUCUGCAGAACACUGUGGUCCAGUUGGCAACAUGGUCCAAAGUCCCCUGGAGGAAUCUACUUCGAUCUGCAGUAUGGAAACAAGGUUCAGCAGCACAGGUACUGAAACUGGAAUUUCAGCUGAAAGCAGUUCUGCAGCCAGUGGUGAUCCAUCUAUUGAAGGUGGUUCAAGAGAUCUAGAAACAAGUAAUUGUAGGACAUGCUUGAUUGAAAGUACGGAGUUAGUUGCUCCUCAGGUAAGUGCUGAUUAUAGUUGUGGUGAAUCUCAUAGGGAUAGUAGUACUUCAGCUAGCACUUCCUUUAAAGAACAACAAUCUUCAGACCCUAUCUCAGUAAAUCUUUCGACUAAUGAGGAUGCAGUCAGUGGCUUUGAAAAUGCAAACAAGGGUGCAUCUCAGAUCCAUCCUGAGGCAAGUAUUUUGUCUCCUCAAGGGCUUGGAGAUUCACAUUUGCAUGGGAUACCUGUUGAGAAUCAGUUAAGUGAAGUAACAACAGUCCAUAACUCUGAUCCUGAUCCUGCUCCUCAUGCCUCUGAACCGGUGACUUUUCACUCACCAGGAGGUGAAUCCAUCAGAGAGGCAAUACCUUCAGGUUUAGGUUUUCUCGUAUCCAAUAGGGAACCAGGCCGGGGAGAUGGAAGUGUGCUUCAUGUUGACGUUGUGAGUAUCUCUUCCAAUAUUUUAUCUGGUGGCAGUGCUGAUACAAGUAAUCGUGAAGCCAGGAGGAAUAGUAGAAGAUUGUUUUGGGAUGCAUUUUCAAGACGCAGCUCUAGAAGACUUAAUGAUUCCUCAUCCAUUUUUCUUUCAACGGAUGAUAGUGAUGAUACAGGAUUUCAUGACAGAUGGCUUCUUGAUUUUAGUGGUGAUUUCUUUUAUGAUGGGGCUGGAGGUGAUUCCGGCUACCUCAGCAGUAGAAUUCACAGCUUGAAUGAACGAAGACGACACUCGAGAUCAGAGGUAUUUAUUUGCAAAGCACUUUGAAUAUUGAAGUUUAUACUGCUUGUUUUUAGUAGAUAGAGAUAUAUCAAAACUUGCUUUCAGAAACUAGAUUUAUUUUAAAAAUUUGUUUUGUCUCCAUUAUUCCUGGAUUGGGGCUUAUGGUCCACUGUAUUUUUGUUGGAAUAUCUUUUGUAUCUGGUUAUGUAUUUGAUCAUUGCAAUCAUGUGACAACAUUUAUCAAGAUCUCUUUCGCUAUAUAUAUUCAAUUUGUCAUCCUGUUCCCUCGUGUACCUUCUAUGAACUAUCCCAUUUGACUCUUUUUCAGAUCUGGGAAAGGCUGCGUGGUGGCCAUGAUGAAAAUAGUCGGCGAACGACAUUUUGUCCAUCUGGACUCCACCCUGAUGGCACAUGCUCAUGUGAUUCUCUCUUGAUGACUGAUGAGUCUAGUGCCCGUGCAAGCAUAUCACGAAUAGUCAUGCUUGCUGAGGCUCUAUUUGAGGUAGUUUUCCUUUACCAACUUGCAUGUUCUGCCUAUCUUAUGCCAACUCAUCAUGUUAAUGUGAUUUUGUUUUACUGUGCCUUUGUUCCAUGAGAAGUUGAUCUUGUAUUGCAUUUUGUGCCAAAUUAUAAAGUUACUUGUUGAUAAUGGUCAUGGUAGAUUUUGUCAACGUGGAAGAAUGAAUCAGUAUCAGGACUUUUAAGAUGUUAUAGAUGGGUUGUGGGUGUUAAAAAUACUUUGUUUUCCCCAUUUCUAGUAUACCUUUGCAUGUGAGAUGUUGGAUCUUUUUCUUAUUCAGAAAGAUUUUUUGUAGCAUUUCUAGUAUAAUGGGGUGACUCUGUGUAUGUGAGGCAAGUGAGACUGCAACCUUUGUGUUAGUACAAUGGAAUGUAGUAAUGGUUAACAUUUCUGCUCAUGGUGCAUUGAUAUUGAUAAACACCUAUUCAGCUCCACAAGUUUCACCCAUUUCUUCAUUCUGUCAAAAUGAACGUUUGUAGGUUUUGGAUGAAAUUCAUCGUCAACCAGUAUCACUUUCCCUAUCUAUGGUGUCACUCCCGGCCCCCGAAUCUGUAGUUGAUUCUUUCCCUCUUAGAAGUCACAAAAAAUUGGAUGCAGCUGAGGGCGGGGAUGCUGUUGAACAGUAAGUUGUUUCUUAAUACUUGAAGAAAGGAUGUGUAUCAAUUUGCUCCUGAAAGAGCAUAGGGAGAAGAGUGCGUAUGAAUUUGCUUCUGGAAGAGUGUAUGGAAAGGAGUGAUUCUAUUUACUAUUUGUGUUUCUCUACUUAUUGUAUAUAGAAUAUGCUAUUAAUGUUAUCAUUGCUACUACUAAUCUUAUAUGUAGGUGUUAUAUAUGCCUGGCUGAAUAUGAGGAAGAGGAUAAAAUAAGAGCUCUGCCUUGCCAGCACGAGUUUCACAUGUCUUGUGUGGAUAAAUGGCUUAAAGAGAUACAUGGGUAUCAUUGCUACUAUAUGCUUUCCCUGUCGACCUGCCUUUUUUUCAUCUUCUGUUUUGGAAACUGACCUCACUGUCUCUUAUCUCUGGUUUACAGGGUGUGCCCACUUUGCAGAGGUGAUGUUCGUCAGGGUGUGGAGUCCUCUGUCUCAAACUCGGAGAUUCCCUCUCUUUGAUAAAAUUGUACAUAUGAAAAUACUAAAUAGUAAUGGCUUCUUAUACAAAUGUUAAAAAUGUUGUAUCAACAGUAUUUACCAUGUUGUAUUUCCUAUAUGCCAUCGUGUAGCAUCUUUUCCUCAUGAUGCGAGUCCACGGGAUUAUUACAUAUAGCAAAUUGAGGAAAAUGGGAUUUUUCCGGCUUUGCAUUUUCCUCUGAUGGCUACAUCUUUAGCUUAACCAACAUGGGAGGACUAAUUCAUCAAGCCUAUGUGCACAGAUUGACCGAGGCAUGCUGCUGUUAAUUUGUGUUGUUAGAUAUCCAUAGAUGCUUGUUAUGGUACGAAUGUCAGUAAACAUUUAAAAGUUAACUAAUAAACAUAAAUGCUUACCCUAGUUUCCCUUGCAUGGUCUUUUAUCGUUUGAUUGAAUAUUAUUAUUUUUGUAGUACAAAUUUCCUCAUAAAAUUGCAGCUUGAAUUAUCCAAAAUCUUUGGGUGCAUUGAGGAUUACAGAGAUGCAGCAGCUAAAAUGUGUGAAGCAACAAUGCAGCAAGUGACUACGAUAUAUGAUUGUGGUAGUUUUGAGUUGCGAAGCCUGUAAAUCAUAUUACAGAUGGAGAAGACUUGUAGGCUUUUCACCUUUUUUAAGUUACUCUAUUUGCCGUAUAAGUUCUGAUAUGAUAACAAAUCAAACAAAGUUUAGUUCAAUGAUUGUUAAUUCUUCCUUAUAUGGAAGGACUGCAGGUUCAACUCCCUUUUGUUUCGGCUUUUUCAUGUGUCUGAAAAUAAAAAUCUCAUUUAGGGAACACAAUCUUGACUAUAAUUAUUUUGAUUUAACCUUAAAAUUACAUGUUCUAAAAUUAUACAUAUUGUUUUUUAAAUUAAAUUAGAGUUUACUUAUUCAAAAGAAGAGUAACUUUUUCUUUAUUUUGAUGUUUUCUCACUUGAUACUUGAUACUUUAUUUUCCUCACUUAAUACCUGACAUCUUAUUCCGUUGCCAUGUGGAGUUAUAGCGUCUAUAUUUCUCUAAUUUUUAUCCCAUGCUCAAAUUAAUUAAGUUGAAAUUUCAAUUAUAAAAAAAAAAAAAAGAAAAAAAGUGUUUUAAACCCUUUAGACAUUCUAAAAUUUCAAAUUCCAAAGUCAAUAUAUUGAAUAACUUUGUGAAUACCAAAGAAUAUUCAAUACCCAAAAAAAAAAAAAACCAGAGAAUAUUUGAAAAAAUAUCUUAAAAGAUUGCAAAUUUGCAAUGCUGCAAAUAAUUUUGUCCAAACGUACAAAGGAAAACUGAGGGACACAAUCUACACAAAGCUAAUAGAGGCUGUUACAGAAUGUUGCUUGCUUUACCUGAAGAACCGAAAUGCUACAGAUUACUCAGAAGAACAAAGUUCUUCUUCAUAGUUCAUACAUUGCUAUAUCUAAAAUACAUAACAACCAAAACAAUGCUAUUCGAGAAGCAAUUGCAAAGGCCUAACUGAAAAAUAUAGGAUACAGAUAAAAACAGGAUACAACAGCACUUGCUUUUCGAUCUAACCCAGGAAAGAAGAGCCAUUCCUUGGGUUCCAAAAGGGAUUCUGAUCUUGACAGAAUUCAGGUCUCAGCUUGCUGUCAGUGUAAUCAUAGGAGAAAGGAUUAUUUUUGUUAUCAGUGUAACCACUAGUGUGGUUAUUAGCAAAGAGAUUUGGGUGACAGUUUUCAUCAUCUUCAAAAGUAGUCCAUCGCAUUGAGUUAUUAUGAUGCUUCUCUCUGGUUGCGUUUCUCAUGUUCUCCAUCUCUCCUACAUGGUCCUUGAAUUCUUUCUUCACCACAUCCAGUACAACAUCUCCAUAUCGAUCACACCAUGACCUGAAAAAAUUGGCAAGGAGAGAGGACAAUUAGAAAUAGAAACGCUGAUAAUCUGGCUAGAGAUCUAACAAAUCUUUCAAAUCCAAAAGCAAUGUACUAAAAGAAUCAAGGCCUUGUAAUCUAACGGAUUACAGAUUUGGGUAAGCCAAGGGCUGAUACUAUAUUAGGCUCGACUAAAGUGAUCCGUUUCUUGCAUCAAAGACAUAUAUUGCCUAAUUAUACAGGACAGCAUUGUACUCUUUUCGUGUCAUCUUAGAGUUGUAAGCAGCAAUAAUGUAAUAUAAUUCUCCACUGCCCAUAAACACAAAGAGAAUAAACAUAUAUGUAAGCGUUGUAAAGAAAUCAAGCUUUAUCAUCCUUACUUGGGGAAGAACUUUUUGAGGUCAGCCUUGUCCACAGGAAGGGUUGUGGAAAUCGCUUCCAUUUGAUCGUUCCUAGCGCAAUUCCAACAAAAGCAAACUUAGGCAAAUGCGCAAAAUAUUGCUCCAUUUUAAGGUUUGAUGGGAAGAACUCGCUUACGAAAAUUUGAGAUUCGGAUUGGUAGUGGAGAGCUCCAUUUGAAUUCGUGAUAGCUCCUUCUUUAUUUUGUCUCCUAAAACCUGCAAGAGUCACUCAAAAUAGGAUAUUAAAUAUAAGCUCCAGGUUCAAUAUAAGCCAAGACUAGUAUACAAUUAAUAUAUACAUAAGCAACAUUAAGAUGAACCUUGUCAAUGAAGAAAUCAGAUGGAGCUCCAUUUGCAUGCAACUUCUUCUUAAUCUGUUUUGUGUCUGGCCCCUCUCCUAUGGGAGUGGUAACAAGCUGGCAUGACCCCAGGAAAGCUUCACUAUCUGAUCUUUCGUUAAGGGGCAAAGGAGCAGUCUCAUCCUCUAAAUCACUUCUCUUCGAUUUCUUGAAACCAUCAAAACCCCAUUGCUUUUUGGCUGAUUUGGAUGCUUUUUCCUCUGAACGAGGGCCAUAAUCACCACCCCCACCGCCAUGUCCCUCUCUUUGCUCUCUAUGAAACAAAGUUCUAAACGGUUUUCUCUUUGCCUUAUCAGUACCACUACCAUUUUCCUUCAUGGAUUCCGUUGGCAAUAUUUCUUCUUGCAUGAGAAUUGAUUUUGUUUCGUUUUCUUUACCCUUCAAAUGACUAUCCCAAAACGGGUUUUCUUUAGAACCCACCAUAUAGGCUGAGGAAUUUGAAUCUACAUCGAAUAUGCUCUUUUCUGAUCUGUUUUUACUUGGCUUCUGAGAUGAUCCAAAGCCCAAAACUGAAGCUGCUCCUUUGAUCUGCUUCAUUGUGGGGUUGUUCUUUGAUUUGUUCUUGGAAUGCAACAAAUUGUCUCUAUUAGUGCUGCAGUUUUCAUCCUUCAAGUCAAUGACCGACCAUUCUUCUUCUUGAUUCUCUUUAGUGCCUUUGGGGUUCGCAACAAUUACAUCGCUGGCCUCAAUUUCAGCUCCUUGUACUGCUAACCGCUGUAACAAAGGCCUCUUUGAAGAAUGGUACUCCUCCUCUGAUAUGCAUUUUGCAUAAAGCAGUUCCUAGGACAGAGGAAACCAAAGUGGAAACUUAUCAAAUCCAUUUUCACUCGAUGAAUUUUGUUGUGUUAUGCACUAAAAAGUAAAAACCAGUUGAAUAUUAGCUCAAUUGAGUAAAUUAUUCAUCUAAACUAAUGAAAAUUGUUCUUUUUAAUCUACAAAUGUCAGCUUAAUUUUCUAUAUCCAAGUCAAAUAUCCACAACAACUGCAACUUACAAAAACCAACUAAGCUCCUAAACUAAACCAAAAUACUAAAUCCAAAAAAAAAAAAAGAGAAAAAGAUAAAUAAAGUAGGCGUUAAAGACUUACCUGCAAGAAGACCAAUUUAUCUCUCAAAAUAACAGGCUGCUCGAGUUCAGGUGGAGAAGCAAUAAGGGUCUCAAGCAAAUGGGUUCUAAAAGCUGCAACCUCAGCUUCACCCAGAAUCCCUUCUUUGUGUAGACCCAUCAAGUUCAAUAUCUGGUGAAAGGAAUCCUGCUGCCAUUUCAGAUUAUCAGACUGCAGCUUGGAAAGCCUGUGUUCCAAGGCUGGUAACCGCCUUUUCUUGAAUGAGAAAGGGAGAAUUGUCUUGCAAAGAGAAGUGAUGGAGUCAUGGAGAGUGGAGUAGUAUGUGGGUGUAUAACUGUACACCAUUUUCGAUCUUUUGGCUUGUUGAUGAGAGCUUGAAAAUGGGUUGAAGCAAGAUUUGAGACUGAUGGUCUUAGUUGCCAGAGCUUUUGAUUAUUAUUUUUGAAGAAGAUUUCGGGUUAUGUAUUUGAACAAGGUGAGAUUGUUGUUUCAGUUUCGAGAGUUUUGAAUCUUGGGGAGAGCUUAAAACGGUCACUUGAAACUAGCCGUUGAGAGUUGGAAGACAGACGCGAAGCCAAUUAUUUGUUGAUAGAACGCUGUCGUUUUCCUCCAUGUUUAUAGUCAUGAUACCAAGUUUAAAAUUUGUGCAAGAAUAUUUAUUUCCCUUUUUCUUGUCUUGCAAGAACAUAUCUAUUUGUUUACAAUUAUUGUAAGAAUAGUUAUAAAAUCCAAUCCAAAAUCAACUCCAAGAUUUUGGGUUAUUGUAAGGGUAAUUACACAAUGAUAUAUUUAAAUUUUAAACCCAAAACAUGAAGCAUGAUAUGUUCCAAUUUAAAAUAAUUAUUUCUUAAGCACAUACCAAUAUGAUAUUGUUAUUUAAACAUCUUAAAAUAUUAAAAAAUAAUAAUAUAUGGUAACAAUAUUAAAACAUAUUUCUUGUUUUGAAAGAAUAUACUUAUUGAUUUACAAUAUAAUAUUACUCAUUUUAUCGUCAAUUCAUUUGACUUUACUAUAAGUUAAUGAUUAUCUCAAAGUUAUAAAAUUUUAAAAAACACAAAAUAUAGUUAAAUAGGUUAAUAGAUAAAUUGAAAAUUAAAAUAAAAUAUUUUUAUUUGUUUUAUUCAUUUAAUAAGUAAGAUAAAUACUUUAUCUUGCUUAUUUUAUACUUGUUUUUAUUGUUUUUGUACAAAUAAAGGUAUUACAGAUAAAAAUUUAACAUAAUCAGGUCAUUUCUUACUUAUUAUGAUAAAUAUAUUUUGUUAAUUUACAUAUUAUUUAUUUGUUUAUAUAUCAAUUUAUACUUCAACAAGCAUAAUAUUUACUUGGUUAAACUCCACAUAAAUCUCCAGAUCUUUUCUCCCAUAGUAACCUAAAGGUUUUUUUUUUCAUAUAAAACUUUGUGUUUUACCUUUUUUUUUUUCAAAAGUAGUAAUAGUAUUAAAUUGUCAAUUAAUUUUUUAUAAAAAGACAAUAACAUCCUUUGUGUUUUAAUCUUUUUGUUUUUUUUUGUUUGUUUAAUUAAAAAAAGAAUUUAAUAUUUAUUUGUGUUUUUUUCUUUCUAACUUUUCUCUCCCUUUCUCUCCUCAUUUUCUUACUGUCCAAACAAGAAACAUAGGUGACGCUUGCCCGUUACCUGCAAUAAAAUUUAAUGCUCUCCCUCUUACCUCAAUGCCCUUACUAGAUUUCUUCAGUUCCUUUUCUGCUCCGGGUGCAGGUUUAGAGUGUUUCCUUCUUCGAAUUCUAGUUCUUUCAUUGACCCUAUACUGGGGCAAAUCUAAAGUUGAUUUUAUUAUCAGCAUAUUUAAAGAAGAAAAAUUUUAGCCAGAUUCUGACCGUUCAUCUCACCUUUCACCAACAUCUUGACGUUAGAUACAAAACCUUUUUAAUCUUGAAAAGACGUGAAAGCUUUUCAAUGAAUGACUUUCCAUUGUAAAGGGGCUAUUCACUUAGGCAUUAAAGUACACUCCCCUUUAGUGAUCUGCUACUUUGGACCAAAUGCUUUGCUUAGGCAUUAAGAUACACUUUGUUAUAGUGAUAUGUUGCUCUGGACAACGACUAUAUAGAAACACGAAAACCUGGACCCAUCAUGCUAGCAAAUACGGAAGGAGUUCACAUACGCAGCAUGCUUGGAAGUCUUCUUUAAGCUUGUUGACUUUGAACAAGUGGGAUAUUUGGCAUUGAAGUUGAAUUGGUUAAGGUAAAAUAUUAAUGCAACUAAGAGUUUUGACCAAAGUGAUGGCUAACAUUCAUCUUCUUAGACAAUUUUUUUUUUAUGGAUUCUCUUUUUAAGAUUAAGUUUUAAUUUUUUUAAUUAAACAACAAAAAAACAAAAAUAUUAAAACACAAAUGUUGUUAUUGUCUUUUUAUAAAAAAAAUUAACUUACAAUUUAACAUCAUUACUAUUUUUUGGAAAAGAAGUAAAACGUAAGGUUUAAUAUGAGAAAGAAAUAACUCAAGAAGUUAUAGAAGAAAGAUUAUACCACAAGGGGUUGACUUGGAGAUUAUCCUAUUUACUUUGUUCAAGUUCUUAUGUUGGUUAAAUUGGUGAAAACUUGGCUUUUCUUUUCAAUUCAAUUUACCUAAACCCAAGUUUGAUCCUCACGCUUGAUAAAUUUUUGGUAAUUGGAUUAAUUAUUAAUUGUAAAUAUAUAGACAAGUUUAGGGUACGAGUACUCGAUGCUACUCAAAUAUUAAAUAUAAUUAGGUUUGAGAAUUGAGUAUUCGAUGAAUGAUACACCGCACUCUACUUGAACUAGAAAUGGAUAAUAAAUUUGUUAUUUGAACGGGUACUUAAAAAUGGCAUUUCCGUUUCCUUCCCUAGCAGAGGUGUCCAAGGUUGAGCUACUUGCUCAAGCCUGUUAGCUUGACUCGAUCAUAUUUUGGCAGCUUUUGUGGCUCGAUCUCGACUCGUCACAAUUAAAUUAUUUUAUUUAUAAAUAAUUUAAUAUUAUUUAAUUUUAAUUUAAAAAUAUUAAUAUAAAAUAGUAUUUUUAAUAUUUUAAUAAUAAAAUAACAAUAAAAUGAAUAAACCAGACCGAACUUAGACUUAGCUUUUUAAAUUAAAAGUCCAAUGGACCCAAUCCGAUCCACGAUCAUCUCUUUAUAUAUGUAUCAUCGUGACAUUAGUAGUGAUCUAAAAAUGAUUUAAAUGUACUAUUGCAAGUGACAUACAUACCAAUAAAUACUAAUAAACUCUUUGAAAGUUCUCUGUUUCCUUUUUAUUAUUAUUAUUCUGAUUAUUCUUGGUUUAGAGUGGUUCGAAUUAAAUUAAGGAAGUCGGUGUAUUCGUUGAGACUUGCAAAUAUUUUUCAAAUCAUGCUUAUCACUAAUCCUCUCUUGCUCUCCAAUGAAUCAAUAACCAUAAGCAUCAAAAAGAGUAAUGACCAAUUAAUGAAUACAAUUAACGUUUAUUAUAAGAAUUUCGAGUAUGCUUAUUUUUUGAGUUAUAAGAUAUUUAUGAGAAUUAGCUUCAUCUCAUUUAUUUUCCAAACAUGAUUGACGAUUAUUAUUAUGGUGGGGGUGGGCUGCGUAUGUAAAAACAAAGACAUUGCACAUUUCAGUUUCAGGUGAGACCAUCUUCUUUUUCUUUCUUUUAUCUUUCUCUUUGGAAUGGGUGCUCUGGUGGUCCUUAAUCUUUGACAAAACUAAAUUAUCCUCAAUAACACGUAACAUUACAUUACAUUCCACUUUCCACAUUGUUAGGCAUUAGCCUACUUCUUUUCCGCACAACAUAUCAUUUGGGGAUGAGCAAUUGAUUGGUUCGGUUCAUUAUAAUUAAGGAUUAAAUAGAUUAAAUAUUUUUAAAAAAUUAAUCAGAAUUGAUCAAAUUUAGAAAAGAUCGAAUUAACCAAACAUCGAAUUGAUUUGAUCAAUUCGGUUUUGGAUCAAAAGAAUCGAAAUUGUCACUUUUUUCUUUUACAAAUUACAACAUUGAAAUUUAUAAAUUUAUUUAUAAUUAUAAAAUAUACAAAUAAUUUAAACAUAAAAAAUAUAUAUAAUAUUUAUCUUUUCACUCACAUAAUUAUGUCCUUUCACAAAAACCGUCAAACUAACAUUUAAGAGUUUUAACCUCUAAAUUCUAACAUUUAAGAUUCAACAUAACAAAGAUAAUAAAAGUAACAUCUACAAAAAAAAGAACAUCUAACACAAGACAAUCAAUUAUUGCAAAUCAUGAACUUAAUAAUAGAAAAAUAUAUAUUUUAUAUAAAUUUAAAAAAUAUAUAAACUAAUAUUAUAUAUUAAUAUAUAUAAUAUUAAUUUGAUCUUUUAGUCAGUUCAAUUCAAAGAUUUUAAAACUAAAAAUCAGUCAAAUAAAUCAAUUGGACCAAACCGUUUAAUUACUCAAAUUACAUUUAGUUCGAUUGAGUCAAUAAUCCGAUCCAAUUUUACUCAUCCCUAAUAUCAUUUACUCUGUGAUAUGACAAAAUGGAUGCUAUUGUCAUGGUCAAUAUUUACUUAAAAUUGAAAAAUUAACAAAAGAAAAUGAGAUUCAAAUCCGAUUUUAUGAAUAAGGAGAUACAUGUUAAUGUUUUAAUUUGAUAAUGUUCACAUUCUUAUCUUAUAGUAUGUUCUUAACGAAUCGAGUAGGUAGGCUUCUUUGUGAAUCAGGUGUGAUCACAAUUCAUGGUCCGUCCAUAUAAGGACGAAUAAUUCAAGCUAAUAGUGGAUGGAAAUCGUUUUCAUAGGAAUCCUGUACAAAUCGAUAAGCAUCACUAAUACUCAUAACCAUGCUAUUGACGCAUAUGAUUAUAUGAAUGGAACAGGUUGCCCAAAUCACAUUUAAUUUAAGUUCACACAGGGGCGGUUCAACAUUUUUAAAGGCGUAAAGUGAUUAAACAUUUAAAUGAGACCCUUACUGAGUAAAAAAUAAAUAAAUAAAUAAAUGAAGCUCUUUUUAUUGAAAUUAAAAAAAAAUUACCAUUAGUUGGAAAUCAUUGAAAGUAUAUUACAUUCAUUGAAAAUAAAAAAAUAUAAUUGAGAAUUAUUAAUAUUAUGAGAAUUGAAAAAUAAUAAAAAAUAAAAAAUUAUUAGGCAUAAUUGAAAAAGUGAGAGCACAUGUAAUUUUAUUAAUUAUUUUAACUUUCACAAGAUUGAGAAAGUGAGAUAAAUAGUUAAGAAUUAAUAGAAAGUAGGAAAUGAAAGAAAAUAAAUAUUUAAUAGAUACUUAAUUUAAAAAAUAUUUUGUUAAUUAUUUUAAUUUUUAUAUAUAUUUAAUAUAAUUAAUUAUAUUAUAUAAAAUUAUGAGACCUAAAGUAAGGACUUUGCUGGCUUUAUGCUAAAGCUGGCCCUGAGUCCACACCUGCCUAAUUGUUUCCCCUUUUUCUUUUUCUUUUCAGCCUUUUCACCAUGAGCUCCAACCCUUUCAUUAUCAAUGCAAAAAUGUCGAUUUAUCCGUCAGUUAGCUGCACUAUUUAGUUAUUUACAAAAAAUGUAAACAUAAUUAAUAUAAUUUUAUGAACAUUUUAUUUUUAUUAGUAGUAGGACAGACAGUCAAAACUGAUUGAAUUCUUUAUCAUUCUCGUAAAGAUUUGGUUGGCAUUUGAUGCAUCUUAGUGAGCAGAACAUGACUUUAUAUAGUCCACUCCAACAAAUGGAAAUUGGCCUACUUUUUACGAAAACUAAUUCUUAAUUAUUUAUAUCAGCUUUGGUUUUUGUAUAAUUUAUUGUUUUAAUAUGACUGGGUGAAAAUGAUUUUGUAAGUCCAUAUGUUGACAUCAUACGAGGGCUACAAUUUAUCAUUCAAUAACAAUGAUAAAACAUUUCAUAACCCAAAAAGAAAUUCAGAUGCAAGAAGAGUAAUUCAUUAAUUAUAACAUCUCAACUUUUUAAUUUUUUUUUAAAUAACUCAACCUUAGAUUUUACAAAGUUGUUGGCCCACUGUGAUUAGAGUUGGAGGUAGACAAGAUUAGGUGCAUUAUUUAAGUUGAAUUUCAAAGGUGGGGCAAGAGAAUGAAUGGACAUUGAUGUGCAUGUUCAGUAAAAGAAUCACUUUACCAUGACGAAAUGCCCCAUUCACCUCGAAUUUUAUUAAGACUUCUUCUAUCAGCUGCAACAAAAGUAUAAUAAGGGGGCAGUACUUUAAUUAACAGUAAAAUAUAAUGAUAUUUUUUUAUCAUAAUUAUAUGGGUUAAUUAGUUUUCAUAAUAAAUAAUCUAUCCAAAAAAGAUAUUUUCAUUAGACAUAUAAGUCAUGUCAUUAAUCAACUGACAAUCUUUUUAUUAAUUUGAUGAUAUGAUAAUAUUUUUAAAAUAAUUUUACUUUUUAUUAAUUUUAAAAAUUAUUACCAUAUAAAUUAAAUUUUUUAUUUUUUUAAUUUUUUCAAAAAAAAAAACUCUCAAUCUGACCACCUUGCAAUUGGUGGUGCUCCCCGAUCAAGAGAGCACCAGAUUUUGUGCUCCUGUUCGUGCUCCCUUGAGGAGCAUCGUCUUCCCAAAGGGAGCAUUGAUCUAGUGCUUCUUGUGGGGUAGGGGAGCACCAGAUCUAGUUCUCCAUAAGGGAGCACGAGAUCUGGGGUGCAAGACUAGAUCUCGUGCUCCAUUGGAGAGAUUCGGUUAGAUCUGGCAUUCCAAGGUCAAAUUCGAUCGUAAGGUGACCGAUCGAUAUAAGGUAGUAUCAUUAGUCGACCUCAGAAAAAGGAGAAGAGUGAAAAAAAGGAAAAAGAGCAUUUUAAACAUUUUAUAUUUAGGUAUUAACACCAUUUAUAUAUUUGGGACAGACUGUUUAUUUUGAAAACUAAUGAACCUACAUAUAAUUAUAAUCAAAAGAUGAAAAUAUCAAUAUAUUUUCCUUUUUAAUCAAUUAUAACCCUCUCUCUGCCAAGAGAUGAUUAGGUAGUUCAUUUAAAUUUUCAACAUGCAUAAUAUAUAUGUUUGAGUUCCUAAUAAGUUGAAUUUCCCCUUUGAUAGAGGAAAAAAGAAAUGUUGCUAAACAAAUAUAUUUGAUUGUAUUAUAUAAUCUUUAUGACAGUAUUUUGGGUAAAAAAAUGUUGUUAAAGUAAUUUCAUAUAUUAACGAAAACUAGAUUUCUAUACAAUAAAACAUUUAUAAACUAAUAUUUUGGGAUCAUGAAAAUUUAUUAAUUAAUCAAUAAAUUAAUAAUUUAUUAAUUUGUAUAUUAAUUAAUAAAAAAUAAAACUAUUGAGAUAUUCUUUAUUUAUCUUUUCAAAAUACUGAAUUUAAUAUAUGUAUUGUGUAUUGUGAUUAUACGAAUAUUGCCUAAUUAUUGAAUUACGAAUUAUCAUUAUUUUAUGUAUUUGUUUAAUCAAAACAAUGUCUAUGAAUGUAAUUAGUUUUAUUAAAUAGAAGUAACGAAUCUAGCCAUUUUUGUAACAAACUAUAAUUACAUUCGAUAUAUACUUAAUUAGUAUACUUCAUGAACAUUAAGUCAAACAAAAACAUCUAUCAAAAGAACAUACAAUACCACAUACAGUAAAACUAAAUACAACAACUUCUUGAGAUGUAAAAAAAUCAAUAAUGACGAAUGAAAUAUGUAAAACAUUGUGUGAGUACAUCAAAUAAGAUCAAGAUGUACUUAAAGCAAAAAUUACAUUGCAUAAUUUCUCUUAUAAUAUGAGAACACUACAUUAGAGUUUUUUUAAUAUAGUAAGAAAAGUUAGAGAUGAGGUAUAAUGAGACAUCAAUUUCAAGAAGAAACAAAUAAUAUUAGAGUCAUAUUUUAUAAAAAAAUCUCUUAAUUGAGUAAUGUAUAUAUAUAAUUUUGAUGUAUAAAGAGAUUAUUAAUUUAUAUAUAUCAAGUGAGACCUAUGUGUUUUCUUUUAAAUGUAUUAUUUUAUAAAUUUAAUGAAUUAUUAAUUUACUACGUUGAUCUUAAUCGAAACCGGUUAAAAAUAUUAUUUAAUCUAAAUUAUUAAUUUAUCGAAUAUUAAUUUAUCAAAAUUUUACUGUAAUUGAACUCGUAAUUAUGGAAAUUCUCAUAUAUUCAACUACUAACUUCGAUAAUCUUCCAAGAAAUUUUUGGUGAUUACUAAGAUGAUAUUCCAUAAUCAACCGUGUACAUUGUGAUUUUGCUUUUUCUUUUCCUUGCCAAAAAAAUAUAAUCAAUUCUCUGGUACGGCUAUGAGGGAAAGCAACUUGCUUUGUUUUAUGUGUGCGUUGCCUUAACAUGGAGGAAACUGAUAAAAGUGUAGCAAAUGGAAAUAUAGGGGUACAAGAUACUAUACCAAGUAUAUACUACAACUCUUCCAAGGAAAAGGGUGAUUAUGGAUGUGUUUUUUAUAUAUAUAUAUAUAUAAAGGAAAUAUAUUAAUUUAUAUAUAAAGGAAAUAUAUUAAUUUAAAUCAAUGAGUCGGCGGAUGUUUUAUAGUAUCAUUGUUUUGUUUUUAUUUCAUUUAAUAGAAGAAUGUUUUAACAUUAUGUUGUUAAUAUAUUUCUGCAUAAAUUAAUAAAAAAAAUUUAACUUGUUGGAUUAUUGAGGUGUUGUAUUGCCUUUUAAAUUUGAUUAAAAACACUGGCUAUUUAUCUACAAAUGUAUCUGAAGAAAGUUGAAAUUAGGAAUUGGUUAGAACUUUCGUAGCAGGACCUUAACAAAAGCCUUACUACUUCCUAGAAAUACCUUGCUACCUUGAUUGUUGAAUCAUGAUAUAAGCACUUCUUAGCAUUUAGAACCAAAAUACUACUACUAUCAAGAAUUCUGUGAUCAAGAAUGCUAGAAUUAGAAACAUCAAAAGAAAUUUUUAAUUUCACAUAUGAAAACAAGCUACUUCCUGAUUCAUGGGUAAUCAUUCAUCACUAACCCUACAACAAUCCUUUGGCUUUCUGAUAAAAGAGAAAGAAAUAACCUUUUUUUCAAGAUAGGAUGCCCAUUCUACAACAUGGGCAAUGAGCAUUAUUCUCUACCCAUGGGAUCAGGCACCUCGAAUGAAACCGAUGUGCGCAUGGCAGAUGAACCAAGGUCUCACCAGCCUUGAACCGUUCCAAGCAAAUGGCGCACUCCUCCUGAUCUGAAGCUUUCCAACUCAACUUGGCCCAACUAAACCUCUUUGUGCCACUCUUCUUUGGUCCAAACACUUCCUUGUGCAACUCCCCUUGAACCAUAUAUCUUCCAUCAACGCACCUCGAACUUUCUUUGCUAUUUUGCCUGAUUUCAAUGCCCAAAACAGGGGAAUAAGGGCAAAACUAAAAACUAAUUAAGCUGUAUGUUAGCAAGUCACAUAGCAGAUCUGCUAACAUGAGCCUGAUAUAAAUAUUCUGUUGUUUAGUACCUUUUGGGUUCUGAUUUUCUUUGUGAUCUCAGCCUCUCAUCUAAUCUUUCCUUAGCUUCUCUUGCUACCUCUCCCAGCUUCUCAUCUUGAUUGGCCUGAUUUAAUACGCUCCUUUGCUUUAUUUUUUCCAAGUAAAACCAAGUCAGUCCCAAUUAUAAUCUCCACCAUAUAUAUGGACCAAAAAUUACUGUAUAAUCAGGAAGAAGAAGAAGAAGAAGAAGUACCUGUGAAGAAACAGAGCUAUGAUGAGUUUCAUGGUUGCUUGUAUACAAACAAAAAGAGGACCUCCUUGUCCAGCCAAUUGGUACCGUGCUUGGUGAAUCAGAUGCGCCUCCGCUUUGAUGGAACCGUCUUCUUCUGGCACAUUCAACACCAGGAAGCAUGCCGGCCAUUGAUGAAAGAUAUGAAUUCUGAAAGAGACUGUUAAUUAAGAUCAGUGUCUUUUAUUUGUUAUAUUAAGGCUUCGGGCAUGGUCUACUGUAAACUGAUUUGUCUGCCGAUAUGAAGCUACCUGAAAGGAGGAAAUGAGUGGUUAUAAAGAGGAAAUACCUGUAUAAAUAAUUGCAAGAAGAAAGGGUACCAAAAAGGGGUUAUGAUUAAAAAGUGAAUCAAUCUCUAAAACAAAGAGGAAAACAGUUGUUACCUCAUAUAUAUUACUAGUGGGAGACAAAAGCGGGUCCGUGCCAUUGAUUGUCGAAGAAACAAUCUUUCUCAAUCACCCUUCAUUUGAGAGAUAGAAGAAGUAUGAGUCAUGUUUCUGUGUAAGAGCUCAAAAUAUACCCAACAGAUUAAAAUAUUAAGACCGAAAAGACUGUUGGAAAAAAUAAGGAAGGGACGAGGAAGGAGGCAAGGGAGCUUCACGGCAACUUACCGUCUACCAGCCGCCCACCAGACGACAGCACUUGUGUAGAAGGGUGAGCCACGUGACUAACCCAAUUCCCACUUUUCUGUAAUUGUAAAUGGAAUAACUUUUUCCUUCUCAAAAUUUGUUUUUCUUUAGACAUUUAUUAAAACCUUAUUCAAUAACCACGUCAUUUAAAUAACUAGGCAAUAUUUAACAUUUUCAAAUUUUUAUUUCAAGACAUAUGCUUUAUUUUAGUUAAGUUAUUUGUUAUUUUAUAGAAUAAAAACGAACAUAGAAUAGUUAGAUCACAAAAAUAGUAGUGAAAGUAGUCUGAAAUAGACUGUAAGGUUCAUGGGUGUCACUAGUAUAUUAUAAUGAAUUUGACUAAAUUAUUCAUAUAUAAUUAAAAAAAAUUUCACUUAAGUUUUUUUUCUUAGUACAAGCAUUUUUCUUUUUCUUUUUUCGUUUUCGGGAAACAUGUGAAUCAUUACUAAGUGUCAUUGAUCUCCACUACUUCAUCAAAUCAAAAUAUCCAUUCACUGCCUAACAUAUGUAGUGAGCUAACAUGUUAUUUUCAUGAUAAACAUGUUCUUACAUAAUCAACUUAUUCUUUCCAUGAUGAAUAUGCUCUUCUAUAAUACACUUGUUCUUCCCAUGAUAAUUAUGUUCUCCCCAUAUGUGCUCUUUUCAUGACAUCGAAUAAAUACUUUCUAGUUAACCGCAUACACUUUGUAUAUAUAAGAACCUCGGCAAUUCAUCAAGGGCAUUAAGAAAUUCAAUAGAUUCUUUCUCGAUUGAAGUACAUAUGAAGUCUUUGUAUUAUAACAAUUUUGUUUAAUUUAAUCUUUCUACAAUUUUUUUUUAAUUUAUCCCCCUCACUCAGCUAAUUUAGAUAGAAUUACUCAUAAUGACUAAAUUACACCAAAUACUAAAUAAAGAGAAUUCACCACCUACCUAAAAUAUCAAAAAUACAUAAAUUUUAAAUUAAAUAGUACCCGAAAACAGCUCAUACUCUUAAUUCUUUUUAUCUAAAACGCAGAAACAGCCAACAAAUUGAUGGAAGAGAAUCCCACCAACCACCACGGAGGUAUCAUGAUUGAGCUCUGUAACGACUGUGAAAAGAAAAAGAAAAGAAAAGAGAUGAGAUGCACCACCCCCACCCCCUCACUGCAAUAUUUUUUUAUUAUUGCAUGAUAUCUCGGCAAUGAUCCGACUCGUGCAGGAAAGAGAGGAUGAUGAAAGAAAAGGCGAAGUUGUCAAGUGACAAGGAUAGUGAAGAUUGAGGCAGGAAAAACCAUGUAACCCUGGAUUAUAUACUUUAUUGGGUCUUUUUAUUCUCCAGCAUUAUUUUAUAGAAUAGUGCAUUAAUUUGCCCAUAAUCUCAUAAUAAUCCUUUUGAUAAUUGGGCCAGAAGGGAUUCCAACUGAUAAAAAUUUUUAUUUGGAUCAGACAACAGCUGCUGCCCUGCUCAUCACUUUGUCUACAUUCUUUUGAUUCAUUUACCCACAAUACGUGAUCUGGUUUGUGUGAAAUGCUUUUGAAUAAACAACUUAAUAUUGGAGACAUAUAAUAAUUAUAUAAAAAAAACCCAACCUUAGCUUAAUAGUUUUUAUCCUCGCGAAAAGCUAAGAUUUAACAUUUAAAUUCACCUUCACCCUUACCUUGUGAGUUAAAAUAUAAGCAAAAAAAAUAAGGUUUUGAUAUUUGUAAAUAUUAAAUUCAAAUCCCAUAUUAUAUAAAUUUAGUAUAAUUUUAUAUUGAUUUGUAUUAAUUAGUUUAUUUAUCCACUAAUUUAACUUUAUAUUAGUUUGUUAGUUAGUUGGUUUAUUCAUUGAUUUUUUUAGUAAAUAUAACAUAUAAUAAUAUAUAUGAAAAUUAUGUGAUUUUAUUUAAAAUUUUUGUUUGUAUUUAUAAUUUCAUAAAUAAAUAAAUAAAUAAAAAAGCCUUGGAGUUACUGUCGAGCUGCAAAUAAUUUUUAUGGGUGCUCCUUAUGGGUUUAGACUGGGUUCUAAAAAACAAUAUGUUAACAACUAGAACCAAACCCAAAUAUUUGUCAAUGCACAACUGGUGCUGGUUGACUGCCUGCCAAUAAUUUCUGGGCUUGGUUUCAGCCGACCCAUAUCCUUCGCAAAAACAAAGAAAAGCACAAAGAUAAUUUAUUAUAUGUAAAAUGAUAUGUAUAUCAAUUACAGUACUUAAUAAAAUUUUCUUCAUUCGAAUUUUGUAAAUUAUUUAUAGUUUUUAUUAUUACUUUUUUAUCUUAUGUCUUCAUAAUUAUUUUAAUUAUGUUUACAAGGUGGAUUAAUUUUAAAUCAUUAUUUUCAAACCUUUUGUUCUCAUCCCUUUCUUCAUUUCUCGAUCUGGUGCUGUCAUCAACCUUGUCCAUUCCGACAACAACGGCUCCUCCCUUUGUUCUCUUCCCUUUUCGUUUUGCUGCCAAUUUUCACUCUUUUUAAAAAAUCUUAACGUCCCUUUGAUUUUUUUCUCUCUCCACCAUCGAUCCCACCAUGAAAAAAAAAAAAAGCUAGGAGGGCUUGAUUGAGGCGUAGGCCCUCAAUUGGAACAACAUCAAAAACUUUAUUUUUAUAUAUAGUAAUAAAUAUGAAGCAGAAAUGUAGCAUGCAAACAAGAUUCGAACUUCAAACUUUUAUCAUUUCAUAUUUUUUAUUGUUAAGAAAAGUUACAUUAACGUUAAUAAAUAAGAUUUAUAGUUAUUGAUAAUCAAAGAAUUAUUUUUUUAAAAUUAAAUGAUCAAAAUAGACAAUCUCCUUUCAAAAAAAUUUUCUUGUUUUAUAUCAAAAUAUAAAUAUUUUUACUCUUAAAAAUGAAAAGAAAAUAAUAACAAUCUCUAUAAGGUCACAGCCAAAACCCUCACCAACUAGAUGGAAAUUGGUGAUUAGUAAGGUUAUCAACAAGAACCACUUUGCUUUUGUUGCUAAUAGAUAGCUUCUUGAUUGCUAUCUUACUGCAAGUAAGGCCAUUGAUUACAUUAGAAAAGAAGCAAGCAGCAGACUAUUAUUAAAGGUGGAUUUUGAAAAGGCGUAUGAUUCCAUUGAUUGGGAGUUCUUCUGUCUAAUUUUGGGAAAAAUGAAAUUUGAUAGUCGAUAGAGAAAAUGGGUUAAAGUGUAUCUUUCCUCAACAUCUAUAUCGGUGUUGGUCAAUGGUAACCCUACAAAUCAAUUCUAAAUGUGACAAGGACUACACCAAGAUUGUUUGCUUUCGCCCUUCUUAUUUAAUUGUGUUGUAGAAGCUUUUAGUGUGCUUAUGCACAAAGCUGUCAACAUGGGUCUAUGUCAGGGAGUGGAAGUUGGUAGAAGACGGAUGGUUGUCUCUCAUUUGUAAUUUUGCAUUUGCAGUUCGCAAAUGACAUGUUAAUCUUAUGUAAACUUGAUCUAAAUAGUUUAAUUAAUGCUAAAAUUUUACUGAGGUGUUUUCAGAUAGUUUUCAAACUAAAGAUUAAUUUCCAGAAGAGUUACUUGUUUGGGUUUAGUCUUGAUCAUGAAACUAUUGUGGAAUGGGUGAGGAAGAUUGUUAGUAAAGUGAACAAAUGCCCUACAACUUUCUUGGGUUUACGUCGUAACACAUCAAUGAACUCGAUUAAGAUGUGGAAGUCAAUUGUUGAGAAAGUUGAGGCAAGACUUCCUAUUUGGAAGGCAAAGUCCCUAUCUCUUGGUGAAAGAAUAACUUUGUUAAGAGCUAUCCUUAAUAAUCUAUCAGUCUUCUUUAUUUUGAUGUUUGCAAAGCCAACUGGAGUAAAAAAAAAUCCUUGACAAAUUACAAAGACAAUUUCUAUGGGGUGAAACCAUUGAGAGAAAACAAAUACAUUAUGUUAGUUGAGAAUCAACUUGUCUUUAUCGUGACUUGGGUGGAAUUGACCUUGUCGACCUCCAUGUGAGGAAUAGAGCUCUUCUCAAUAAAUGGCUCUAGUGGUUCAACAAUGAAACUUGGUGUCUUUGGAGUGAGUUGAUAGAGGAUAAGACAGAUUGUGACCUUAAUACAUUACUACCAUCAAGUGCCAAACAAGAAGAUCUUCCAAUGUGUGGAAAAACAUUGUCAAGCCUCUUAACGAUAAUUCUAACAUGGUGAGAAUUACUUGUGAUGGAAUAGGAAUUUUGUUUGUAAUGGCAAGAGGAUUAAUUUUUUGAAGGAGCAAUAGAUACCAGGGGUAGUGCUUAAUCAAUUCCCAAGAAUCUUUGCUUUGGCGACUGAUAAAAACGGUGUGAUCGAUGACUUUGGUAAGUGGGACAAUCAACGGUCGAGUGGGCCACUGAUCUAAGGAGAAAUGUGCUUGGAUGGGAAGAUGAACAGUGGGAGGCUUUUAUGUGCCUACUUCUAAAUCAAGAGUUAGAUUAGGAACCAGAGCAUUUAGCUCAUUGGUUGGUACAUGAACCCUUGUUUAAAGAGCAGGAUUUAAAUUUCCCUCAGCACAAUUAUAUAAAAAAAAUUAGAAAAAAAAAAGAGUUAAAUCAGGAGUUUCAAGACAAGAUGAUUUGGAAGCAUAACAUAAGUGGCAACUACAGCACAAAAUCCUUUAUGUUGAACUGUAUUAAUGUGAAACAUUCUAGUUCUGAGGUGUGGAGACGGAUUUGGGAAGGUUUGACGUCCCAUAAAGUGGAAGCAUUUUGUUGGCAAUUGCUCAAAUGAAGAUACACCUGAACAUUUGACUCAUUAGUUGAUGCAUAAUCCUUCUACUUAAAGAGUAAGGUUUGAAUCCCCCUUCUCUCAAUUACAAAAAGGAAAAAAACUACUCAAGGGAAGAUUAGCAAUGAGAAAAGAGUUGGCACGUAGAAGUAUCAUUAGACAAGAGGCUACGUACCGCUUGCUGUGCAAAAUAGGUAAUGAAACUCUAAAUCACUUAUUUUUCUCUUGUCUUGAAACAUGGAAAUUAUGACACUAGUGUUGUGAUUACAGGAAUGUUAAAUAGGUAUUGUAAUUAUUGGAAUGUCAAAUGGGUAUUACAUGAGGACCCUGUUAUGUGCUUUCAAGCUUGGAAUGAGAUGAGUAACCAGAUGGAAAAUGGGAAGGUGUUUAGAAUGGUUUUUUACACUAUUGCGUGGUCCAUCUAGUUAGCUCGAAAUGAUGUUGUGUUCUAAGGCAAAGUGUGGAGCAACUUCAACACCUUUGACACAAUUAAGUUGAGGUUGGGAUGGUGGGUAAAACUCAAAUGGCCAAACUUUAACCCAUAUUUGUUAGAUGUGAUUAGAAGUCUGAAUCUUGGCUUGAGCCUUGAAAAUAAUAAGUAGAUAAAGAGUAUAAUAGCUUAGAAAGAACCACCCCCGAGAAGCCUUAAGUUUAAUGUCGAUGCAGUUGCAAGUGAAUGCCCUGGCAAAGUAGGGAUAAGGGCCCUAGGGGAUGAGAAUGAGAACAUCCGUUUAUUAUUUUCAAUUUCAAUGGGUGUCAUCAAUUCUAAUAGAGCUAAGCUGAGCGCCCUCCGGAAGGGUUUUCAAGUGAUGGUUGCAUCAAAGUGGCCCAACUCCCAUGGGGUUGUUUUUUAGAGUUAUUCCUCCAACGUUGUCUCAUGGGUGCUGAACCCUCACAAUACUCCAUGGAAACUUAAGAAAACCAUCAUGAAGAUUGAAGGGCUAAAAUCCAAGCAAUCUAAAUAGGGUAUAAGUAAGAUCUCUUGGUCUACAAAUGAAAUCACAAAUAGCUUGGCUAAAACGAGCAUACGUAAACAAGGUGAUCUAAUGUGGACUAUUGGCAAUGUGAGUGCGAGCCAAGUAUCAGAUGAAAACUAAUUAUGAGUUCCUAAAGUGAUGUACAAUUUGAAAUAUCAUAGGGCGUAUAGUUGGGAGGGGUAGCUGACAAAGCGAUCUGACCUUUACUGCAAAAUUAUUUUUGUUUACUUGUAGUUUUGAGAUCAUAGGCAAAGGCUACCUAGGCCACCCUUUGUGUGUUCUUUUGUAGCUAUCAUCGUUAAUACAAGAUCACUGCCUUUCAAAAAAAACUUAACUUACCAAUAUAUAUGAGCUUGUUAUAAUAUUUCGAACUCAUCACAUUUGCUUAACUAAAAAAUAUCAUUGAUAAAACUCAAAUCAAUUUUCAAACAAAAAAAAAUUAAAAAAAAAGGCAUGAAUGGAGUGCCCAAAGAAUUUCCAAAAUCACAAAAAGCAUUAACCUCCACUAUUUAUUAUCUAAAUUUACUGAAAGCACCCAUCCCUUCAGUCGCGGAGGUUCAGGUUUCUCAGUUGAAAUGAUAACCAACCAUUUUCUCAUUUCCGUACCAUUCGCGUCCUUUUUUUUUUGUAAUUUUGCCAAAUCCCUUCACUCUAUAUUUUAUUAUUCCCUCUCCUUCACUCAUUCGCAAAAUAACUCCCAACAAAAAAAAACCCAAAACCUUUUCUUUCUCUUUUUUUUUAUUUUUCAAAAGAGAAAAAGAAAAAAAAAGGUAAGGCAAUGAGCAGCGAAACAAAUCCAACCUCUCCAAUUUCUCCAUCAUCUCUAAAACAAAAGCUAAAGUCUUCUAUUCGUCUCCCAUGGCUCUGCCACCACAGCCGCCAAGACAGGGCUCUAAAUGCCUCAGCCACUCCUCUUCCAACCCCUACUCCAAGCCCUACGGCUAAUAACAACCACAACAAGCCAAGGCUAAGCAAGACAUUGUCUCCUACGUAUCUGAAGUCCCCGGAGUUUAGAGACAAGUGUCGUAGCUUGAUUAACCGCAUUGGACACGGUCCUGGUCACCGCCAUAGCCAUAGCCACAGCCACAGUUAUGGUUAUCAUGGCCAUGGCCACGGGAGACGACACUCGGCGGAUUUUCGAUAUGAUCCGUCUAGUUACGCAUUGAAUUUUGAUGAAGGAUUCAAUGAUAGCCAACUUGAUGAGUUCCCUUCGAGAAAUUUUUCUACUAGGUUGCCAGCUUCUCCUUCUACUACUACUUCUAGAGAAAUCACUGCUUAUACUUGAAAAAUAAGAUUUUGGCUUUCUGUUGAAUUUGCAUGGAAAAAUGAUGGCUUGAUGAGGAUAUAGUGGUAGGUUUUUUUUUUUUUGUUAAAAAAGAAAAUUGCUUGCAAUUGUAUAUAAUUUUUUUUCUUCUCAUUUGUUGAUUAAUCUUUGAUAAAAAGUUACUAUAAAUAAGAUGCAUCCUUAUCUCAAUUAUGUAAAGAAGAUCUUGAAAUUUAUUAAGUUUUAAGUUUCCAAUCCCAUUAUAUAUGAAGUUGAUUAUAUUUUAUGUUAAUUUGUUAAUUUAUUUAUUAAUUUCUUCUAUUAAAUAUAAUAAUCAUCUUAUAUUUAUUGAGAAUUAGAUUAUAAUUUUUAUUCAUGAAUGUAAUCUCAUAAAAAAAAGUUUUUCAUAAAUUUGUGAAGGUAAUUGCUGAAAUUAAUUAAAUAUUUAAUUAUGGAAAAAUAAAGGGAUAUGAAUGUGGCUUCCAUGGAAAAAUGCAUAAAUUCCAAUAUCAUGAGUUCAUGUAAUAACUUAUGUUUGAGAAAGAAUAAGGAGACAAUCUAGAAUUAGUAUCGCAUCACCUUUUUUAAUAUAUAUAUAUAUAUAUAUAUAUAUAUAUAUAUAUGUGUGUGUGUGUGUNGCUUUUUUAUUAUUUUUUAUCCCUUUUUAAUAUAUAUAUAUAUAUAUAUAUAUAUAUAUAUAUAUGUGUGUGUGUGUGCGUAUGUGUGAAAUUAUCUUAUAAACUUAUUAAUGUUAAAAGUUUUGUUUAGUAAGCUUAAAUUAACUGUUUUCAGAAAAUGAAUUCAGAUGUGCCUAUAUUGUUGAAUUGUUGUGCUUGAUUCUCUAAUUAGUCAUCAAUAAGCAGUGGUGGAAUCAAGAUUUUAAGUUUGAGGGGAUGAAAUUGAAAACUUUAAUAGUUGAGGGGGUGAAAUUAUAAAAUUGAAAAAAGAAUGAGUGAUUGGAGAAUGAAUAUUUGAGAGUGAGAGGUGAUUAAAAGGCAUGGCCAGCAGCCCAGCACACCUAGCUGGUUGCCUAGUGGAAAUUGAAAUAACAAGAAAAGCAGAUUCCAUAUUUUUCUCAACAAAAGCAAUUUGUUUUACUAAAACGGGGAUCUUCUUAUCCAAAUAUGAUUUUGCAAGAAAAGGGAUUGCUCAUUUUGCAUAGGCAAACAUUAUUACCAGCAUCAGCAUUCUGUACCAAGUUACCAUCCUAAUAAUUGUCUCUGAGUACUAAAUUUCAAUAAUGCAAUGAAGGCAAUGAUACGAGUAAACUAUACAACGGAUAUGUGUAAAAUACGUGUCCGAAGGUGGCCCAAGGCUUCAACCUUUAGAUUGAAUUUAAGACACAAGAAAUUAUAUUGAUGAUAUACAUGGGUUUAUAUGCUCCAAAAAAUGUAACGUUUUAAUUGGCCUUCGCCUUAUCUUGUAUUGGCAAGUACCCUAGGAUUUUACCCAAAAGUCACUCAUCUACUUGCAUAGGUUCUAUCACUCAACUCAAAUUAGCUAUAAGUAUAUAAAGGACAUGUGUCCAACUUUCUUAUUUGUGAAUCAACAAUGCAUGUACUAGAUAUGAGAUUUAUAGAAAUAGUCUUUCAUCUCAAUUAUUUCCUUACCCCACUAUUCCAAGGAUAAUGCAUUGGGAAUGUUACACUGCGUGCAUCGAUAAUUCGCGAUUGAAUUGCUAUUGAACUCUUAUACACAUGGUUUUCAAAUGAAGAGAUUAUUCUUUAAACUUAAAGAAUCAAAUCUCUUAAUUGACGUCGAUGAGAUAGAAUUGGUUUCAAUCAACACUAUCUCCAAUCGGUAAUAGUUUCAUACUUCUCAUAGUGCUAGCAAUUUUAUCGCUUGAUACAAGUUUAGUAAAAGGGUUCGCUAACAUUUAACAUGUAAGAAAAUAUUCAAAAUAAACCUUAGCUUUCUUUACAAUAAUUCUCAAAUCUCACAUGAUUAUAUCUCCAAGCAAUAUGCUUGUUAUUAUUUGAAAAUCUCUCAUUUUUAGUGUUGUAAAUUACAGCUUGAUUCUCACAAUGCAAAGUGAUUGGUCAAUUUGUAAGAGUAACAAAACAAUUGUUAGUUGAGGAAGGGUGGCUCACAAAUUUUUCCCCAAGUGGAACAUAUCAAGUUGCAUUUCGAAUCUGUCAGUAGCUCGAUAGGGUUGCUACCGGUUGACAUCCCUCUUAAGGCUCGUAUGUUUCUUGUCAUGUCUCUAGAUCCAUUCAUGAAGGAAGGUUCUGUUUUUUAACUUCAAGAUCCAUAAUACCAAUUCCCCCACAAUUUCUAUAUUUACACACCUUGUUCUACUCAAUAUAAUGAACUUUUUUGCUUUGCCCUAGCCUCACACUAAAGAAACAUCAUUUGAAUUUUUUUUCAAGUUCUUUUUUAAUUCCUAUGAGAAUUUAGAACAAAAAUAUGAAGAAAUAGGGAGAUUUACUAGAAACGACCCCAAUAAUGUCACUACCCCCACUCGAAAACAACUUAGCUUUCCACCCAGCUAAUUUUACCUCAUACCUCUUGACAACUACCGAUUUCCAAAUCUUUAGGGAGAGUUGAUUUGUCCCCAGUGGGAGACCCAGGUAUGUAUUUGGAAUGUUUCCCACUCUAGAGAUCAAAUCAACCCAAACACCAACCAGUUGCUUAUCAAUUCUAAUCCCAAAGAGAUUACUCUUCUUGAAGUUGAUCUUGAAGCUCAAAAUGACCCAGAAACAUCUUAAAAUUCUAAUCACAUUCUUCAAACUUUAAGGCUUAGGAUAGUGGAAGAUCAUAGUGUCAUUUGUAUACUGUAAACGCAAAAUUUUCAACCCUUAAUCCCUAUUGAGACACCCUUGCAUAAAUCAACCUUCUUUGCCUUGUACAUGCUACCACUAAAAACAUCUGUUACAAUCUUGAACAGAAAUGGUGACAAGGGUAGCAUUAUCUUAAUCCCCUCUGCAUUUUAAGUUGCCUUGAUUAAUAUUAAACCUUUAUGCAUUUUGUUUAUUCUUUCUUUUUCUUUCUUACAAAUAACACACACAUAUAUACUAUUAUAUAAAUGUAUUAUAAAAUUAUUAUUAUUAUUAUUAUUGUUAUUAUUAUUAUUAAGAGAUAUAUAUAUCUAAUAUACAACACCAAUAGUAUAAAUCAUCAAUAAGAGAUUACAUCAAAUUUCAACCAAAAAAAAAAAACAAAAACCUAAUUAAGUGAGUAAUGGUUCACCAUAGGACCUUAAGAGCAAGAUUUGCUCUUCCCCGCAACCUAAGGUCUAUGUUGCUCUAUUUUUAUUUUUUAUUUUUUGAAAUAUUCGUGUUCUAUACAUAUUUGACAUACAUAAAUAUGGAGUUCCAACAUUUAAAUAUGAAAAAAAUAGAAAAAGUUGAACAUAUUCCACAUGAAACGCAUAUUCAUGUCCUUAAACUCACCCAAAAUCCAAAGCCGAGUAACAUAGCCCAAGGCAGCAAUGCCCAUGCCCCUUCUUCCCCUGAUUGAGAAAACAGGGAAUUCAAUAUUCACAAAAUCUUGACAACUAUUUCACGAAAAACAUUUCAACAGCUAUAGCAAAAUUUUUAUAAAUUAAUAAUUUUUAUUAAAUAAUAUUUUUAGUCAGUUUCAAUUUGAAAUUAACGUAAUAAAUUAAUAAUUCGUUAAAUUUAUAAGAUAAUAUAUUUUUAAAAAAACACAUAUAUCUCACUUGAUAUAUAAAUUAAUAAUCUCUUCAUAAAUCAAAAUUAUAUAUAUGCAUAACUCAAUUAGAAUAUCUUUGUAACAUAUGAUUCUAGUGUUAUUUGUUUUUUCUUGAAAUUGAUAUCUUCUUAGAACUUAUCUCUAACUUUUUUUAGUACAUUAAGAAGCUCUGAUAUAGUAUUCUCAUAUUACAAGAAAAAAUUAUAUAAUGUAAUUGUUGCUUUAAGCAUAUUCUUGUGAGAGACAAGCUCCACUACAAAACUAUAGCCUUCAACUUCAUUUUUUUUUUCAACUUUCAUGACGUUCUAAAUAAUUUACUCAUCAUGAAUAUUAAUAAUUUGUAAUUCGAUAAUUAGUUAAUAUUUGUAUAAUCACAAUAACAAUACAUGUAUUAAGUUUAAUAUUUUAAAAAAAUACCUUAAUAAAUUAAUUUUUAUUAAUUAAUAUAUAAAUUAAUAAAUUAUUAAUUUAUCGAUUAAAUAAUAUCUGAAUUAAUUAAUAAAUUUUUCUGAUCCCAAUCAUAUUAAUUUUUUUAUCAACUUCUGCAUUUUCCCAGGCCCAUCUGGUUUUAGGGAAAAUAAAAAAGGCUAAUUAGGCUUAGAAGCAAACAAAAAAUGGUCACGUAGAUUUGAUAACACAAAGAUUCACAACAGCAAGACCGUAAAAAAAAGGUGUGGAGUACAAGAAUCUAUAAGAUACCACCUUCCUCGGAUAGACCGAUCUUGUCAACGUCUCUAAAAGAUUCUCCCAUAUUGUCAAAGGUGUGGUGAAUGGUGAUUGGCUUCGCUUGGUGGUGCUGCUGUUUAACAAACAGACGCAUAAUUUUCUCGCGCAUGUGGAUACAGCGGUUUCGUUCAUCAGCUCUCCCAAAUCUAUGCAUACCCCACUCAAAAUAUAGAUUAAGGUAUGUCUCUUCCCAGUUUUCUAUAUUACAUCAGAAAGAAAAUCAAAGGCAUAAACAGUCAGUGAACAUGUUCUCUCAAGGGAUAGAAUGUGGAUAUUUAUUUUAGACGGUGAGAACAAUCGGAAGAUGGACCCAGUUUCUAAGCAGUGGGGGAGAGUACGCAGCGAUGGACCACAUAUUCAACUGGGAUUCGUUUGAAUAAAAGUACAAAGCAACAGUUACAAUUUUGUUUUCUGACUUACAUCUGAAUUAAUAAAUGACAAGUCGGUUCAGUUUUUUAGUGUUUGUCUCUCAAUAACAAGUUGUCUUUAAUUCAAAUCAAACCAGUGGGCUCUCACGUUGUAUUAGUCCUUAAUUAUAUUAUUGUUUGGAGGAUUUAAUAGCCUAUUUAACUCCAAGUUUUCAAGUGCCAAAUAGAAUGUAUUAAAAAUUUGCUUCAAAAUAAAUUAAAUAUGAAUAAAGUAUAACCAAUCUCAAAUAUAUAAAUAAAAAGACUAUUGUUAGGAUAGGAUAUGCAAACCCACUUGAGAGAUUGAUUUAACAAAUUUUGAAUUUGAACAUCUCCCAACGUCAAACUCGUGAUUUUUUUUUUUAAAGUGAAAGAUAAUCAUAGAGCAAAUAUAAGCCUAAUUCCCAUUCCCAAAAUGAACUCUAAUAAUAUAAGAUUUAAACCAAGUCUAAUAAUAUAAAGAUAAUUUUAAUUAUUCAUGAACUCAAAUUUUAAAACCAAGUCUCAAUAUGUAUAAUGAUAUAAGAUUUAAUUAUUUAUGAACUUUAAUUUUACACUUUUGAAGUUGGGAUUAUAGUAAGACCAAGUGUCAAUACGUAUAACAAUAUGAGAUUUAAUUAUUCAUCAAGUCUAACUUUGUCCUUAUUUAAUGAAAUUGAACCGCUUAAGAGUUAUCUAAAGGAUUGUUAUCUAAAAAUUUAUAUUCUAGUGACAGCAAUAGAUAAAAAUUAAUUUAAAAUAGUAUUUUAAAAUUUAAUCAAAAUGAAUGUCCAUUUUAUUAAUAAAAAAAUUUGUUAAGAUUGGUACUUAUAUAUAUAUAUAUAUGUAUUAUAGAAUAAUUAUUAUAGAAUAACUUAUUAUACACAUAUGAUGCUUUGAUAGUACAUAGUAGAUAAAUACCAUACUGGUUUUUCUUGUUAGUGCUGAAUUAAGCUAACCCCAACUAGAAGCAAAAAAUUGCCAUUAAACGAGAAAAGGGGUUCGAAUUUAUAAAUCAAAAUAAAAUAAAAAUUACAAAGAAGCAAGGACCAAUGGUGACGUAGGAAGUGGAUUAUAGGAUUGACAAAGUAACCAAUAGAUGAGAAUGACCAAUCUCUAUCACAAAGUGUCUAGUCGUUCCAACCGAAAAGACAACAUAAACGUGUUGGGGUUCCUAUCUUUUCGCUGAGUUGAUCAAUUUUGGGAAACCACCUUAUGUCCUACCAAAUAGGCUUUAACGACUCGUCAACUCGUUGGUUGUUGCGAACAUGUUUCUAGGCAUCCUAAGUGGAUAAGAUGAUGUCUCCAUAAAUUUCUAGUGUAUGAGUACUUUGAAGUUUUUACCAAAUUGGACAAAAUUAUUUCAAAUUCUCGUGAGAGAUGAAAAUUUUGGAAGAAUAACUUCUAAGUUCAAAUAUUCAUUGAUGAUAGAUUUGUAAUUCAUUGGGGAUAGAAUCAGAGGUAGAUUUAAGAUUUUAUAUAAAAAAUAAUUAUAUAAAAUUAUAAAUUUAUAUAUUUUAAAUUAUAUAUAAUAUAAAAAAGGCAUUAAUGUUUUUAAUUUUUAAUUUUUAAUUAUAAUUACAUGUAAAUUCAUUCAUUUUUAAAAUUAACCUUUCAUUCCAAAGUAUAAAUGGUGUUAAUGUUUAAAUGUGAAAUAUUUAAAAUAUUUUUUUUCCUUUUCUCUCAAACCGACUUGUGUAAGGGAGCACCUAGCGAUUGGAUCUGACUAUGGAAUGUUAGAUCUAGUUGAAUCUCCCUAAACUCCUUUAGGGAGCACUGUGCGUUCCUUGGGGAUCUAGCGUUGUCAGUCGCAAGUGACAAGUAGAAAGAUUUUUUUAAAAAAAUAAAAAAUAAAAAAAAUUAUAAUUUGUAAAAUGAUAAUUUUUAAAAUUAAUGAAAUGUUAAAUUAUUUUAAAAAUAUUACCAUAUCAUCAAACUAAUAGAAAUAUUAACAGUUAACUAAUAGUAUGACUUAUAUAUCCAAUAAAAUAUUUUAUAAGAGAAAAUAUUUAUUUUGAAAACUAAUACUUACAUAAGAUUAUAAUCAAAAGUUGAUAGAGUUAAUAUAUUUUAACCUAAUAAAAUGAUUAAAAACUAAGAGCUGACAAUGGCUACUCCCAUUACACCUUGACUCCGCCACUAAGUGAAACUCUGAAAAAUACUAUGGAAGUCAUAAUAGAGCACCAUCAUUGUUUUUUUCCAUCUGUGUGUAGUAAAAAUCUCCUUCUUUAGAUGACAAACAAUCAUCAAAACACAUAAGAAAGUUCAAUAUCGAUAUUUAAUACUAUACAUACGAUUGCUUCCAUAAUUUACUCAAAGUGUCAAAAAACUUCAAGUCACGUUACAUAUUUGUAAUUGUAUAAGAGAUUUAAAAUUAUAAAACAUUACUGUACUUGUCGCUGACAUGGGUAUAUGUUUCCAUUGCUUAAGGGCGAAGUCGUCGGAGGGCUGGAGAGUGGCCUUGCUCCCCUUGGCUCUUGAAAUGUUGGUUUAGUUUACACAUAGCAUUUCUCAAGUAAAUGGGAAAUUUUUGAAUUUGACCUCUCAAGAAUUCACAACAUGGCCUCUCUUUUACAAACUUUGUUAUUGAGAUGAUAAAUUCUAUAUUCGUUAAUGUACAUUUUAAGUUUUAAUUUUAAUUAUUGAUCUAAUUUCUUUUGACUUUUCUUAUGUAAGUAUUAUUGUAGUUGAUUUUUAACUCUUUAAAUCACCAUUUAUCUUUUCAAUUAAUUUAAAAAUAUCUUGACAAUCAUCAAGAGUAAUAAAAGAAAAUAAAAAAAGUUAUAUUUUGUAUAUAAAAUCAAUUAUGCAUACAACUUUUCUGUCCUUAGUUUUUUCUCUCCUAUUUUAUUUUUUAUAUAUCAACCUAUAUAUUUGUUUUCACAAGAUUUGCAACUUCAACUCUAUUUUUAGUAAAAAAUAUUAAUAAAUCUAUAAAUUUUAUAUAAUCAUUAAUUAAGCAAUAUUGUUUUGUUUAAAUAUAAAAAGAUAUUAAUUCUGUUUAUGCCUUAAUUAAUUGAUUUUUUAUUUGAAUUUAAUAUGAUUUGUACUAUUUUUUAAUUAUCAAUGAAAUUUUAUUAUAUGUUUACUCUUAUUUAAAUUACAAUUUAACAUACUAUUCUUAUCUUGACCCACCCAAAUAAAAAAAAUCUUGACUUAUUUAAACAAUUUUCACUAUUUCAUUGUUAAUGUUGUUAAUAAUGAAUAAGGAAGAUUGGAUGCCUUAAGGCUUAAGAAAAUAGGAUUACUUUCCAUGCUCUUUAAACAAAUAUGGGAUAAACUAAACGAAAAGGAAAAAGGGUCAUUCAACUCAAAACCCUGUGAGCUUUAAUGACAAGAAAUUAUCCUGUAAAUUGCUAUGAUGCUUGCUUUCGGUGAUAACAGUUACAGUCAAACCAACUAACACAAAAGGGUAAAAAUCUCGACGACUCAUUUGGUCUUUGACGUUUUGCUUAAACAAUCUGGAUUUUUGGUAAAGAAUAUGUGCAUUUUUCUUUAUCAGAUUUUAUUUAUCAUAAAAGACAAAGACAAAAAAGUGCACCAGAUCAUUAAACUUUUCACCAAUAAAGUCAAGAAACCUUAUCUUAUUCAAAACGCUUUCUUUGCAUGUUAUUAUUAUACCUUUUUUCUUUUUAUCAAAUAAUUUAAUUAACGCGGUUUCCCCACGGAAUAUAAGCUUUUACGUUUGAAUUUUUUUUUUAAAAUUUCCAAUAUAAACUUUUUUCUACACUUGUUUUUUUGUCUUUGCUGCGCUACUUUUCUUUGCCCAUGAUUUCAUCCUGUUUACUUAAUUAUUCUAUUGUUAACUAAACCAGAUUAAUGAUUUAAUCUAAAAGUUUUACAAGCGUUUAACAAAUAAUAUUACCUAAAAGGAUCUUCAACUAACAACCGUCCACCCAAAAAAAAUUAUAUGUAACUAUCUGCCUACACCAUAAUGAAUGGCUUUAUACUCCAAACAAUUGAAAAAUUGGUUGUUCUUGCAUCCCCCAACAUCUCCUUUGCGUUUAUUUGUUUGACAAAUCACAAGCUUUUGCAUGUUUUUACACUUGUUGAUUCAAAGGGAAAGCCUUUUAUUUUUUCCAUUUUACAAAGGGGAAGUGGGCCUAUUUAUUUUACAUUUUUUUUUAUAUUUAAAAAGAGGAUUUGAAUCUUAUUUUUAAAAGAGGAUAUGUAUUAACUAUUAAAUCAAAUGUUUUAAUAUUUAUCUAUAUCAUAUUUAUUUAUUUAUUAUUACUCGUUAAUUGGGAGAUGAAAGUUAGGUACAGUACCUUCAUUAGAUUUGAGAGAUAAGGUUUUCCACUCAUAUCUAGAUAAGUUCAAUUUAUCAGUCCUUAAUAUUGACAAAUAAUAAAAUGAUUUGCGAAUAUUUGUAUUCAUUAAAGAUUUACUUAUAGCACCCUUGCAACAUCAACAUUUCAAUUUUUUGGAAGACCAACCUCGUGAAAAAUAAAAUUAAUAAAAAAAGAGUAGAUUGUGAAAAAGGGGAAAAUUUGAAAAAAAAAGAAAUUGAAAUAUUUUUUAUGACAUAAUAACUAAAAAAGUUUUGAAAGUAUUUUAAAAAAUUUAAAUAAGACCUUAUAUUUUUAUUACUUUUAAUCAAGCUCUUACAUUUUUAUUUUGAGUCAAAUAUGUUUUUAUGAUUAUUGAUUGAUUUAGUUAAAAUGCCAUUUGUUAUUUUAUAAUUUGUGGUGCUGUAUGACAUACUAAUAUAUCAUAAAUGCUGAUAAUGUGACAUGCUAACGUAUCAUAAUUUGUAACAAUGCGACAUGUUAAUUUGGUAUAAUAACAUGAUAAUAUGAUAUUUUUCACUUUUUACAUGAACUCUAUAUUAAUAUUAUGUGGAUAUAAAAUGAUAAGUUAUUUUGAUUAAUGACAACUAAUAAAAACUUGUUUAACUCAAAAUAAAAAUAUAAGAACUAGAUUAAACACAAUAAAAAAAUUAAAAAUUUAUUUAAUUUUUUUGGAUAAUUUAGAAACUUAUUUGACUAUUAUGCUUUUUUUCUUUAUCAUACAAGAAAGAGUAUUGAAAUUCAAACACAUAGAUCUCAACUUCUAAAGGAUUAAUUUUGGUUUGGAGAAGAUUAUUAAUUAUUUCAAAUUUAAUGUAGGUUACUUCCAAGUUUUUUACUAUUAAAAGAUACGUUAGGUUUACAGAAAUUGAAUGGAUUAUUUUAGUUUAGGUCAUUUUCGACUUAUUUAUUGUGCAAUAGAACAACAAUUAGAUUUUAAGCCCAAAAUUAAACAAGAUCAUUUUGGAGUUAAAUUAAUUUAGAAUUGAAUCCUUAUCUUACUGGUAAAUUCUAAAUCUCAUUGACUUGGGGUUUCCAUAUGAAUUGAAUCACAUUUCAACACAUUCAAGUAAAGUAUGUAGGUGACCUUGCAUACUAUCCCACGCAACCAAAAAACUAGAGUUUCCCCUAGUUUGGGUAACAUACUUACAAGAUGCCACUAUAACAGAUCCAAGGGAGAUGGAAGUUGGGACUCAAGUACCCCCGAAUAAGAAAUAAACAGAAUUAUGGGACUCUAAUAAAAAAAAAGGAUUAAGAUUUUCUUCUAUGCCAAAGAAAGAAAAUGCUGGAAAUGCUAAUUUGGUAUUUUAAUUGCUUGGAAAAGCAAAUCGUUUUCUUGAUGGGGCAAAGAAAAAGAUUUGAUAAUGGAUUAUGGGCAAAGAAUAAUUAAAAAAAAAGAGAACAAAAAGAAUUUAGAGAAAGAGCCCACCCAGGUCCAUCUUCUAUUCCUAUAUGUCACCAUCUUCCGUUUUUUGUAGAUCAUCCCAAAAAAUGCAAAUUCUUUUGGAUUUGACUGAAAUUCUGCAUGAAACCAUCCACGUGCCGUCACCCCUUGUCACUCUUCUUUCAUCUCUUUCUUUAAUGCCGCAUAACUUAAGAAAACCUUAAUAUAAAGAUAAAAACACCCAAAAAUAGUCGCUGCCGUUUUCAAUCCCCUUCAGUUUUCUCGAGAAAAUUAAAACCCCACCACCACCCAGAGAAGAAGAAGAAGAAGAAGAAGAAAAAAAGCAAAUCCCAUGAUGAAUUUUAUUUUCAAAACAAAAUAAAAACCAAAAGACCUGAUUCCCAGAGAGAGAGAGGGAGAGAGAGGGGGGGGAGGUAGGAAGCAGAGAGACAAAAAGAGAGUUUGAAAGAAAGAAAAGAUUCAUCGAAAGCGCAAACAAAGCCCUGAAUCAAAGGCGGCCCAGAACCAGCUCCAGCAGCAGCACGGACCCAGUGUCUCUGUCUCUUUUACUUCCAUCUUAAGUCUCUCUCUCUCUCUCUCUCUUCCCGCUUAAAUCUGGCACUCAUUAAUCUGUCUAUAUUUUUUUGUGAGUUUUUUUUUUUAGCUCCGUUCGUUGUUUUAGAAAAGACCCUUUUAUGUAAAAGAAGGUUUAUUGCUGUUUCUUACAGUUAGUAUGUGAAAAUUCUUGUAUGUUUUAAAGAUAGAAACAAAACCCAGAAACCAAAACCCUAGCUUUAUCCCUGCUACACUUGAUUUACACUACAUUUAAGCUGAAAUCCCGUUUCAGCUGAACCCUUUAUUGUAGAUUAUGGCAUUUGAUCAAAACUCAGUACCAAAAGAUCUGAGACCAUUGAAUGUAGCUGGAUUAGCUGAAGAGCCCCGCGUUGGGGCUGCGGUGGCAGCUACUACAAAUGCCAGCUGUAGAAAUGUUGAAGGAUUUUUUCCCAACCCGGCUCGGGAGUCUGGGAGUCCUGGUUCCAUGCCUGUUUUUUAUCCGGCAACAGUGCCUGAUGCCGGUUUUGUAGGCUUAGGGUAUGCGAAUGCAGUGCCCUUGGCUCCAGGUGUCCCCGCAUGGAGGCCUCAGGUGCCUCUGCCGAUGCCUGUUCCUGUACCUGUGCCAGUGGGGCAUCCGAGUAUGAAUCCGGUUGUUGGGUUUGGUUAUAAUCCCAAUUUCAGCAAUAGGGUGGUUGCUAAUGCUGUGGAUGAGGUUAGUAACGAUGUGGUAGCUGGGCAUAAUUUUAGUCCUAGUUUGGGCAAUAGGGGUAGUGGGAAUGGGAGUGAUCAGGUCAGUAAUGAUGCGCUGCCAACAGGUUUUGGACAUAGUUCCGAUAUGGGAAACAGGGGUAGUGGCAAUGGGAGUGAUCAGUUGAGUAAUGAGUUAAUGAGUGGGCUUGGUUAUGAACCAAAUUUGGGACUUAGGAGUAAUGGCAGUGGGGCUGAUCAGGUGAGUGAUGAGGGCGGGGAUGAUUCGGUGUCAGGGAAAAAAGUUAAGUUUUUGUGUAGUUUUGGUGGGAAGAUAUUGCCUAGACCUAGUGAUGGCAUGUUGAGAUAUGUCGGGGGUCAGACAAGGAUUAUUAGUCUUAGGAGAGAUGUGAGCUUUAAUGACUUUGUGCAAAAAAUGGUGGAUGCUUAUGGGCAACCUGUGGUUAUUAAGUACCAGCUUCCUGAUGAGGAUCUUGAUGCAUUGGUGUCCAUUUCAUGCUCAGAUGAUCUUGAUAAUAUGAUGGAUGAGUAUGAGAAAGUGGUUGAAAGGUCUUCAGAUGGUUCGGCUAAAUUAAGGGUAUUUUUGUUUUCGGCUUCUGAACUUGAUGCUUCUGGUAUGGUUCAAUUUGGGGAUUUACAUGACAAUGCGCAGAAAUAUGUUGAGGCAGUUAAUGGAAUUAUGGAUGGAGCUGCUGGUGGCAUCACACGGAAGGAGAGCAUAGCAAGUGUGGCUUCAACGCAGAAUUCUGAUUUUAGUGGGACUGAGGCGGUUGAUAGCAUCGGUGCUGGUCAAGGGGAUGUUAGUGGUCUUCCAUCGGCAAACAUGUUGUCAUCUAGUGGGAAUUCUGCUACUUCUCAUGACACUGCUCCAAAAAUGAUGGCUGUGGAUCCUAAUCCUGCUGGUCAUUUAGGAAUUCCAGUGGUCAAGUCUGGUCCUCCUCAGACAUUGACUUCUCAACCUGAGGUUGAGUUAGAGAGGACGGUGCCCCUUUCCUCGACACAGCAGCAAUUGGGAUAUGAUCUGCAGCAACACUAUGCAUCUACAUAUGUUGAUCCUCGCCAUGAUGGUAUGAAUCGUACUGAUUAUGUGCGUCUUGGGCCUCAAAUGGGAUUCUCAAGUCCUAAGUUGGUGGGAAAUACUGGUUCUGUAUUCAGCCAACAGCAGUUUUCUGAUAAUGCUCCUGGGAUUACCCCUCAUCAGUUCAUUCCUGCUUUGCACAUGACAAUGACUCCCCCCACUUCCCAUGUCAGUAUUCGACCAGCUGUGGUUCAGCCACUGUUGCAACCCCAGCAAACUCCCUUGGAGCGCUAUCAUGAUGAAAACUCAUUUGGAGCAAGGGUAGUUCAGCUUCCAGCUGAUCGGAGCCACAAUGUUUAUCAGGCCCAGAUUCCAGCAAUAGUUGCAGGAGGUUAUGCCUGGCAUCAUAUUCCACAAACUGAGCAUGUUGUCUUCUCAGAUGGAUCAUUUCCUCGGCACCAAGUAACUAUUCCUGAGAAGAUUCCAAGGCUAGAGGACUGCCAUAUGUGUCAAAAGGCAUUGCCUCAUACACAUUCUGAUCCACUGCUACAGGACCAAAGAGAUAGUGGUGUAACACCUAUAGUAAAUACAAAUCCAAGUUAUCAUAGUCUCCGUCCUGAAGAUGCUAUGAGAAUUUCAUCAGUAAACAGAGUUGUGGUGCCUGGACCAUUCGGGGAUGGCAUUGUUGAACAAGGAGCUGGGAUUCGACAGCCUGGUCAACUUGAUCAUCAAUUUGGGGUACUUAAGUCAGAGGCAGUUGGAUUCUCUCAAGGUCUUGAGGCACAAUAUGAACAUGACAGAAAUAUUUCCCCAAAAACAGAUAAUUCUGAUCAUCCUAGGAUUCCAGCAAGCCAGGGUGUGAUGGGUUUGGCAGGUGAGUUGCAAUUACAAUAUGGUUUGCCGACUCAAUACCAGUUUAAACAGGAGGUUCCACAUGUUGGGGCAAUGGGCAUUCAAGUUGCAGAACAGCCAGCGCAUGAAGUCUCUAGACAAUAUAAUGGCAAGCUUCCUGCUGUCCCCAAAGAAGAUAUUAUAGACCCUAACCAUCUGAUGCCAAUUGAUGGGAUGAUGGAGACUCUUCGGGUAAGCAAUGAGCAGAGUAAAUCUCCUGUUGAUAAAACUAGAAAAGGAGAUAUCUUGGAAGAUAGAUCGCCGCAAACAGCAGGGAGAGAGGUGCUUUUGGAUAGUAUCUUUAGCAAACCAUUAGAUUCCAAUGAGAUGGUCAUUUUGGGAAAUGUGGUAGCACAUGCACAGCCAAAAGUUGGAGCCCCAAACUUGGAUUCUGUUGAAGUUCGAUAUGGGAACCCUCCAUUUUCUGGUGUUGAGACAGCACAUAAAUUGGACAAUGUUUCAUGGUUGGAGCAGAAGAUUGUACAAGAUGACACUGAAUCUGUCCCUUUGAAUGGUAACAGUCAAACUUCCUUGUCACCAUCCAACAGAGGUGGAGAUGCUUUGGAUUCCUCCAACUCACUUUUUAGCAAUCAAGAUCCUUGGAAUUUGCGGCAAGAUACUCAUUUUCCUCCUCCUAGACCUAACAAAAUUCAGUCAAAGAGAGAAGGAACUGCUACUAGAGACCCUUUUGGUGAGAACCAGGUAGCAAUUAGCGGGGAAUCUAAUACCCAAUUGGAAGAUGAAGUUUACCAAUCGUUAGGCCAGUUGAACAAGGAUUUUAGUUCAGACCACACACAGUCCACAAAAGGUGAGCUAUUUGGUUAUAGUGAUACUAUAAUAUGUUGUCAUGUAUCAUUUUAUGCCUGUGGAGUAAAUAUUUAUUGUUGUUGCCUUCACUGCCAAAGGCUCAGCCGAGGAACUCAUCAAGAAAGAACUACAAGCUGUUGCUGAGGGAGUAGCUGCUUCUGUUUUUCAGUCAUCUACCCCAUCCAAUCCUGACAUACCAGCAGAGGUCAAUGUGGCUGGUUAUGAAGCCAAUCAAGACACAGAUGUUUCAACUAGCAAUAUCGAAAUGCAGCAUAAAGCUAAACUUGAGGUGUGCAAUCUAAGAUCUCUUCAUUCUCUAUUUGUAUGCUCGGUCCUGUCCCCCUUUCACCCUUGCCUUUUUUUAUUGUGGCUGCAUUCUGCAGAUGCAUUAUUGAGCUGUCUUUCAUGCUAUUUUUAUUAACUCAGGAAAUCAAGACCAAACAGCCAGACAGAACUAAUUUUGGUUUUCGAGUUUCAGAUGGCAUUGCUGGUCGCUUGCAGGUUGAAGCAUUGUUUUUACGUGAUAUUUGUGAUUUUACUAUUAACCUCUAUUGCCCAUUAAUUUAGCUAUAUGUUCGUUUGGCAGAUUAUAAAAAACAGUGACCUUGAAGAGCUGCGAGAGCUGGGUUCAGGCACCUUUGGUACUGUUUAUCAUGGGAAGUGGCGGGGUACUGAUGUUGCAAUUAAACGAAUUAAUGAUAGAUGUUUUGCCGGAAAACCUUCUGAACAAGAACGCAUGGUUUCACACUUUCUUUUCUCUUUGCAAGCUCCUAUUUUCUCCAUAUUAACUUCACUUGCUCACAACUUGUACUGUGGUAAAUGCAUAUGAUCAGAUAGAUGAUUUCUGGAAUGAGGCAAUUAAGCUUGCUGACUUGCAUCAUCCAAAUGUGGUGGCUUUCUAUGGUGUUGUGCUUGAUGGUCCUGGCGGCUCUGUGGCAACAGUGACAGAGUACAUGGUUAAUGGUUCUUUAAGAAAUGCUUUACAGAAGAAUGAGAGGUACUACACAAUUCUAGUUUUGCUAUGCCAUAUAGCCAUUUCCCUAUAAUUGUGUGUAAAUUGUAGGUUUAUCUGAUAAUAAAUAAUUAUUGGAUGACUUGCUGUUGCCAGGAAUCUUGAUAAGCGUAAGCGUCUCUUGAUUGCCAUGGAUGUGGCCUUUGGGAUGGAGUACUUGCAUGGAAAGAAUAUAGUGCACUUUGAUUUGAAGAGUGACAAUUUACUUGUCAAUCUUAGAGAUCCUCAUCGCCCAAUAUGCAAGGUUAGUGCUUGGGCCUGUGUUUUGUUUGCAAUCUCAUUCUAGUGCAAGUUCUAUGGUGGGAAAGCUUUUGAUUAUUUAUCCCAAACAUCUUUGAUCCAAUUGGCAUUUCUUUAGAUUCACUCUGGAUAUUAAUUGGACAUAUAUGUAAAUUUGGUUCCCUGUUGGAGUACGUUAAAUUGGCAUAUUAACAAAGUAUCUUGUCUUGAAUUCUCAUCUUAAGGAGAUUAAUUUCAUAACUGAGUUGACUGAUAUAUGAGAUGUUUAUUUAUCCAAACAAAGAAAAAAGAUAUAUAAGAUAUUCAGGUAUUCUUGGCUGAGGAUUUGGGGAUGGGAUUGGGGUUUGAGGCUUUUAUUGUGGAUUUUCAUAAAUUAUUGUUUGGUGCAAAACAGCAGUCAUUAAUAACAGAAGAACAGAGCAAGCUCUUGUAUUAAUAUUUAUUAACUUGGAAUGAAUAUUUCUGAGCUCUUUAUGAGUAAUCUAUAAUUAGUAGUAGCCUUUUAAUUUCAACCUGCUCUAAAUCUUAACUAAAAGCAUUAGCUGGAUGGACAAGCCUUAAUUGUUCAUUGUAGUAGCAUGCUAAUUGCAUUCCAUGUGCCUUUGGUCAUAUAUAUACUUUUUGGUAUGGGAUUAAUUCUAACAGAAAAAUCUACUUGCUUCAAAAACAAUCUCAUCUAAGUUUUAUACAUUGAUUGGGAUUCAUUAAUAAUUCAGCAUGAACUUUCCGUUGUGGCCAUUUUAUUAGUCCUUGUUUUCCCUUUUUCCCCAGUCCUUUCAUAGUUAUCAACUUCUCUUAAAAAGUAAGCUUCCUUUUCUUUUCUUUUUCAUUUUUUUUUCUUUCUGGUUGGGGAAACACAAGUUGUCUAUUAAUUAGAAAUAAUCUUGCUAGAUAUUUUGGGUCUUUGUUGUCAAUGUCAAUCUACCUUUUUCCACAAAUUAUGCGGCUUCUUUAUCCUAUGCUUUUUCUGCAACUUUCACCCAUGAAUACCUGUUAUAAUUCAAAUAAUCUGGAAUUAUUCUCUCAUGUUUCUGUUUGAUGCAUGUAAAAAUGGCUAUAACCAAGUGGCUGUUAGCUAUCCUCUUCAAUCUGAACUACUUAAAGAAAUCAUUUCCUUGUGGUUUGAUUUUUUGCAGUCACAAAUUACUACUAGCUUUUUUGUUGUUUGUUUGCUUUUGAUUUGCUGCUCUUGAGGAUGAGGAAUUAAAUUUUAAAAUCCAUAUUCCUUUUCAGUUUAAUCAUGCAAUGCAUGCUUACUCUUUUAUAUACUUUAAAUUAUUAAUAAAAUAUGAUUGGUGCAUAAUGAUUGAGUUGAACAGUUGUGAAGUUGACUCUUGUCAAUUUCUAUAUAUCAGUCCAUCAUAUUUGAAACACUCCUUUGUAUUUUCUUCUCAUUUUUUGCAAAAUGAGAAGGAUAAAGGGGAAAUAUAAAUUGAUUUGGUAAUGAAGCACUGAAGAUAAAAGUUGUUCUGCUCACUUUUAAAAGGUUAAUUAGAUGUCAUCUGCAAAACUUAGAACAACUUGCUCUUAUCCAACUUUCUUGUUGAGCUAUAAAUACAAAUAACUGAUUUAUUUGGACUUACAUUGACUCGGAUGUUUCAAAUGAUUUUGAUUGAAAUGUGCAGAGUGCUUAUAUGCAAUCUAUUUAAUCUUGAGUUGAGGACCUCAAUUUUCUCAACAUAAAAUUAUGAAUUCUGGUAUAUUAGUAGUCCUUUAAUCAACUGUUGAUAGGAGGAGGGAGCUUAAUCUGAUGCCAACUAAUUGGUGAUUGCAUGGUACUAUACCCUCUAAGAUAUUGCUGUUAUAGAUUGUUUCUCUUAAAUUCAGACUGAAGGUUAUGUUGCUUUUAUAGAUUGGUUUUAAUGAUUCUUUCAAUUUCAUUCUGAACUGUUUCAGCAGAUUCAGUUUCUCAUGCCUAGUUUUUGGUACCAGGUUGGUGAUUUGGGCCUAUCUAAGGUGAAAUGUCAAACUCUGAUCUCAGGUGGCGUACGUGGAACACUUCCAUGGAUGGCACCAGAACUUCUGAAUGGCAGCAGCAGUCUUGUCUCAGAGAAGGUCUGAUUUUUAGCACAUUUCUGGUGCCCUCUAAUCUCUUAUCAUUUUAUUUUCUUACUUCACUUAUGUCCUACAUAAUCAUGUAAACUUUUUUUGUCUACGUAUAGUUAAUCAUGAGAUUUUUGUUUUGAUAUUUUCUCUAAUUUAGGUUGAUGUGUUCUCAUUUGGUAUUGUGAUGUGGGAGCUUCUCACUGGAGAAGAACCAUACGCAGACUUACACUAUGGGGCUAUUAUAGGUAAUUGCAUUAUAUGUACACUUAUUCAUGGACUCUGUUCUUUCCACUUUGAUAAAUCAUAGUGAUCAUUUGCCUGGAAUUGCUUUCAGGUGGUAUUGUGAGUAAUACACUACGGCCUCCGGUUCCAGAAUCAUGUGACCAGGAAUGGAGAUCAUUGAUGGAGAGAUGCUGGUCAUCAGAGCCAUCAGAGAGACCAAGCUUCAUUGAGAUUGCCAAUGAGUUACGCUCAAUGGCUGCAAAAGUUCCACCUAGAGGACAAAACCCACCAUAAAUGUGCUUGGCUUAAAUCAUCUUCUGUUUCUGGCAGUUGGAGGAAUAGGAUGUAAAUGUGCUUGGCUUGAAUGUAAUACAGGGAACUAAGUUACAAAACCACCCCCCCCCCCCCCCCCCCCCCUAUUNCCCCUAUUUUUGUAGAAAUUAUACUGGCUUGAUUGUGUUAGCUCUUACAAUUCCAUUAUAAGUGAAAAGUGUCCUGAUAUGCAAUUUAUUGGUUAAUUAUGGUGAAAUCGUGCAUAUCCUGUCAAUCUAACAGGGUUGAAUUGUUUCGUAUAUCCAGUUUCAUAGACCUAAAUUUUCUGUUCUCAAGCUUAUAGAUGUGCAACAUGCGGGGAGGGGGAUGGUUUUGCACUAAAACCAAUGAUCUAUGGCAUUGGCCACCUAGUUAGCAGAACAGCAUUUAGUCUAUGACUUGAAACCAGAAUGCUUGCGCCAAUGAUCUGAAGGACAAUCAGCUAGGGACCCUGGCAAGCCGGUUGCUAAUUUAUUAACUUAUAAAUUUAUAAUGUAAUUGAUUUAAAUGGGUUGGAUGUGUUGAAUUAUGUAAGUGAUUGUUAAGCUAAAGACGAUUAAUUCAGCAUGCUAAAAUGGAUCACAAGUAGCUCAGGUUUGGCAGGAUUACCUAACAAUUUUGGAUUAUAAUUAAGCUAAACACUUAAUAGUCAAAACUCAAUUAAUUAAAUUAGCACACUUAUUCAAAAUUCGAAUGCAAUGAAUUUAGUGCUGAUAUUUUUGACCCCAGCAUUAGCAUGAGCAUUUCUUCAGUGACACCUGAUGCCAUUUUCCUCUUUCCAGCCGCGUUAUUUCCAUUGCCGCGUUGCAAUGGGCCGCCAAACGGAGUGGGUCAAAUUCAAGUCCCUAGCUUAUCAUUUUCCGUGUUCCCUACUAAUCACAAACUGUUACGCACCCUAGUGAAUGACCAAUAAAAUUGACCCCUCUAAGCAUUAGAUAGCCAAGAUUCUUCUUCUUCAUACAGGUGGCAUUUUUAUAUUGGGCCUUGAUGAUAAUCUAUCCUACUCAAGGCAUUGCUUACAAGACUCCUUAUUUCCACCUCCCAUGAUAUUUCCUUGCUUGUUUCUCUUCAACUUCCUUGCAUGGCUUCUCUAAUCAAAUUCUUUUGAACUUCCCCUAAACCUCUUAGAACUUCUCCAUAUAAAAGCCUCCUUUCGUCACAAUCCAAAACCAUUAGCCUUAUUUUUCUAUCUUUAAUUUAUAUUUUUCCUUCCCAUGACAAAUUCCGAAGAGAAACCAAUCUUCAUGCACAAGCAUUCACCAUUACAAGGAGAGGAUGUUGAUGACCAUGAAGAGGAAGUUUGGGAUAAAGGAUGUGAUUGGUUUAGUCUCUUCUGCCUCAAAUGGCGGCGAAACGACAUCGAGGAAACUGAUUCCUUAGUGCACCAGAGAGGAGAGCCCACACAGACAUGGUGGAAAAGCAAACUGAAGAAAGUGAAAGAAGUCUCGGAAAAACUUGCAGGGCCAAAGUGGAAGAAUUUUAUAAGGAAGAUGAGUGGAUAUUGCAAUAAGCGUAGGACUCGAAAGAACAGGUUUCAGUAUGAUUCUUAUAGCUAUGCUCUCAACUUUGACGAUGGUGCGGAUAAAGAAGGAGAUGAUUUGCUUCAGGAUUUCUCCGACAGGUUUGUUGCUCCAUUUUCGGACGAGAGACAGCGGGCUGGGUCAGGAAUGUAAUCACACUGGUUUAAUGAUUGGUAUCUCUUUCUCAGCAUAUGCAAAUUAAUGAUACUGAUCAAAAUGUUUGCAUAUAUAUGAUUUCCUUUAUACCCUCUUAAUUGGAAUCCAUGUGAAGUAUAGUUAUAUUCUUUGGCUUAUUUUGAUUCUUGCAAACCUGGAACAUAGUUAACGUAAAUUGAACUGCAAGGUAUGGGCGUUAUGUCAAUUAAUUUGUAUGUAGGGCCUCUGAAAUGGAGUUUGAAUAGAAUCUGUUUGUAUUUGCACCUUAAGCUAUGCCUGCCUUUCAUUUAUGGCAAACCUGUUUUCAGGUAUGAACAACUCCCAACCAAUUCAGAUCAAGAUUUCAAUACAAGAUGUAAUUAGCGAGCUAGCAUAGGGGACAAAUUGUUAAACUCGAUAUUCUAGUAUUGGUACAAGGCAUAUUCAUACACCUUAGUUACUUUGCCUGGUGGACAUGGAGCGAUACCUUGAAUGCUUUACAUAAAGAAAUGCAUAUUAUACUGCAUGACAGUUUGGAAAAUUGUUGUUAGAGAAACCAUAUAGGCGAAACUGAAAAAGCAGACACUCAUGCCUUGUCCUUUUGCAACCAGGCAACAACAAACAACAUUUUGAACCAUGAUAUUUCUUAUGUUGUCUAUUUCCUGGUUUUACUCAGCGCUGCUUUGACAAUAGUUCUGCAGAUUAAGCAGAAACAGGGAUACUUUCCUUUCGCUUCAGCAACCCAAAGCUUUGAAAAUUUUUUUAUUAAGAUAUAGAGGUUUAAGUCAAGUCACUUAUGUGGACAUGAAUAUAAACUAUUUGUUUAUGUAUAUGCACGAGUAAUUUAUGCUUAAAGGCAGGGGAGAAAUUAUAGAAGACAUUAAGGACCAAAGAAUCCUGCAGCUAAUUUAACCCCAUGAAGUAAAUUGUGUUGCUCACAGCAAAUUGUCUCUCCCACAUCUCAAAAUACUCUGAGUAAUAGACUUUUAUGUUGCAGCCGGAGACUUAAGGAAGAAGUUUUGAAGCAUUAAUUACGCUUUGUUUUUGUGGUUAGGUAUGAUUGUAUUGGUUUUGUAUUAUCGUUGUAUUUGUUUCUUUGUGCUUUCUGCCUACCUUCUCAUGCAGCUUGUUUUGUUUUGUAUCACUAACAGGAUUUCUUCCUGACUUUAAGAUGAAUGAGAUUUCAUUUAGCCAAAAUACAUAUAUGCUAAGUUGCGGUCACAAGUCCCGUUAUUUGAUACCUAGCCCUUGCUAGUUUAUUAUUGUUCCCUUAAACAAAAUUUUAAUUGAUCCUGUAUAUCCUUUCUGGAUUGUACAAUGACAUUUAUCAAAUGGAAAACCGCUGAUACAGCACAUACAAAAAAGAACCAUGGAACCAUUCCACGAAUAGAUGAUAUGGAAGCUACACCAGAAAUCUAGGUGGUGUUAUUAAAUAGUUUGACCAAUCGAAAAUGAAAUACCUCAAACCCCAUGUCUCUGUCUACAUAUUAUUGCAAGCAUUAACCUUCAAUCAAUUCACAGGUAAAACAUUACAUAUAGUAUGAACAAGUUGAUAAUUACAUUAUAAACCCAUGACUUAAAGCCAUUCUUGUCCACAGAUAUAAAAGCAUGAGCUGAAAAUUUACAGCUACCUAUGAUACAUUAAUUCUAUGUAGAGGACUUUUCUUACAGUCUUGUAGGCUCUAAAUUUCAAGAAUCUAAAACAACAUAGUUACACAGAUAUCAUUACCUAUCGGCGGAUUACCUAUUGACUAAAACUGAUUGGUGCUGAUGCCAACCCAUUUGUAAAGCUGAACCACAAAACUUGUUAUUGAUGAUAGCUAACCACGUUAACAAAAUAAAGCACUCAACGGAAGUUGUCUUGUACCCAGACUUUCCAUUGCAAUGGCCUAUAAUGCAUGCUCGAAGCUGAAUUUCCACCAGUAUAGGCAGAAAGCGAAACAAGUAGUUUUCUAUAGCUUUUAAUUUACAUUAAGUGUUCAUUGCUGGUUUUACCUGCAUUACUUCUUUUUCCAAAUUAAAUUUGGCGAAUGAUUCUUGAGAAAAGCUCAUUUUGAUUGAGAAACACAUUCAUAAGCAGCCUACCUCUUACGUUUGCUUUUCAGAGAAGUAGAUGGGUUACUCUGCCAAUUCCUUUUUCUCUGGUUUAUAAACCAAUUGUUAAUCUGCUUUAACUGCAAUCCGGUUUCCUGCACUAAUCUUGCUUUGUCUUCCUCCUGCAACAACAUUUUGUCAGAAAACUGUUGAAAAGUACGUAUCAUAAGGUCAACAGAGCUACCCAGGAAAUAUAUCACACUCACUGUUGGGUAAGGCCAUUUAGAAUGUGACUGCCACCAAGCUUUUAAGAGGGAGGUGGUGUCACCUGGUAGCUUUCCAGCCCUUCUCUUACGCAGAAUUUCCUCUCUAACGACCACAAUUUUCUCCUUGUAACCCUAAAAUGCAGAAAGCACAUUUAGGUGCAGAGUAUAUGUCAAGUCUUUCCACUAUUAAGUUUAAGAAAGCAUACCUGCUUCAGCUCAUGCUUCAGUUCUUGCCUAACACGCUCCAUCAAGGACCUCUCAGUUUCAGAUGGAAUGAGAGGACCAAAUCCCAUGCUGUCAAUCCCAUCCAAACUUCCAUCAAACAAGCUUGUAUCACUAUCUACCACUUCAUCUUCAUCAUCAGACAUGGUUGCACCAGUGCCUUCACCUGGAGAUACACCUGUUCAAUACUUCAUGGCUUAGAUCUAAGUUUAGCCAGUUUAAUCCAUGGUUAAUGCAGUAAUACUAAAAGAAUAAAAUAAACAGGGAAGGAUAAGUUCAUUAUUAUGAAUUAUAGCUGGUGGGAAAGCUAGAUGUAGAAUUCAAAUACUGAAACCAACUUCUAAGGCUUAUGUAUAGACCCUUUUUCAGUUCUAGGUGAAUUAAAGGGACAAUAUCAUAGUGAUUAGCAUUGUUCUUCAUUGGCCAUAGCUGUCAGUUUGGCUUUUACAGGGAGGUGUGUGUGAUAGAGAGAGAGAGAGAGAGAGAGAGAGAGAAAGGUGGCUUAACUAUCUACAACUUAUAGCUCAGAGAAGUCUCAACACAAGGUUCACUAGAAGGGAGCUAACAAAUAUAAUGGUGUAUAAAAAACCGGUUCAACCCUGGAUCAACGAGAAUGGUUGGCGGUAAAAGAUAGUCUGGAAGAAAAACAAAAAGAAAAGGAAAUGAUAAAAAUUUCUAACGAAAAUAAAAAUUAAAACUUAGCUAGGAACUAAGACCUCUUAAUGCAUAUGCUUAAUCUAAACCUCCAAAACAUUUCCUGAUAGAGGAAAGACAUAACAAGGAAGAUUUAAGUAGAAUGGAUGUGACAUGAAGCCUGGAAUAUGGAUGCUACUAUCAGAGCACUGACACUUGAAUAGUUGGAGCAUCAUUUAGAAACCAGAAAAAGGAAAAUACAUAACUAAUUAAAAGAUGCAAUCAUUACGGAUAACAUAGCUCCAAUGCAUUAGAAUGAUGCACUUGCAUGCUACUACUACUUUCUGCUAUCUGUUCCAAAAGCUGUUCACCUUAAGGUGAACUAUUUACCUGUUAAACUUUGAAGUGAUUGCUCAAGAUCCCAACAAGCCAUAACUGCUUCCAUUGCAUGAACACGGACAUGUUGUUGCAAUUGGUCUUUAAAGAAACCAAGCAAUAGAACAUAAUUUGUCUACAUUAAAGGGAGAAAAGAGAGAAUAUUCAAAAGAUGCCAAUGAUCACAUAUAACAUGUCUAUAUUAGAAAGCUGAGAAGGAAAAAAAAAGGCAAAAGGGAAAUAAACCAUCUCAUACCUAUUAAAUAUUCAAUAAAAUCAUUGAAUAUUUACAGCAGCUUACAAAAAAUUUUAGGGGAUUGAUCUGGUGAGGCAACUAUGUGAAACAGAGGGGACAGGGAAAUUCUGAUCUAUUCCUUAUUCCACAAAAUAUACAAUAAAGGCAGAUCAAAACUUAAAAGACAUCACUUCAAAUGAUUUUUAACAAUAAUGGACAAUAAUCUAUCGUGAGUCCCAUAAUUGCAUAAUCCUACGCCUCAUCAUAAAAGUAAAGAUUAUUGUGAAAAAUUUCUUGCAUUGUCAAAUUCAAGAAACCACUUCCUUAAAUAUAGACAGGUCAUGUUUAGCUUGUCUUAAAAAUAAUGCCAGCUCUUUCAAGACCUGUAAUGCUGGCUUGUACGAAUGCUUUCUAUGGCCAGGUUGACCAAAGAAACCACUAUACUUUAGAAGACUGUCCAACACCAUAAAGACUGAUAAAGGUGCAAUCCAAGCAACAAAAAUAGUUCUAAAAAAGUAACAGAUUUCUAAUACUAUCAGAUGCCUGAUUGAAACACAAUUUUUUUUUCCAUAACUGAGUUAACUUUUUUAGCUUGGUCUCCGAAAUACUUAAUGGCAUCAUAGAGAAUAUAUCUGCUAUUAUCAAGAAAGACCAAAUGAGGAAUAUAGACGCUUGGAUAGAAAAAUUAGUUGCAGUAUCAUCCAGAGUUGAAACCAAGAUCAUGCUUCCAGCUAUCUCCAACAGCAAUUUCUUAUUCCAAAUAAUAUGUAAAAAACAAAAAAAGAAUAGCUCAAACCAUUGGAAAUUUAAGAAUUCAAUUAAGUUUUCUUUACACAGUUAAAGGGGAAAAACAUUGAACAACUAAAUUGCCAGUUGGUACUUGCAUGUUUAUACCAUCAAACUGAUACUAAUUCACUCAGAAGGCCCGAGCACUGAUGCUCAUCCAGAAUCGGAAACAAUAUGGAAACAGAAACCUAACAAUCCCCCCCUCCCCCCCACCCAAAAAAAAAAUGGCAGAAACUGAAAGUUGGUCCUUCACGCAAGAACAAAUUCCGUAAGCAAGGAGAGACAUAUUACAACAAUCAAGAAACAAAAGAUUCUUGAGAGCACUCCAAAAGUUCCAUUAUUAGGGUACUGAAAAGCAUCAUCCAUCCAAUGAAGCCACAAAAGCACAUUCUGGUUCACAUCACAAGGCACACCUUCAAGUACUAUCCUCCACUAAGAAACUCCAGCAUACCAUCUUUUUAGUUGACACAUAAAAUACUACCAACAUAAAACAUCCCAAAACCCAUCUAUCUCCCCUCAUUUCUUUAACUAAAUUACAUAAUAAGAAACCAAAAAAGUAAAAGGGUUAGAUUAAAAACUUCAGCUUUAUUAAGGAGCAGCAUCUCCAUAGCUAAAAAAAGAAAAAGCAUGAAAACAAAAAAUCUCUAGCUUGAAGAGAAAUCCUUUCCUAAAAUAGUCACAUACUGUUGUAAAAUAAAAACCCAUAAGUCCAGCUACUCAUUAAAAGCAAAUAAUUAACAAAAAAAUUUGUAUACUACAAAUAGAAAAUAAAAAAAAAAAACUCAGUAUAACCAAUGGAUCAUAACUAAAAAAAGAAAAAAGAAAAAAAGACCUAAAACCAACCGGUCAACGGUGACCCAAAUAAGAAAGAUAACAAGAACUAAGCCAAAAAAAGAAAAGCAAAGAGCCCAAAUCAAGAAACAAGAAGAGAAAAGGGUUUACCAUGAAGUGAUCGAGUUCAUCGUCAGAAGCAGUAGCAGCGGUAGCUGAGUACUUAGCCAAGACUUCCUGGGACCUAGCCAACUGAGCGUCGAUCUUAGCGAGCUGGUCAACAGGCGUAGCAACACGCAGACAAGCGACGUGUGCUUCCAACAGCUGGUCGUACAUGGGAUGUCCCAUUAUCUCGGCCUUGUGUUUGGCUCUUUCCCAGUGGUCGACGUCGGCAGCAGCUGAGGCAGAAGCCGAUGCAGCGGUUCCGUUUAGAGCAAGGGUUUGCAUGUUUUUGGUGUGGUCGGAGACAAAGCCAUCGAAAGCCAUGUUCAGAGAAAGAGAUGAAAGGGCUUUGAAGGGUUGGAGUUUUAGUAAAGAAGAAGAUAAGAAGAGAGAGAGAGAGAGAGAGAGUCUUGUAGAAGAAAGAAGGAAAGAAAGAGAGGAAGGCGCGGUUGUUGGAGGGAUUGUGGUAAUAAAGACAAAGGGGGAUCUAUGAUGCAAGGGAACAACUAUUGACGUUUGAGUUAAAUUUCUAGGUCUUUGGUGGUUAAUUUGGUUGGCUUUUUUGUCUCUUCUGUUUCACUGGUUUACCUCCUUUAAUUACAUAAAAACCUUUUGUAAUAAUACUAGUAUUUCAAGUAGAAUCACAGCCAAAUCAAAAUAAUAAGGUUACUAUAAAAGACCUAGACACAUCUUCCGUUACUUGCGUCUUUCAUCUCUCUUUACGGGUAGCCAUUCAUGUCAUACAACAAAACCAAAAAUAAUUACCGUAUUUAUCUGCUAAACCAUUUUUCCAUUUUAAGUAUUCACAUACAAAUAUCAACAAAAUUUUGUUUUUACUUCCAUAAAAAUUCAUUAAAUCGAUACCUUCAUCAAAUAGACUUCACUAUGUUUCGUUUUUCCAUAAUGAUCGUAAUUUGUUAAAAAGUUAUCAUGGUUUAAUGAUUAAGUUAACAAUAAUUAUAAGUAUUGAUUCAGAAUUGUUAGAAUAUUGUUUUAAAGAAGAGUUUUUAGGUUUAAGAUACUGUUUUUCAUUAAAUUUAAAAGAAAAUACAUUCAAUAUAGUUUUGUUUCUUGUAAAUAUCACCCUAACCAACUUUUUUUAUUAUUAUAUCGGGUGAUCCGUCAGUCUCUGACUUGUUCCUUAGCUUUAUGCUUUAAAGGCAAAGGUAAAAGGAAAUGUACAUUUUUGUUUUUAGUUUUGUGUUUUAGCAUAUUUACCAAACCAGAACAAAAAAAAUAAAUAUUUAUUGUUUUGGUCAGUGAAAAAACAUUGCUCUGCAAAAUUAGGUCAAGCCUUUGACCGAAAAAAGGACGAGGCCCAGCUCGAAAGGCAAGGACACUGUGAAUUUCAUUGCAAGAAGCCAAGAAGCCCUAUGAUGACACCAUUGCCCAUUUCCAGCUCCUUGUCUCCGUACGUUCUACACGUGUCAUCCUCAUAUUUCAUUGGACCACCGGUGGGACCAUCUAGGAGAACGAACUACAUCCCUUCACCUGUCCGUUGCAGGCUAACCAGGGACCGCUGCCAGCAAAAGAAAAUAAAUAUUUAUUUUUAUAAAUUAUGAACUCGAUUUUCUAUAUUCAAUCACUGGUUUAUGUUAAUUACAUUUCAAGGCAUUUUCUCACUUUAAUUAAAUAUAUAAUAAUGAUUUCUGAUUUUCUCAAAUAGCGACUUGAUUAAUUUUUUUGUAUAUCAAAUACUGAACCCACUAUUUAAUUUCAAAACUUCACCUAACCUUGACUAACUAGUGCUAUAGGUAAGUUAAGUUGGUUUAAGUAGCAAUGCCUAAGCAUUUUUGGGGCACUAUUAAAUUGAAUAUGGGUUUUUAUUCUGUCGGUAGGAGGAAAUAGGAAUCAUUCAAAAUUACAUGUUGCAACAGCUACUGGUUGAAUGAAGCCAAGGAGCCAAAUUCAUUCAUUGCUGAGUUUGAACUUUGAAACCCAUUAAAGUUGACCCAAAUGGUCCCGGCUUGCCCCCUCUUACUCAGCAUAGCUUGAACAGCUUUUUGCUACGAACACUCGGCCAUCAAUAAUGAAAAAUUCCAUGUAUCUUACACUACAAGUCGAAGGAUCUGACUAAGAGACCACCUUCUCUACAUGUAAUAGAUAGGCCAUUUGAUAUGCUCAAGAUUUUUCUUGUAAAGUGUGGGAUGACAUGUCUCAUGGUUUUUGGUAAUAAAAAAUUCAACAUUUUCAACCUUAGCCUACCCUAAUUAAGCUCCAAGUUCCCUCGUGAUGUCAACAUGGUGUUCAAGCUUUGUCAAUUCGGUGCUAAAUAGUUUAUUGUUAAUAACAUAGAUUUUAGUAACAAGUUCAACGGUUUACUGUAUUCAUCGAUGUUUAAACAGUUUAACAGGUACAUAUAAAUACUUAUUCAGGAAGAUAAAAUAUAUUGAUUAUAAAUAUCAUUUUAAUAAAUAUUUAUUAGUUCUUUUUAACUUUUAUAAUUGAUUUUUCCAUAAAGUUUUGAAACCUUCAAUCUCAAAGCCCAGGUUUAAUAGCUUGGGCUCUAGAUCCUAACCAUGUUAAAUCCAAUCUGCUAUGAUUCUCUUAAUUUUGCUCUUGUUUGUUCUACUCUUCUAGCCUACUAGACUAGCUUAGUUUGUUAAUUAAGCCCCGGUUUUAGCAGUAAGCCGUGAUCAACCAUGCAGUGGGCGCUAAGAUUUGCCUGCAAAGGAUGAUGAGGGGCAAAACAAAACCUCCCUUACCGUACCAUCAUUGGCAGCAUGUAGCUUUGCUCCUAGUUACAGACAGUAUCCGAGUUUGAAGUUUGAAGGGCAAUACUUUUCUCUCUUUCUUUCAUGCAUAGAUAUUGGUACGAAAUUUUCCGGCAAGAUCGGACAAGUUACACGACGAGAGUUUGAACAUGCAAAAGGGGAGGCUAAAGAAUGAAUAUAUUACUUGUUUCUUACGGCAGAGUAGGUGACAUAGAAGGCUUUGUAACUUGGACCUCUCCACAGUCACUGAUGUAAACAGUUUUAAGGGGCCUGUUCCAUAACGUGCGACCUUUCUGUGCUCUUUCAUCUCCAAAAAAUUCAGCCAAGUCAUUUAGUAGGCGAAUUCUUUCAGAAGGUUUGUAGGUUGGGAUGGAAGCGAUUGCUGUCACAACAUCCAAACCUGAAAUUGAAAUGAAAUCAAAGUUCAAAAGGUGGCAAAUUAUUUCUUAAAAUCUAGACAAUGUGUGUAAAACGCACAAGGACAAUGAAGAGUAGAUAGCAACAAUUUCCAGAAAAAAUUUCCUGUUCCUGCAUAUCAAAAAGCCUUAUAGAAUUCUUCAGUUUUCAAAAGGACAAACACUUCUAGAGGUUCAUACCGCACUACAGAUACCUAUCAUAUUGACAGUAAUAUCAGAGUUUGAGAAUUGGUAAUAUCUACACAAGUGUGGCGCAUUUGCAUCAGCAUGCAUGCAGAACCACAUGCUACAAAUGGUAUGUGUUUCACUAGAAAGGCAAACCAGAACAGACACAAGUCAUUAGAAUGCAAUAUGCAUCAAAGCAACAAGACAUAAUGUUCAAGGAUCUAAACUCGUUUAUAUUCAAUAAAUGUGGAGAGAUUUUGUGAUUCUCCUCUAACAGUGGCAAGCUGUCUUAAGGUUACUCAUUCAUUUUAACUAUAGCAGCAACCUUCAAGAUAUAAUUAAUGGAACAGAAAGCAUUUCCUUUGGAAGAAGUCACAGCAUUUAAAAGAUCUCGAUUUUGCUGGUGUAGAUGGAUUUCGAAUUAAGAACAAGCCUCCAAAGAGGACAAAAGGAAAGGGCAAAGGCAUUUGAAGUCAGAUGAGGUUAACCUUUUCCUUAACACGAUUAGAGACACAUGUGCUCUACUAACCCUGUGGCACUUUUUUUUUCUUUUGAAAGUUGGUGUUUUAUUGAUAGAAGAGCUAAAAUGCUAUUCUGAGUCUGGAACUUUAUAUGGUAAAAGACUCCUUUUGGCAUAGAAGCUAACAUACAGUACUUGGAACUGUGACUACAACCCAAUCAAAGCGACUCAAAACCAGAUGCUAUCAUCCUCGGAACAAAAGUAGCAGCCCCUCAGCAAAAGAGUUUAAGCUGUAGUAAAACCAAAUUAGGCUACAAAAAUCACUGCAAUGAACCCAAAGCCCCUGGUGUAUUUUGUUUUGUUGUUACAUUCAACCCUAGAGAGUAACAUUUGCUAAACUUGAGCAAAUUUACAAAAACAUGAUUCAGAUAUUCUUGUUCAAUUCAAUUACUGAGAGAUGCCAUCCAAAUGGAUUUAUUAUGCCUUGAUUCUCACAAAGUUUAUAAUUGUGGGGGAAUUAGACAAGACCAAAGACACUCCAAAAAUAAGAACUAUAUAUAUAUAAUAGAGAAAAUUGUAAGAAAUAACUCACCUCAUAAGGCCAUUUCAAAAAUAGAUAAUAAAGUUCCAAAAUUAAUAUUGUCCAACAACUGCGUUCCAAAGUCCUACUUCUCGCAACAGUGUGAUUCCAAUUUUAACAAACAGAGUAUUUAUAAGGAAGCUGUUUGCUUUUGAGGAAUCAUUAGAAAAGAACUACCUUCAAGUUUUUAUGCAAAAUUUCAAUAAAGAAAACUGAAAGAAACUGCAAAACAUCAGUAACCAGUUCUCUAGCUAGUCUCUCUACCAACUGGGAACAGCUACAAUCACCACUUACCAUCGCAAUCACAUAUUUUAGACAUAUAAAGAAAUUUGAAUUUGUGCAAUGCCAUUCUUUCCUACAAACUCUAUUCAUAAAGUACCCAAAUUGAACAUUACCAAACCCAUCAGACUAACCUCCUCAGAAGAAAUAAAACAUGCACCUGCAUAUAUUACCUACUAAUUAACUGAAUUUCACUACUUUAUCCCCCCGAACGAAACUUCAUUAACGAAAUCAGCAGAAAUUAAAUGCAUAUAUGCUAAACUAUACAUAAAAUCUAAAUUUAAGCACUGCUGACAUAACAGACAGACCGAAACCUUACCUUCAAGCACUGUCCCAAAAACAAUGUUGUUAUUAUCCAGCUGAGGGCAGGGACCAGGCCCUGUAGUGAUCAAGAACUCAACAUUCCUAUAAUCAGAACCAAGCUUAACCUCAUCAUCAUCAUCGUUCUCUGAUAAACAAAGCGAAACGACGCCAGCCCUUGAAUGUCUAAGCAAGAAGGCCUUAGAGUCAACAGUCUCGGUGUUCAGAGGCAAGUCCAAGGCAGGAAGGAGAUGGACCUCGCCGUACUCUCGGCUUCGGCCUUGGCGUCCAGCUUGAAAGAACUGUCCUGGAAAUACUUUGUGGACGAGAGUGUUUUUGUAGGAGGAAGAUGUGCACAUGAGCUUGAAAGUGGAGACUGUGAGAGGGAGGAGGUUGCCAUAGAGGCCGAGGACUAUGCGGCCUAAAGGAGUAGGGUCCGUACAGAGAGGGGUAUCUGCGGCGGCGGCGGUCGUGGAUGUGUUGGUAACAGUAGAGCGGAAGUAGGUGGGGCAGAGGGAGAAGUCAAGGAAGACGCGGUCAGUGAUUGUGGUGUCUAGUGGGGGUGAUAAUGAGGAUGAAGAUAAGGAUGGGGUGUUGAGGGCGGUGGAGAAGGAGGAGGAGAGGAGGAGGGAGCGGCGAGUGAGGGUGGUGGAGG
Molecule: long non-coding RNA, 119203 nt
Filed under: Theobroma cacao (cacao)
Lineage: Eukaryota; Viridiplantae; Streptophyta; Magnoliopsida; Malvales; Malvaceae
Description: long non-coding RNA (TCAC_LNC005168)
Source: RNAcentral